Molecule: long non-coding RNA, 120310 nt
Filed under: Malus domestica (apple)
Lineage: Eukaryota; Viridiplantae; Streptophyta; Magnoliopsida; Rosales; Rosaceae
Source: RNAcentral
GGAUCCGGCAAUUACAAGCAGGACGCGAUUCCCAAACCUCACAAAUCAAAAUUUACAAACCCUUAAAAUCCCAAUAGAUUUACGAGUUCCCGGAGUGGGAUUCAAAUCCCACGAAACCUUCAUGGCCACUGGACCAAAACACUAGACUAUUUCUCUACCAGAGAAAAUUAAGAUUUAAUUUUAAUUUAAACCCAUGAUGUUAUGGGUAAAAUGAUUUUUGGGCAUCGGUGGAGACUAUGCGCAAAUGAAGGAGAGAAGGGAAUAGAGAAGACUCGCAGACUACCUCACCGAAAAGAUCUCAUCCCCUGACUCCAUCGAGUUCCUCCUCCUUCCCUAGAACGACGCCUUCCACUACUCCAAAAUUCCUAGGUACUCGAUUCCACCAGCAGCGACAACCACAUCAGCAACGGCGAUAAUGAUCUUCAAAUUCUCAUGAUGCACUCGAGAGCUCCCUUGCUGAUCUUUAGAACCUUGACGACGGAUAAAUGAGGAUUGGAAAAGUCUCGAUCAUCGCCAGGUCUAGGAAUCGCGGGCGGGAAGCUCAUACGGUAGCCUGAUCUCGAGUUCAGGUGGUUUCCAUGACAGAGGACUCGCCGCAGACAACCAUCAAGAAGCAACGAGAGAGACACGAGGAGAAAUGGGGUUUUUAAUAAUUUUAAUUUUUUCAGAUUAAAAAUUCUUGACUUAUUUAAUUUUUAAAUUAUGAGUGGGUCCCAUUAUUGCCAAGUUAUCAUUUAACAAAUUUAAUGGAGGUUGGACAUUGCAACGAAUUCAUAAGUUAAUGUAUGACAUUGUAAUAUUUAAUACAUAAAGUAUGAGAUUGUGGUUCAACCAUAGUUGAUGUAGUUUUUAUAAUUUAUCUUCUUUUUUUUCAAAAUGUUGCUUAUCCCCAACUCUCAACAAGGCAACAGCAUCUUCGACCAAUUCUCUCUCAACUUGUGUGACCCUUUCAAGGAUUUCCCAUUCCCUUCAUCCUCAUCACUCUCUACAUUCCCUGAUUUUUCUCGGGAAAAUCGGCUUUUAUGAACACUACAGUCGACUGGAAGGAGACCCCCGAAACCCACGUGUUCAAAACAGACAUUUUGGGGCUGAAGAUGAUGUGCGGAAGCGUCAAAUAUGAAACCAAUAAACUACAACGGCAAAAUAUGAUAAGACAAAUAAUCCAAAUGACACAAGGAUUUAUACUGGUUCGACGAAAGCCUACGUCCAGUUCCGAGACGGCGAGGAAAUUCCACUAAUAUCAAAAGGAGAUUACAAAUAGAGUUUUAACUCUCAAACCCAAAUCUCACAUACACCCAAUAGCUCUCACUCUCACAAAGAACAAUUUGGAGAAGAUGGACACACAUCAAAUACCAUCACUCCCAAAAGCUACACAACAUGUGGCAGCAACAUCUUUGAUUGAGGGAUUACUAACAAAAGGGGAUUACAAACAAAUGGGAAGGAGCAUCACUGUUUCAAAUGGGAGAGCCGAACGCUCUCCCUGGUAUGGCUCUUAUCUGAUGCCGCUCCCCCCAUCUCUCCCACAUUCGGCUGCAACCUUUAUCCAUACAAAAGCAUCCAAUAAAAAAUCCAAAGUAAAGGAAUAAUCAUUACUUUACAAACAUCAUCAUGACCUUCCUUUUUUUUUUCAACAAGCAUCAUCAUUGUGUCUUUACUCAUGAUGUCCACCAAACUUUUCUUUGUUUAGUUUACUAGCCAAAAGGCAUUUGGCUUAUUGUCCACUUGGCCACUAAUUUGGCCACUAUCCAACAGAAGAAGGAUGAGGUGAAGGUGGAGGUGGAAGACAACAGGGUGCUUUAGAUCAGCGAAGAGAAGAAUGUGGAGAAGGAGGACAAACACGACAAGUGGCAUAGAGUGGUAAGGAGCAGAGGCAAGUUCUUGAAAGAUUUCAGCUUCCGGAGAAUGCAAAGGUCGAUCAGAUUAAGGCUGCCAUGGAGAAUGGAGUUCUGAGUGUGAUCGUACCAAAGACAGAGGUGAAGAAGCCUGACGUCAAAGCCGUUGAAAUCAAUGGUUAAUUAAUAGUGAAAUAAUAAGAUUAUGAAUGUUGUGUUCUUAGGAAAUAAGAUUAUGAAAUAGAGUGCCCAAAAAAGAGUGAUUUGUGUAAUUGUUUGUAAAAUAAUGACUUGUGCGUGGUUAAUUUGAUACAAAUUUGGAUUUACGCGUUUGAAAAUAAUAUUAAGUGAGGAUAAUCGGAAAACAGCUUUUGUAGUAAAAAUUUAGAUUUAAACUUUUUGGUAAAGUUCAUUAGGUUUCAUGUUCGAAUGUGAAAGUUAUAUUAUUUUUCUGUUACUUGUCAUUUCACUCUAUAUUUUUUCACGCGGUAUCAUACCAUUGCCAAGCCCCUUUCUCACUUCUCCCUCUUCGUCUCUCUACACCUACAUCCCGUCUUCUCUCUCCUCUGUCUCACUUUCAAUGCGCAAAACAUUUUUGUGAGUUUUUAGAUUUUAAAGCUCUGAUUGGAUCAGUUUGAAUGAAAAGUUUUAACCAAGCUUCUAAAACUGGAGAAAGGAUUUCUAGGCAGCAAAAGGCAAGACCCAUGGCGUACAAUUGAGAUUUUAAAAAAAAUGGCUUUGAGAUUUGUUGGUUAGGAUGUCCUUCCCUCAAUUGUGAGCAGCUCUUAAUAUGCUUUCUUCGCAGGCAGGCGAAUUGGAGACAAUAGUAUGCUUUUGAAGGAGUUUCUUAAAAAAACACUUUCAAACAAAUUUGUAUAGAAUUUAUAUGCUACGACUAAUAGUAGCCCUACUAUUGUUCGAAAUAGAUUACCAAUUCUAAUUGUGAUGUUUGUACUGUAAAAUAAUGUGAUGCCUCGAACGAAUGAGGAUGGCUCAAGCCAUGUAUUGUGCCUUGAGAAUGUGGGGUUGGGAAGCAAUGCAUCCAAUUUUUCUUUCACUUUAUCCUUCUUCUUUUUUGUUAAAGAAAGUACCAUAUGGUUCGUAAGCAAAGUAUCCAAAUCUUUUUCACUUUUUUCUUGAUAAAGAGAAAUACAAAAUGGGUUCGAAAGCAAUGCAUCCCAUUCUCUUUCCCUUUGUCUUUUUCUUGUUAAAAAAGAAUGAAAAUACCUUACUUCAGAAUCACCUCCUCUUGAGGUAAUGCUCGUUAAAUAUUUUUUUUUUGCUUCUCUAUUUAUAUUGUUAGAGAACUCUUAUUAACCUUUCCCCAUUGAAGUUAUCUGCUCAUUGCAUUGCUGAGGUAACAUAAUAUGUCCUCCUUGUGCAUGAUACCAUUCAACAUUCAUAUUUUCUAGCAAAUUCAUGAAGUAACAAUGUCAGCACCAGACACAUGAGUUGUUGUUGAAUAAGGCAUAGAUUUCAAAAUUUCACUUUUACUCUAGCGAACUGUUGCAUUGGGUUGAUUUACAAUACAGGUACGUAUGUACAUCUUGGAAACUUUAUUUCUUUUCAAUAUUUGUUGUUUUAGGUGUUUAUUUUUACCCAUGUGUGACUAAGAAACAAAAGUGUUUGGUUUUACAAUAUAUUUUCUAGCAAAUUCGUGAAGUACCAGAUCCAGCACUAGACAUAUUGUUAUUGAACAAGGCAUAGAUUUCACAAUUUCAUUUUUUUUCCCUACCGGUUAGUUGCAUUUGGUUGAUUACAAUAUAGGUACGUAUGUUCUUAGAAACUUCAUUUCUUUUCAAUAUUUGUUGUUUUAGGUGUUUGUACUAUAUGUUUAUGCAUUUUGAUGUUCAUCCACGUCAACUGAAAUUGAGCUAAUCCCCCCCUUAUAAUCGAAUUUUUACUUUUCUCACUCAAUACAAAAAGUUUUAAAUCAUGUCUGCUAUAUGGUGGUGAAAUGUAAACUAUUAGAAAUUUGUAUGCUGUAAAAUAAUAAUGAGUAAAUAAAUAUACACAUGCAGUGAAACUGUCAAUUGAAAAUAUAACUUUACCCAUUGAAAUUCAAUUUUCUUUAACUAAAACUCAUCAUAGUAUAUUUUCCUAACAAAAACUCAUUGACUUUACCUCUUGAGAAAAAAAAAGGGCCUUCGGGUUUUUUACAUAUAUAUUUUUUUUCACUUCUCCUAUUUAUAUUGUUAGAAAGCUCUUAUUAACUCUUCCCCAUUGAAGUUAUCUGUUCAUAUAUUUGCAUUGAUGUGCAUCAUCUUUCCUCCUUGUGCAUGCUAACAUUCAACAUUCAAAUUUUCUUGCAAAUUCGUGAAGCACCACUACCAGUACCAGACAUAUGAUUUGUUGCUGAACAAGGCAUAGAUUUCAAAGUUUCAAUUUUACUAUGUUGGACAAUUGCAUUGCGUUGAUUUACAAUACAGGUAUGUAGUACUUCUCGAAAACUCUAUUUCUGUCCAAUAUUUGUUGUUUUAGGCAUUUAUUUUUAUCCUGCUUGACUAAGAAACUAAAAUGUUAGUUUUAUAAUCUAGUGCCCACCAGAUAUUCUAUUUCAGGAUCCAGCUCAACAAUUUUAUUGAUUAGGUUUUGACUUCACACAAUUUUGUAUUUUUAGAUGUUUAAAAUAUCCCUAGUAACUCAUGUCAGAUUAAAAACAAAUUUUAAUAUCAUGAUUUCAUUGCAUAUUAAUAAUAAAAGUAUAUGAUUCUACGGUUUUCAUUUGUUUUAUUUUAUUUUUUUUCCUUUUUAAAUUCCCUAAUUGCUUUUCAAAUUUUCAUAAAUUAGGAUUUUUUUUUUUGGUUUAAUUUUUCCGUUUUCAAAAUAUGGGAGCAUUAGUUACCAACAAAAUAUAAGAAUGUUAUUUUUUUUUCAAAAUUAUUUAAUUAUAUUCUAUAUAGAUAUGGGUAAAUUAUUUUACUACACAUAUAUAAUAACAAUCAAAUGUGCUUAAUGUAUGUAAUAAUACAUGCAAAAUAAUUUACCUACAACAUAAAGGAUGUGAUUUGGUUCAAAUUUAUUUUACCUACAUUUCACAUAUAGAUAUGGGGAAAUUAUUUUAUGUAGAUUAAAGUACCUACUUAAAGAUGAAGAAUGUGAAUUGGUUCAAGAUUUAAUUUACAAUUAUUUCAAAUAUAUAGAUAUAAGUAAGGGGAAUUUUGAUCUAGGUGCAACAUCCCUAGCAUUUAGACUUUUUUAUUAAACUAUUUUCUACAAUUUUGGUGCCAUGUUUUCUAAAAUGUCCUUCUUUUUGAAAUUCAAAAUUACAUGAAGUGCCAUUGAUCCACCAAUUUAUUCAAAAAGUAGCUCCGAAAUCUAGCCUUCUUCAAACCAAAUUUAUUAUUUUUAUUAAUCCAAAACAAAGACACAUAUUAUUAAGUUAUCAACCAAUGAUAUGUGCCAAAAAUUAAAAUUAAAAUAACCAAAACUAAAAUAAAACGUACCAUAAACUAGAAUUAAACGUACCAACACUAAAACUAAACGUACCAAUCAACGAUAUAUACAAAAUAAUUCUCUCACUAAAAUGUAUACAUAAUAAUUUCAAAAUAUAAACAUCCACCAUUUUCAUUAUCUUGAAGGUAAAAUUAUAUUUUAAUUUUAGGAGAAAAAAAUAUUUUUUACGAAGAAAUUAUAACAAAGAGAUAAUUUGAUAAGCAUCAGGUGGGACUUUGUGGCAAGGCUUCAUAUCGUUUCGGGUUUGAACUAAGUGAUGCUUAAGCCUUAAGUAUGAGUCAUAGAGGAAAAAUAACAAAGAUCUACACAAAACUCAAACAAAAGAUAAAGAUAGAGAAAAAAAUAGAUAAGUUUUCUGUCUGGGCUCAAAACUGUCAUAAAUAGUGGGCGAUGGAGGAAGGAGACGCUUGAAUUUUGAAACGAACCAUGAGGGUUGCUGAAAAAAAAAAAAAAAAAAAACUAGAGGAGGUGUGGGGUCUAUGGUAAUGGGAUAAGGAUGAAUGAAAAAAACAAUAAAUCAAAAAUAUAAAGAAAUAAAAUAAUUGAAAAAACCUGAUAUAUCACGUUGCUUGCUGUAUGGUGUAAGCUUUACAAUGGGCUUACAAUAAUGUUGUUUAAAUUCAUCUUUUGCAAGAAUCGAACAUAAAGCCUUUAACUUACAAGUAAAUAGAAAUAUCACUAAAAUCCUUAAUGAAUCCACGGGUAUUCAAUCAGGAUUUUAAGCGAUUCUCUGAAAUUCAAUGUGUAUUCAAUCAGGAUUUUAAGAUAAUUUAUUAAAAUCCUUAGAAAUCUGGGUGUAUUCAAUUAGAAUUUUAAAGAAGUUUAUAACAUUCCAGGUGUAUUCAAUUAGAAUUAGAAUUUAAAGAAUUUAGAAAAGUUGAGGAAUUAGAGGGAAUUGGAGAGAUUUUGUAGUGUAUUUUAAGCAUUCACAAAUCUCACCUCUUCCCCAUGAGAUUUCGAGGGAAUUGAAUCAAAAUUUUACAUGGAAUCUCUACAAAUCAGGUAAACUCCAAAAAAAUUCAUAAAUUUAUAAAUCAAUUAAAAUCUCUCAAAUUCCUAAUUGAAUACACCCCCUUUAUAUUUAAACAGGACAAAAAUAUAUGAUUAUUAAUGUUGUGUUGGGGUGCUUCUUUGGUUUAGGCAUCAGAGCACUGAGCGCGGGACUUAAAAAAGCCACCAACAAAGAGAAGCAUUCCAGCCGUAGUCCUUGAUUUCAAAAGGAAAUGGAAAUUAUAAUUGCAAUUGCCUCAAAAGUUGGAGAGUGCUUGGUCACACCAAUAGGAACAGAGUUUGGCUAUUUGAUUAAUUACCAUUCCAACCUGGAAAAUCUUAAGGGUGAGAUAAAAAAGCUUUUUGACAAGAAAGAUGGAGUGCAAGGAUUGGUAGAUGCUGCCCAAAGGAACAGUGAAAGGAUCAAACCUGAUGUUCAGAGUUGGCUAAAUAAUGUGAACGACGACAUGGUCAAAAAAGUGUUGCAGUUUGAGGAUGAAAUUAACAAGAAAAGGCGAUGUGUGUAUCGAUGGAGCUUGAGUCGGAGAGCCUAUAAGAUUAAACAAGAAGUUCUUCAGCUCCAAAACGAAGGAAGAUUUGAAAAUGUGGCCUAUCCUGCACCUCCACCAGAGAUAUGGUCAACAUUCGAAAAUGUUUUUAAGGAUUUUAAGUCCAGAAGGGCAAAGAUGAAUGAGGUGAUAGAGGGUUUUAAGAGGGAAGAAGUACGAAAGAUCGGGAUUUGUGGAAUGGGGGGUGUGGGUAAAACCACAAUGGUGAAAGAAAUCAUCAUAAGAUUGGCAAAACUGAACCUGUUUGAUAAAAUUGUAAUGGCAACUGUGUCUCAAAGUCCAAGUAUUAGGACGAUCCAGUUGGAAAUUGCAGAGGAAAUAGGUUUGGAAUUGAAGGAGGAAACCCAGUCCGGAAGAGCACGAAGGCUACAUAGGAGACUCAUGGAAAUAAAGAGGAUCCUGAUUGUAUUAGAUGAUGUCUGGGCAGUGCUUGAUUUUGAGGCUAUAGGACUCCCUUCUGGAAAUGCUCAUGAAGGGUGCAAAGUUUUGUUGACAUCACGAGAUUCGGACGUUUGCAACAGGAUGCGAAGUCAACAAAUUAUUGCAGUCCCGAUUUUAACACCAGAAGAAUCACAGGAGCUCUUUCGAGAAAUGGUGGGUGAAUCCUUUAAUGAUCCUGAUUUACGUUCCACUGCAAAAGAUGUAUUGAAGGAAUGUGGAGGUUUACCUAUUGCAAUUGUAACUGUUGGAAAAGCCCUAGAAAAGAAAAACAAGCAUGAAUGGGAUGAUGCCCUUAAUCAGAUGCGAAAUUCUACCCCAGUGAACAUCCCUGGAGUGAAUGACACAGUUUUUUCUAGCAUAAAAUGGAGUUAUGAUAGAUUGGAGAGUGAUGAAGUUAGGUCAUGUCUUUUACUUUGUUGUUUAUUUCCAGAAGACUAUGAUAUUCCAAUUGAGUAUUUGGUUCGAUAUGGGUGGGGUCGAGGAUAUUUUAGCAGCAGCGUUACUUUGGAAGAUGCAAGAAAUAGAGUGCAUUCUUUGGUUGACCAACUAAAAAGAAGGUUUUUGUUGCUAGAUAGUGGCAAGAGUGAGGCUACAAAAAUGCAUGACGUAGUUCGCGAUGUUGCCAUAUGGAUUGCUUCAAGAGAUAAAAAAGGAUUUUUGAUAAGAAGUGAUGCUGAAAAUAAAGGGUGGCCAAAUUUAGCUACAUAUGACCAUUACACUACAAUCUCACUUGUUGGCGAUUUGGAGAUUCCAGUUGGUUUGAAAUGCCCAAAACUUGAGCUUCUACAGACGAUGGAAGGACUUUUUUCAGAAGGUAGCAUGAACAACAUUUGUAAGGCGAUGAAAGAACUGAAGGUUUUAGCUUUGGUGGGAAAGGAAAUGAAAAACCGAGUCUCAUUAAGAUCACUGAAGAAUCUGCGGACCUUGUGCCUAGAUGGGUCUAAUUUUGAUGGCACGUCUACUGAUGUUAUUGGGAGUUUGGAGAAUUUAGAAAUCCUCAGCUUUCGGGAUUGUUAUUCCAUGCGUGAGUUGCCGAGGGAAAUUGGACGACUUAAACAGUUAAGGUUGUUAGAUACGACAAACUGCGAGGAACUUGAGGUGAUUCCACAUGGUAUCUUCUCCAGCUUAUGUAGACUUGAAGAGUUGUAUAUGGUUAAUAGCUUUAACGAAUGGGAAAUUGGAAGAGGAAGAGAAGAAAAGGGGAUGGCAAGCAUUUCUGAGGUGAUGUCUCUGUCCGAUCAUUUGAAGGUUCUAGCCAUAGAGAUACCCAGUGUCAUCCACUUGUUGACAAAAGACAUAGUCUUGAAAAGCCCAACAAUAAGAUUCCUUAUACGCUGUGCAACAUGGGGACGGCUUUUUUCAGAGAUGAGUACUUAUGCAUUCGAAAAUUGUUUGGAGAUUAGUGAAAGUGAUGCAAGGGAGUUGGAGGAGAGUCAAGCAGUCAAACUUUUGUUGAAAAAAUCUAAAAAAUUGUAUUUGUCGGAGGUUAAGAAUUUCUCUGUCCUCACUGAUUUAGACCAAGAAGGAUUUCAAGAUUUGAAAGAUUUGCAGCUUUGGAAUUGUCCACAUAUCGAGUAUCUUGCAAAUGGAACAAGUGGGUUUUUGACCAACCUAAGAUUCCUUGAAUUGGUAUUUUGUGGUGUCUUAAAAUAUGCCUUUUCAUUAUCAGUAGCAAGAAACUUGGUACAACUCAAAGAAUUAAACAUUGAUGGAUGUGGUCAAAUGGAAGAAAUUGUGUCGAAGCAGGGGAGGGAACAUGAGGAGGAAGCCGAUAUGAUAUCUUUCGAUAAAUUAACCAAUUUGACUCUCGAGGGUCUAGGGAGUUUGGUUGGUUUCUUCCAAGCCAAGAAGCUAUACUCCAACCAAGAGGUAUGUCCCACUCUCCAAUCUCUAUGAUAUGAGGAGGCAGCCGAUAUGUGGAAAUUUGAAAUUGUUUAACUGAUAAUGAUUUUUCUUUUUCAGGAAACAACGGCAAGGGUUGAGCAUCAAUCUGCAGGCGUAUUUGAAAAAGCAAUAUUUCCAUCAAAGUGCAUUUCAUGGUUUCCAAGUUUAGAAGAGGUAGUAUUGGGACGUAUGAAGUUUGAAGGUGUGCUAUUUGAUUUGAAAAACAUUCCAUCUGGAUUUCAAGGCUUCCAAAAUUUGAGAUAUUUGGAAAUGAGAGAAUGUUCUGGUCUAGAAUAUGUGUUCUUGCAUUUAAUUGCCCGAAAACUUUUGAAUCUUGAAGAGGUAAAGAUAUUAAAAUGCCCGGACAUGGAAGCUAUAGUCAGAAUCCCAGAGGAAAUUGAAGAAGAGGCGACAAAAUACAUGAUUUUGUUUCCGAAACUGAACACAUUUGAACUAGAAGACCUGCCUCGUCUCACAAGUCUUUGUCCAGAGGGAUUUACAUUUCUACGGUCAUCCACAAAAAAAAUGCACGUGAAAAGAUGUGAAAAUUUGAAGACAUUGGGUGUUGUAAUUCCACAAAGAAAGAAGUUGGAGAAUAACUUGAAGAAGGAUUCAACAAGUCAUGAUUUCAGCACUUCUCCAACACGUUCAUCAAAUUGGUGCCCUGCUGGAUGUGGAUGCGCACCAUAUUCAAGACCAAACGCCCACCGCCCCAUUGAAAUAUUGCCACGUCCAAUUAACCUGGAGGUAAGCUUUUAAAUCAGGUUCAAUUAACCUCUAUAAGUACAACUUUUAAUCAGUAUUGUAUCAUCUUGUUGAUCGUGCUUAAUUUUCUAGGUUACACAAACUAAUCUUGAGGACUCAAAUGAUAAUGAUAAUCUCGAAAAUCUUACUGUAAGUGACUGUAAUUCGAUGGAAGUGAUUUUCCAACUCAAGGGACCGAAGCAUGAAGAAAGUAGUCACUCCAUUGAAGCAUUCAAUAAAUUGAGUUCCUUGCGGUUAGAUAGAUUGCCAGGUUUAACGCGUGUUUGGGAGAUGGGUAGUUCACAACCGAUGUUGACAGGAAGCAGCUUCGGAAACUUGAAAUCGCUGGAGGUUGGUUUUUGCAACCAGUUGAAAUACUUGUUUUCAUCGUCCAUAGUCAAACUUCUCGUGAGUAUAGAGGACAUAGAAGUUCAUAACUGUGAGAAGAUGGAAGAAAUCGUUGCCGCAGAAGAAGAAACUGAUGAAACAAUUACAUUACCUAAAGUGAAGUCCAUCAAGCUUGAAAGUCUGCCAAAACUCAAGUAUUUUUGUGGUGAAGCUUAUACUUUGAAGUUGCCGUCUUUGGAGUUAUUGGAGUUUGAUGACGUGCAAAACUUAAGCUUAUUAGCUCCAAAGCUUAUUGCCACACAUCCCCGAUUGCAAGUACGCACCGCGUUGGGAGUGGCUGAAUGGAAGGGGGACCUCAAUGCCACUCUUAAGGAAUAUUUACGUCACAAGGUAUGCUUUAAUAUAAGGUUUUUAAUUUCCAAUCAUUUAUGGCAAACACCACAAAAAUUCGACAACAAAUUUAGGCAAAGCAUAAUCAACAGUUCAGAUUUAGUUUGACGAAAGUGUAAUCAAAAUUUAGUCAAAAACCAUACACACACACACACACAUAUAUGUAUGUGCGUAUGUGCACACUAGAGUGUAUUUAGAUAUGUUUUUCUUCUUUUGAAAACUCAAUUAGAUCUCAAGAAAAUAUCUGCCUUUUAUUUCUAACACAGGAAGGGUGAAGAUGAUGAAAUCGAGAGGGAGGACGAACACAAUUAAUUGAUCAAGCACAAAGGUUAACAUGUCUCCAUCUUCAACUUCUUCUAGGCUUAGUAAAAACUGCUAUUUUCGGAAACACAUAUACAAUAAGCAUAACCGUUUCAACUUAUUUGAGUUUCAGUGAUUUCUAAUAUUCUCCAAUGCAUGCAGAACAACAAUUCAAAGAAGGUUGUGGCUUCAACAAUUCGUUUACCAUCUCAUAUGUACAAACCAAUAAAAUGUCAUUUGUUGCAUCAGACUUUCAUUCCAAAAAUACUAUUUAUGUUGCUUAUUUUAUGCAUGUAUAAUAAAUUUCGAGUGUGAUUGUUACUGUUUGUAUCUAAGUUCGCAUUAUUAAUGUAUGUUUAUUUGCACCAAGAAAUGAGAAAUGCUUAUGUAAAAAUAAAUGAAUAAGAUUAAACAAGAAAAACUUUACGCUACUCAAACUUGCAAACACUCAAACUACAAGCAUUAUGAAUAAACACGGAAUCAGGCUACGCAAUUGCCUUCAUCAUAACAUGAUUUUGGCCCCCAUUUUAUAAUUUCCUACCACAUUUUCACAUUCUUUCCAUGAAUUUUAUAAUCAUAUGCAAAAGAGUUCAAUCUAGGGGCUCCAAAAAUAUCACAGACAGAACAAUUAACACAAAUCGAAUAAAAAUUUGAAAUCAUGAAUCGAUCCCAAAACUGAAAGUUGAAAUUUUUGAAAAGAACUUACAUUGGAGGACAGCCCACCGGGACAGGAUCAUUUAUACCUCUUGGGUCGAGAAUAUUGGCCGGAAAACCGCGGUGACCGUUUCUUUGAUAUGAAAUUGAGGAAAUUUGGCUACGGAUCUGUAGAAACUAACUUGGGAGUUGGAAAGAGGAUGGAAAGAGGAGUCUGGAUAUGUAAUUUGACGGCCGUUGGUGACCCGUGGGCGAAAAUAAACUUCAUGCGAAAACAAGACCAGAUUGAGGUAAGAAAGAAAAAUACAUACGCAGAAAUAACAUGUCAGUCAGGCAAGACAAGUAAUUGCAACCAUAACACAACACAAUGAAGAAACAUACCAUGAGGAUUUUGAACAAACAUAAUGAAGUGUAACCAACAGCAUACAAAUAUCAAAAAUAUAGAAAAGAAUGCUAUACAAUCACUAUAAGUGAUUUCAAAGGCCAUCUUCUAUUUCUGUUUCUGGAAAAAAGUCAUGUCGUCAAGAUGUCAUUCCAUUUCCUUACCAUGAUGAGUAACAUGAUAUUUGAACUUGCUUGCAUUCAGAGAUCAAACAUGGUGGGGUUAUAGAGCAGGUGGAGAUGUUUUUUCUCUAUCCUCAAUCAAAAUAUCAAUGUCUCCCUCCUCCCUCGAUCACUGUCUUUAUUUGUGUGUCAGUUUCAAGCAAUGGCUUUGCUGAACGAGAGAGGGAGAGGGGAAGGAGUUCCCAAGCAAAUUAUGAGGAGGGUGGUGGGGGCAGACUGCUCCGAUCACAGAUAUAUUUCAAGGAUCACAAUUAAAGACUUGCAAUCUUUUAUGGCUGCCAGUUGUGGGACACUCGCAGUCAGACACACACAGAUGGAGAUUGUAAAAGACUUUGAAUUAGAAUUAGUAAAUUUGUGUGUGUAGGGGUGGCUCUGUAUGGGGUUCCAAACUGAAAAUGGAAUUUCGAAUCCCAAAUCGAAAAUUUUCAAAACGAGAAUUUGAAAACCAAUCUUGAAUCAAAAUUUCGGUAUUCCUAAUUUUCGGGAUUCACAAAAUGUUUUCGAUAUCAGGAUGCGUCGGGAUUGAAUUUUGGGUUUUGGGCUGAAAUUUGAGUUCAUCAUAACAUGAUUUUGGCCCCAUUUUCUAAUUUCCUACCACAUUUUCACAUUCUUUCCAUGAAUUUUAUAAUACCUAUGCAAAAGAGUUCAUUCAUUGCCUAUUUCAAAACAAUACAAGGUUCUACAGAGUUCAAUCCCACAUCAUGUUAUAGACAUGCUUCAACUACAGAGUGCAAUACCAGAAGUCUCAUCUCCGACAUUCAUACAGAAUAUCGAAUAAAAAUUCGAAAUCAAAAAUCAAUCCCAAAACUGAAAGUUGAGAUUUUAGAAAAAUAACUUACAUUGGAGAACAGCCCACGAGAAGAGGAUCAUUUCUACCACUUGGGUCGAGCUCCAAUUCCGGCGAUAUGGCCGGAAGUUGGCCGGAAACCCUGGGUCACCGUUUCUUAAAUUUGAAGUUGAGGAAAUCGCCUACGAAUUUAUAGAAACCAACUUGGGGAUUGGAUAAAGGACGGCAAGAGCAUUCUGGAUGUGUAGUUUGAGAGCCUUUGGUGACACGUGGACGACAGAGCUCUUGCGCCGGCACUCGGCAGUCGUCGGCUUGCUGUUUAAUGGGCUCCUGUUGCGGCUCAAAAGACGAGGAGGAGAGAGGAUACGGGAGGAGGAGAGAAAAUGGGUUUCUCACACUUUUUACAUCUUAAUUCUUUUCCGUAUUUUUUUUUUAUAGAAUAUACGAUAUUAUCUAUCACCAAAAUUGAUUUUGGUAUGUGAGAUGAGGUGGAAUACGUUUUAAUGAUAAUUGUGGUUAGAAAUAAUAUAAUUUAAAUUUAUAUAUGAUAAUAAUUGAAUAUAAAAUUUCUUACUUACGAGUUAUAAAUAAAAAAAAAUACCAUUAAUUUUACUUUUAAUCUAAAUAAAAAGAAACAAAAUGAAAAGGAAAAGAAAUAAAAUAAUUUGAAAUAGAAAUGAAAAAUAAAGGUUAACUGACAGAGCCCACCAUGAUUUGCUGGAUUUUGCAAUAUGGCAUCCAUGAUUUGCAGAGCCCACCAUCGCAAAGAAGGAAAAUUUGGAAAGCUCAAUCCUUGUCUUUUUCUUAUGUAAGUGUCGUUUUAGUGAACCGAAUGUUCCGAUUCCAACAUCCAAAAUACCGCAAUGUGAAUUUUUUUCAUACUACAAUUGGAUUGUAUCUUAAAAUUAUGAAGUUUUGGAGCAUUGGUCACGCCAUCAAGCUCCUUUGUGUUGGAUUUCGUUAGAGAUCGUAAUUAAUCCAUUUCCUUUUUUGUGUCUCCCUCCAAAACCUUAAAUUGAAACAUGAACUCCCUAGCAAAUAAGAGCCCAAUUUGACAACCAAAAUCUUCAUCGUUCGAGCAUCAAUGUUCUCUUAAAUUCGCUGCGAGCAAACCACCAUGAAAUCUCCUUCAUGUGCAUCUCAUAAAAUUAGAACAAUGCAGGGAAGAUUAGUGUGGCUCCUAAGCUAGGAUUACACUUAUGAAUCGCAAAAUAAUUCCUCCUCCACUCUUUGAUUCUCUCUUUCACUGGCUAACAAUAUUUUACUCUACCGUUUCACCCCUAAGUAAGAAAUAGCAUCUUUUUGAAAAUUUCACAUUUGACCUUAAUUUAUCUCUUUUGCACUAUUUGACUGAACGACAAAUUUUGAUUGUCUAAAUAUUUAUAUCAAACUACAAAUAAUAUUGAUAUUAUAUAUUAAUAACGUAACUGGAAUUGUAGUACCCAACAUAUCUAUCUUGAAAUAAAUUUUGUUGUCUAUGAAGCGGCCUACUCGACUCUCUCUUGUACUCUUUAGUCCAGUCCAUUUUGAGUUUGUGUAAAUAGAUCAUUGUUUAACAAUUGACAUUCAAUAUUGUGAUUUAGUGGUAUUCAUCAUCACUUGUAAGUGAGAGAUAUUAGGUUUGAAUCUUGGAGUGACGAGUUUGUGUAAUCAUUGUAUUAAAGAAAAAAAAUAUUUUUGGUCGGACAAAAACACAAAAAUGCCCUUAAAGCCCAAAGUGCCCCCACUACCCUAUCACUGCCUGCAAGUUCUUUCCUCGCCUUUGUUUCCCUCCCUUUCUCCCUCUCAGACAUUUGAGGACUCAAAAACUCUUUUAACUCUCUUCUUCUCACUCUCAAAUGUCACCCUUUCUCAAUCAUACGCACGCCCAGUGAUCUCUGAAGCACCAAUUUCUCUUCCCUUUGGCUCUCUGCAUCUCACCAGAGGUAAAAAGCCCCUGGUUUUUUUAUAUUUUUUAUUUUAUUUUAUUUUUAUACUUUUUCCUCAGUAAAUUUAAUCCAAUGGAUUUUUCGUGUACCCUUGCAGUAAUACAGGAAGAUUUUGUAGUAUUUCUGGUUGUUGGAUGAUACUGGAAUAAUUAUUGGGAUUUUGAAGAAUUUCUGGUUCGUAUGAUAUAUUUGCUAAAAGACCCAAAAUUUUGAAGCAGAGCGGCCAUGGAAAGGUGUUUGAAAAGAAAAUCAUAUGAUGAGUCAAUGGAGUCGUCAUCGUCUCCGAAGGAGAAUGACAAAAGCUCGAAACAAGCUUGCGUCGAAAUCAACUUGGAAGGUCUUCCUGUUGAUGCCUUGCUGCGCACUCGAAUUUGGGAUUAGCAUCCAAAUGUUCGAGUUCGAGAGCAAGUUCGAGGAGUAUAUAUGCAAAAAGGUCAUUUUCAGACUCCAGACCAGGACUUCCCCCACAAGAAUACUAGUGGGGGACCGAGAAGGUUUAUAUCUGCUUGGUUUAUGAGUUUCUGACUGGUUGGAAGAUAGUAUAGCGAAAGAUGCUUCAUGUUGUCUAUGCUGUUAUCUGUUUAAGCUAAAUACAGGAGAGCAAGCCUGCGGUGAUUGCUUUGUUAGUAAAGGGUUUUGAAAUUGGAAGAAGGAAAGGUUGGAGGGUCAUGUUGGAGGACGGAAUAGCGCCCUCAACCAAGCUUGGAGAACCUAUGAUGCUUUAUUAAAGCAACACCAAGCACGAAAGGAAUGUAAAACUAUAUUAGGUGUAUCAAUUGUUUGUAUGAGGUUUCUCUUGCAUCAAGGGCUUAUAUAUUGCGGAGACGAUGAAUAUGAAGGUUCAAAUGAUGAAGGAGUUUUUCCUGGACUCUGGAAUUUCCAAUGUGGUCGCCACGAAGAGUUAAAAGCUGUCACAUUGAGAAAUCAUCCUUUAGGUCUGAAGUUGGCUUCACUUGAUACUCAGAAGGACAUCAUAAUUGUUUUUUCAAUGGAAAUAUCAAUGCAAUCGUUAAAGAUAUUGGUAGUUCGCACUUUUCCAAUCUUAUCGAUGAGCGUCAUGACUUGUUUUCAAUGAAGCAAUUGGCCAUUGUAAUACGUUUUGUGGAUAAAGGUCAAGUGAUUGAGCAUUUUUUUAUGCAUUGUGCAAGCCACUGAUAAUACUGCUGACUCACUUAAGGUGGCUAUUGAUGAUUUCUUUUCUACCCAUGGAUUAAGCAUGUCAAAGCUAGGGGACAAGUAAUAUGCUUGGUGAGUUGAAUAGUAUUAACUAUUAAGACAAUUAUAAUGAAGGAGAAUGAGUGUGCAUUUUACGUUCGUUACUUUGCUCACGGCAGCGAGAGACACGAAUUUCGCUUUAUUUACGAGCUUGCCACCGGGCUGAUUUCAGCCCAAAUUUUGCUUUAUUUACAAGAUUGCCAUUGGGCUUAAGAACGGGUUUCCAGUCUUUCGGUUGGAUCCGGGCUUUGACUUGGGGAGAGAGAGGGAAUGGGGGCAGAAGGGUUGACGCCGGGUUGGAUGGAGAGGUUCGCCAGGAUUUGGGGGAGAGGAUUUUCGGCAUGGAGGUGCGGGUGGGUGUGCCUGUGGCUGAUGCAUCGGUCAGAGGGUUGUUGGGGAGGAGAGGAGGGGCACAGAGUGAUUGACAGAUUGGAGAGAGAUGGGAGCUACGAGUUUCGACUAAAAGAGAGAGAUUUAGUUAGGUCCUCUGCCAGGACCUAUGACAUUUUCUCCAAUUUUAGAGAGAGAGAGAGAGAGGAGAAAGCAUGGCUGUGUCCAUUUUUUGGGGUUAAUGGGUUACCGCACAGGGUCGGUGAGGAGAGAAUGGCAGAGGGAGGUAUGGGAGGGAAUGUUGUAAUCCCCUUUUCUUCCCUCUUUUUCUCUCCCGACUCUAUCUCUGUAACCAUCCCUCCCUUUUCUCACUCUAUAAUUUCCCUCAAAUCCCCCGCCGAUUCUCUCUCUCGCCAUUCUCAGUCUCGACAGCCGCGAAUCCUUACAGCUCCAUGCUCCGCCUCCAGAUUCGUCGAGAUGAGAGCCCCAAGACCGUCGCCUGCACCACCGUCUCAGAAAAGUAAGCCAAAAUCUCGCGAGAAUCAGGCUGCACACGAGCGGAUCCAAAGGCCAAACCCGAUCUUGAAGUCGACACAUCCAGAGGUAAAAAUUUCUCAUCUUCGAUUUCAUAUAUGUUGUUAGAUUAAAAGGGAAAAUAUGAGAACUAACUCAAGCAAAUGUUCUGGAUGUAAGCUAAAAGAUCAAUUUAACUUUUCUUCCCUGUCAAUUUAGUGCUUUUUUCUUUUCUUAUUACUUUUAGGAGUUAAUUUUGGAGAUAUAUUAUUACUAACAAAUUUAAUGUUGCCUCUGUCAUAUUUUUUGCUGAAGAUUUCUUUUUUGAAAACCGUAUGCCAUGACAAAAUAAAUUUACAAAUUGCUAAUUUUUCUGUUUUGUAUAAAAAAAUCUUUGUUCACUCUACCUGAAUAGGUACACUUGACUGAGAAGGAAAGUCUUUUCAUAUUAAAUCCAUGUUAGCCUGACUGCUGCCACCCUGGAACCAUCGCUCUUCGGUAAGUUUUCAACACAAUAUAGUUCAAAUCCUCUUAACCAUGUUCUUGAAUUUUACUAUAUGUAUCAUGUUCUUUGCAUUUCAUUAUCUGAACUCUGUUAUUUGAAUUUGGUUACCUGAAUCGUGCGGCCAGUGGCUUUGUAUGGCUAACUGGUGUGAUUUGGGAGUGUUUUUAGUCAAUGGGAGACAGGGGACAAAUGUGUGGACAGCGAAGUCAAGUGGGAUUAGGAAUUUAGGAUAGUAGAAUUUUUGCUAAUUUAUGGGAUUAGAAGUCUUCCUUUAUUUUUGUCUUGGUGUGAUCAAUUGUAACAAAGAAUUUUCAUUAAAAUUGAGGUAGUGAACCAACGAAUUUUCAACUUUUGUUUAUCUACAGUCGUCUCCAUUGUCUUGGUAUUGGACCAAGCAUGAAAUCCCAAGCACUAUAUCACCACAAAGCAAGCAAGCUGAAAAGCAAUCCAACAAACCCUUUUUCCAGAAACACUUAACAGAACCUUUCUAUGGGUUAAUUGUUGUUUCAAUUAUACCAGAUUGAAAACGAGUAUGGAACCAUUGAUCAAGCAUACGGGGCUGUUGUCCAAACCUAUAUUAAGUGGGGAGCAAGCAUGACUGUUUGUCUUUAAAUACAGGGUGCCCUGGGUCAAGUGGCAACAAAAAGAUGCUCAUGCAUCCGUAAUGAGGCUUUUGUAGUCAGUUUUCAUUUGCAUUGUAUUGACUUUGACCUUUUUUAUCAAAGUCCAAUAGCAAUAGGUGCAGUAAUUCUCAAACCCUAAUUUGUUAGCCAACAUCCCAAGCCCCGUUACAACCUUUGACUUCAAUUUUGAGUGUUAUGUGUCUCAAUUUGUGGAGUUUGAAUUUGGUAUGAGCAUAUGGUGUCACUGGUUCUCGCGUCUAAGUAGUAGCAUUCCAUUCAUGAGAUCAUAUCUAAACAUGCUUAUUAACUCCAGAAAUUGCUUUCUUGGUAAUACAUAUAUGUGAGCAUUCGUUUUCAUAUCUACAUCAAUCUUCUCACAUAUAACUAGCAUAGGGUGUGUGGUUAGAAAAUCUGAGUGAAAAUUGAGUGCAUAUCUUGUAAGGAAUUGAGCGAAUUCUCUAAGGCAUGUUCUUACAUUCAAAACAUUGUUUUAAUUGAUUAAUGUGAACAAGUAAGUAGUGACUAUGAUUAAGUAUGUGCUUAAGUGUAGAGAUGACUCAAAUCUGUGGGGAUGAUGAUCUUUAACAUGUCAUGUGCUUUGGAAAUCCCUGAGGCAAAUGUUGGAAGGUUUAGGUUGUGUUUUAUUUGUUUUGUUUUGUUUUAUUUCUUUGUUUUGCUCGAGGACUAGCAAAAGCUAAGUGUGGGGGAAUUUGAUAGGAGCAUAUUUAUGCGACUUAAUUGGCUUGUUCUCGUGCAUUUACGUUAUGUUUCCUUAGUUAUUUUAGUGUUUAAAGUCACUUUUGUGUGUUUUCAGAUUCCAAAGCCAAAGUGUGCAAAAUGAUGUAAUUUGGAGCCUUUUGGAGCAAAAGGAAUGGAUGAAUGGAAGACUUGAAGACAUUAGGAUUCCUAAUUGACGAAGGAUUCCUAAUUGAAGAAGGAUUCCUAAUUGAAGAUGGAUUCCUAAUCACAUGAGGAUUCCUACUUGAAGUAGGAAAGUUAAGCCAAGGUUUCCUACUUUGGUUUGAUUUUUCCUAAAUGUCCCUAAAAGUUCCAGCCACUUUGAAGACCUCAUACACACUUUAGGACAUAAAACAAAGAUUCCUUGCACCAUUCAAGGUAGUGCCGCACCUCACAUACCCUUUCCACACUUUCCCUAACCCUUAUCUUCCUUGCCGUGCAAAAGAAAGCCCACCUUCCCUAUUUCCUUGCAUUUAAACCACAUUCCCUUUUAGUUUAAGGAGUGCCGCAUAUUUCCUUGCCUUUCCCUUAGUUUUUGACCUUGUUUUCCUUUUCCCUCUAGGUUGUGACUUAAAUAUUUGUUACUUAAAAUAUUUCCUAGCCUAAAACAUUCUAAACUUUCUGAAUAAAUACCCUAGCCGCACCUCUAGUCAAUUUCCCUUAAGUUUCUGAUUUUUGUUUCCUAAUUCUAGAAGCUUUAAACUUAAUUCCUGAUUACCUAAUUAGCCUAGGGUUUUUAAUGUCCUAAUCCCUUUAAAUAAACAUCCUUGUGCAGCCACAAACAGCCCCAUUCAUCCAGAAACUCAUCAUUCACGCCAGAAACUGAACUCCAUCUUCAACAGCCCCAUUCCUUCACCAUUCACCAUAUUUUCUGACCCAAAACCACCCUAGCCGCACCACCCAUCAACCCUAAACACUUCCAUACGUCCCCCAUCCAUUCUACAUCAUUCAAUAACCCAAGAAACCACCAACAUCCAAUCUGCCGCAAGCAAGGAAAGGGGACAGAUUCACUCAAUUGUUUGGCUCUUCAUUCUGAGUUGUUGAACAAUUUUAGGUGUAUUCUAUCUUAUAUUUCAAUGUCUAAUUCAUGUAAUCUUUGUUUUGCUUUAAGUAUGAUUGGCUAAAUUCGUUUUGGCUAAGGGUGUAUUCAAAACCAUGAUUAUAUAUGUGAAAUAAGUUAAUUACUUUCAGUUAUCGUUGCAUAAGUCGUGAAUACAAUUUGCUUAACCGUUUGAUUUAGAACUUAUUCUUGUAUGUUGAUUGAAAGUGCACGCUUAAUUUGCAUGCUUGAAUUUGGUGCUAGGAUAUAAGUUUGUUUCACCUAAUCGUUAUGAAUUUAUAUUCGCAAGUAGUGAAGAUCGCUAGUCACGAUCGUAAGUAGAUUCCUGGCAAGAGUAUCAUGUUUUUCAUAGUUAUGAAUGCCUUGUCGAUGCUUAUGAUUUCCACAUAACGUAAUGAUUCUAACUUGUAUCUUUAUCAUGCUAUUCAUAUAGAGAACUUGUUAGGAAUAAUUUGUUUGCGAUGCAUAUUCAUCCAAUUCAAUGAUUCUAGGGAAAUCUGAAGGUUAAUUUAAGCGGACCUAAUUAACUUGGAGUGUCGAGGUUCACAACUUAUUAAAUUGAUAACUGGAAAUCGAUUUACGUUGCAUAUAUUUCAUGUGUGGAGAAGAACCCCUUAGCUAUUCCAUCAUCCAUUGAUUCAUCACAAUUUUGUCUUACAAUCUGUUUUCUUUUUCAAUCUGCCCAUUUAAUUAUUUUCGUCCAAAAUCAAUCCCACCUUAUUUCUUUGAGUCAUAUUAACUAGAACUUGUCUUAGAAUAUGUUUUUAGGUGUUUUAGGUCAUUAGAAAACCAAAAUUCGUCCAAUUUGUGUUAGAGUCCCAAAACUGCCUAGAAAGUGGUUUUUAGGCAGUUUUGAGUGUUUGUUUGCUGUUUUGAGUCUUUUGAUUUGUUUUAGUGUUUUAGAGUUUAGUUUUGCAUUCUUUGAGUCUAGUUUAGUAUUUUAAACUUUGUUUUACAUAUUUGAGUCAGUUUAGAGUGUUUUAGCAAUCCUUCCUAAUCCCCGGUUAAAAAAGUGAAGGUUGAAGGUGCUGUGGGUUGAGGAGCUGUUGAGGAAAUUGCUGUGGAGCGAGUUGAGAGAAAGCUUGAAGAAGGCUGUGGUGCAGGUGGACAUGAUUGAGGAAAUGGCAAGGAGAACUCAGGUGAUGGAGUGGAGGGGACAGAGGAAGAACACUGUGAAGAGCUACUGUGAUGAAGAAAUGGAAAAUGAUCUUCAUUAAAGAGAACAUGCCUUUGAAAUGUGGAGACUCUGUUAGAAGACACGUCCAAACACCGCCGAUAACCUUGUGUGUUGAAGGCUAUAACCGAGAAAGACACAUGGUUUGCUUUUACCAUCCAAUUUUUGAUGCAUAUGCUGAGCCUGAGCAAGCAGAUAGCAGCAAAAGCAACACCAAAAACCUUUAACUUGGAAUAAUCAUGAGGCUUUUUGAAAAAAGAAUUUCCCAUGGAGACUGAGACUGAUCCAAAAGAAAAUGAAAUUAAGAGGUAUCUGAUUGAUCUGAUUUGAUAAGAAAUACAAUGCAGUAAAAAAGGCUUCUACCCAAAACUUGUGAGGAACUUUGGAAGCAACAAGAAGUGUCCGAGCAGUUUCAGUAAGAUGUCUAUGCUUGCGUUCCACACACCCAUUUUGCUCAGGUGUGUGGGGACAACUGUAUUGAUGAGAAAUACCAUGUUGAAGCAAGAAUGAAGCAAAAGCAGAACCAGUGAACUUACCCCCUGAAUCUGUGCGAAGAAUCUUGAUUUUAUGGCCAAGUAAGUUUUCAACAUAUGCUUUGAAAAUGACAAAAGUAUAGAAGACUUCAGACUUGUGUUGUAAAGGAAACAUCCAACUGUAUUUGCUAUACUCAUCCACAAAGAGUACAUAGUACUUAUAGCCACUAAUUGAUGAAACUGGACAGGGACCCCAGACAUCACAAUGAAUUAAAUCCAAACUAUGGGAUACAGUGGUAGUACUAAAAGAAAAGGGCAGCUUAUGAUUUUUGCCAAUAGCACAGUCUGCACAAAAAAACUGAACAGAAGCUGAAGUAUGAGGAACAAGCUUAUUUGUAUGUAAAAUCCUUCGGAGAAUGGCUAUGGAAGGAUGACCGAGUCGUUUGUGCCAUUGUUGUAAAGAUGCUUGAGUGCUUACAAGUGCAGAAUAUGAAGCUUGGAAUGGCUGACCAUGCAGAGGAUGGAAACCAUCCCUAACUGGGCCUCGAAAAAGCAUCUUCCCAGUGGAACGGUCCUUGAUGACAGAACCAUCAGAAUCAAGAGUUAAAGAGCAAUAAUUGUCUCUUAGAAACUGAUAUGCAGAGAGCAAAUUGAAUUGCAUCAUUGGCACAUGAAGAACAUUAUUUAAUCGAAAGGCAGCAUGUGGUGUUUGGAGAAUAGAAGAACCUGUAUGGUGGAUGGGCAUACCUUGGCCAUCACCAGCAUAAACCUUGUCGUCACCAGAGUACAGAAUGGGGGAAGUGAUAGCGGAGAUAUCAUUGGUAACAUGAGCAGUAGCACCAGAGUCCAGAAGCCAUGUAGGCUGAGAAGAAGAGGCAGUAGAAGCACACAUAGCAGCAAGCUUGGCAGGUGGAAUCUUUCCAGCAAAGGCAUGAUUCAUGCGAGCAUAGCAGUCAAGAGCCUCAUGAUCAAAAGAAUUGCAUAUUUGACAGGGAGACCGAGUUCCAGAAGACCGAUUAAAGCCACCAGAGUGGCGAUUAUAAUGACUAGUAUUAUGAUGAAAGGAACCAUUACCAGGGCCAGAGUUAGUAUAAUGUCCACGAUAGUUGCCUCGACCUCUGUUGUUCUUCUGAAAAUUGCUUCGGCCACGAUUAUUGCGCUGAAAAUUGUUGCGAUUGUUGUAGGUAGAAUAUGGAACAACAUAUGCCUGGGAGGGAGGAGGCGUAGGUAAGAGACCUUGCUGGAGAGGCAAAGCUUGAGCAGCAAAUGCUUGAAAUGGUUCAGUGAGAGACGACGAAUGAGCUUUCUUCUUGCGAUGCAUAAAGAUCUCUUUGUUCAUGAGUAAGCCGUGAAGUUCAUCUAAAGAAGUAGAUGAAAUGCAAAGCAUUAUCGAAUCAAUGAAAGAUUCGUAAUCAUCCGAGAGGUCAUUUAGUGUAACAACAAUGAGAUCUGGUUCCGACACCAGGGCUCCGGCAGCCAUAAGAGCAUCAGAGAUGCAUUUGAUACGCUGCAGAUAAUCAGAAAUUGACAAAUCACCUUUUUGAAUCGCAUGAAGACGCGAUCAGAGCUGGUGAAUGUGCGCCGCCGAGACUCCGCCAAACUGUUGUUCAAGAAUCUGCCAUAAUUCUCGAGAUGAGGUGACGCCAACGGUGAACGGAAUAAGAUCUUCAGAGAGAGUGGAAUUCAACCAGAUCAGGAUAUUUUGAUCCUUUUCAAACCAGAUCUCGUAAUCAGGAUUAGGAACAGCAGUACCAAUACCGUUUUGAUUGAGAAGAAAGGGCGAUGGACAUUUCUCCGAUCCAUCGAUGAUACCUGUAAGUUUGUAGCGCCGGAAAAUUGGAGCGAAAAGAGCUUUCCAGGCAAGAUAAUUGUCCUUCUUAAGCUUUGUAGGAACCAUACAACUGAUGUUUUGGAUUGGAAUUGAGGAAAUCGAAGAAUUAGGGUUUAUCGGAGCUGAAUUUGAGGAAAUGGGAGUAGGAUUCUGAGCGAAAACUUCUGGAUUUGCAGGCGAAGAGGUAGAAGACGCCAUUGUCGAUCAAGGAUUUGCAGAGAGAAAACGAAAUUGGGAAGAAAAAUCAAAGAUUGCAGAGGAAGCUAGGAUCGGUGCGUGAGCAGAGAGGCGAGUGAUACCAUAUUAGAAAUAACUCUGGUAUUUUCAUUUCUUAAUGAAUAAGGAAUUACAACUGGUUUAUAUACAUUUGUGAGAAAUAGUUUAGCGACUAAUUACCCUUGGUUAACUGACUAAUCUAGUGAUUAGUUACAUAGACAGUUGUAACAGACUUGUAACCAAAAUACAACAAACUAUAUAUGUGACUCUUUACUUAGCCCUUGGUUUAUAAAUCCCAACUUUAAAAUUCCAAGUAGAUGUGUCUGUUAAUCGAUUGCAUUUGGGAUGGAAAUGGUUUUGAAUGAUUUGGAUUUUCAUUAAUUUUAAUUCAUCUGCUAAUCAUAGUUUCAUGUAUUAGAUAGUUGCUUUGCUCUCACAAAUUUUGUUGGUAGGGGUUCAGCAAAGCUUUCUAGGGCUAAAUCUUCAGUUUGCUGUUGGGUAUGUUUACUUUAUGCUUUUGUUUUUUGUUUUUUGUUUUUUGUUUUUGUCUGGAGUAAAUAUGCUUAAGAUGUCACAUGAUUAAAGGUGGAGAAACCACCGUCCCUUUUUUCGUAGAAAUUUGUAAAUUUUUUUUAAAAUAUGUGUGGGUUGCUGAAACUAAUUAUUUGAUCAGUGUGAUUUUUUGUAAUUGAGAAUUUAGGACCUUGGUAACUUGAUUAAAUAGGAAUUUUGUGAUUAGGAAUUUGUGGGUUUACCUCCUAAUUUAAUCCCUUUCUUAAGAGGGAUCUGGUCGUAACACACAAUGGGGGGAAGAGAAGCGGCACCAGGUUCGGCGAUCAAUCUGAAGAGGAAGAGGUCAAUUUUGAGCACAAGUCCAAUCCCCGGCCCAAUUUUGUAUGAUCAUCUAAUUUCAUGUUUCCUUUCUAUUCUGAUUCCAAAAGUAUGUUUCGAAAUGAUUAGGGUUUCAGUUUUUGUUUUAAUCUUAGUUGAAGGAAGAUAUAGGGUGUGGUUUUGUUAAUGGCGGUGGAUGAUUUGGAUGAAAGUAUGUAUCCUCGGGAUUUUUUUGCUUGCAGUUGUUUAGGCCCGGACUGAAGAAGUUUUGUGGAAUGAGAUUCCUAUAUCGAAUUGUCUCUCUGUUUAUGGCAGGUAAUAAAGGUGUUCCAACCAGUAGCUGAUAAAAUGUCUUUAUGUAUAUGCUUUUGUUGAUUUCUGCUGCGAUAAUGAGGGAAUCCAGAGGAUUGAGGCCAGUUAAUCUGAGGUUUGUACUACUCUAUCCCUUUCUUUCUUUCUUUCUUUCUGUAAAUUUCUUGAAAUUGACGACGCACGUUCUGAUUCUUGCUGUGUUUGGGAGCGGAGAAAGCUCUGGAUUAGCUUUGAUCACUUGAAUUUUGUCUUAUUUAGUUCAGCACAGUCGGACUACAUAAUCCUACCAUUGGGCUAUUUCUAUAGAGGGUUUAUGUUGACUUUUGUUGGCCUGUUGACAGUCUGGUAGGUCUAUCAUAUUGAUGGAACUAAAUUGUGAGUUAGUUAUGGUUUAGAUUGUUGAAUUUUGAAUUUGCAAUUCCCUUUGAAACUGUCACAAGCGAUGUGUCUGUUGUGGCUACAGGAAUCAAAAGCGAGUGAAAGGUAAAGCUUUUCUCUCCAAGCAUUCAUUGCCAGAAAUUGUAGUACCUCUUUUAAAUUCAAUUUUUUAUUUAUUUGCAGAAUUGUAUUAUCCUUUUGAAGCAGUGGGGAGCCGCGGGUUCACUCACGCUUUCAAAUUUCUCUCUCUCUCUCUCUCUCCCCCCAUUGUAUUUGGGUUUUUCUCCUAUUUCUCUUUUUUGUUGAUCUAAUUUGUGGUGAAGUUGUUGAGUUUGCUUGAAUUGGAACGUGGGUUUAAUUGAGUUUCCUUUACGGCCACUUUGUGUCUGGCAAAGGUAAUAAUAUUACUCUUCAUUCCAUAAGCUUUAUUUUUAAUGCCCAUAAAAAUUUGGAACUGAGAACAUGAUGGGGUUUUAGGCAAUACCCAAGUUCUAUAAUUUUCCCCGCUUGUUUUUAUUAGUAAUUUCUUCAAUCAUGUUAGUUUGAUAGUGUUUUGCUGCCCAGAAUUUUUUUGAAUUUAAAAUAUCAUGGGAUUGGGGUUUUAAGAUUUUAACAACAAUUGAUAUGAAUUUUGGUGAAUUUUGAUGCUCAAUGGACUUUGUUAACGGCUUCUAACUUUGUUAUGCUUUGGAAUAUUGGUGGGUUUUCAUCAAAUUUUGCUUAUAUCUUUGUGCGGUGUGUCUGUUGUAUUAUCUGGUCAUAGAUACCUUCGUUCAGUAAUUUGAGAAGCAUGGGGAGAUAAUAGACUAAUCAAAGAGAUGCAUGUGAUCAACGAUAAAUAGGUAAGCAUCAUCCUUUUCCUUCUUUUGUUAUGAUUGGUUGUAUAGAGGAUUGAGAAAAAAGUUGAAGACAAUUCCAUGCUUUUGAGUUAUAGCAAUUAGUAAAUAUAAAGUUCAUUGAAGUUUUGAAUCCUUCGUUAGUUUAUUUAUGGUGCGUGCUUGAGAAUGAAAGCAAUGGACAUUAUAUGGAAUUGAUGUUCCUUUUAAUGUCAGUAAAGAAAGGAAUUGUUCCUUUAUUAGCAAUUAUAUGAAGUAGGCAUAUUAUGCAAUACAAUGUCUACAAUCGACUAUUUUACUUUUUGUAUACAAGUACAAACUUUUGAUCGAAAGCCACAAAAACUACCUAAAGGCCAAAGAACUGUGUGUGUUAGAAGAACAAAAUAUGGUGUAAAGCUUAAAUUUUGGGCACUUAAAUAUAUGUUUUAUUUUUCAAUUACAAUAACUUGCAUGAAAAUUCAAUUGGGUUUGUUCUGGUCUCCAAGAAUUUUGCUUUGUUUGGUUACUGAUUAAUUUAUGUGGUGGGAGUUUAGUUUUUGCAUUUCUGCCUAUGUAUAUAUGAUUCGAAAUGGACUGUUCAAUUAUAUAUUUGUAAUCGAAAAGCUCGAAGGAGAGGUGAAUUAUAUUACCGACACCGUUCAUUUAUCUAUCCCUUUGCUCAUUCAUGAUUAUGUAGAAUUUUUUUCCAGGUUAAAUGUGUCAUAUUCAUGUAGUUAAGGCUGAUGCAUUUAAGUCCCGCAGUAUCGCGUGGGCCAAUUUACUAGUGUAAACGAAAAUCGAAAUCAAAACACGGAGAUUUUUACGGUUUUAAAACGACUUCGGUUUGAAUCUGAACUGUAGCAUGAAAAAACAGGUUGGUUUUGCUUUUGAACAUCUGAAAUCAAGCCGAAACUGAAUCACAUUGCCAAAAUACCUGAACGAAAAGGCAUAGAGUACGUUCCGCAUAAUGCCCAAAACCAAAAGCCGCAAGGGUGACGCCGAACCUCCGCUCUGUGUAUGAUAGCAUGCCCACCGGACCUGAUGCUCCGCCGCAGCAUGUAAAUCUUGGAUGAGUGGUACACCAACAUUACAAUGCAGUGGUUUAUAUGAUGACGAUCCCAACUGUUAGGUACUCAAGCCCAAGGGAAGAGCCCAACCCAAAAGACUAGUCCAAUAGGUGGGAGGACCCCAAGGACUUAAGAACCCCUACACCCCCAUAAGUGUAGUCGAUGUGGGAUCAUAACAUUACACCACCCUUCGGAAGCCGACGCCCACGGCGGCCCUUACUCUGAUGGCUUUCACUCUUAACGGCAGUGCACCCUUUGGUCAUCCCGUUAAGGUAGCCCUUUCCAGGUCACCCCCUCCGCAGCGUCGGGAACCUAGGCUCUGAUACCAAUGUUAGGUACUCAAGCCCAAGGGAAGAGCCCAACCCAAAAGACUAGUCCAAUAGGUGGGAGGACACCAAGGACUUAAGAACCCCUACACCCCAUAAGUGUAGUCGAUGUGGGAUCAUAACACCAACAUUUCAAAUUCAUUUUCUUAAUCCUUCUUCAGGUUUGUCCACACAACAAAUUGGUGGCAUAUUCAGAAGACACCAAAGGAAAUGAAAUCUAUACAGUUUGUGUCGUUGAUGCCGAGACAGGUGCUCAUGUGGGUCUGCCUCUAGUUGUUACAACAUCCUAGUUUGCAAAUGGUUUGAAACCGAAAUUAAAACCGUUUGAAACCGAACUAAAUCGCAACCAAAUGGUUUGGUUUUAUCUUGAUUCGUUCAAGCUUCAAAUUCACACCGAACCGAACUGGCAAAAAAUUCAGUUUCACUUUAAAACCGCACAUAACCAAACCGUGUCCAUCCGUGGUCUGCAUUGGAGGAAAACUGGGGAAAACCUCCCGGUAACCUCAACUCUGAUGGAGGAAAUGUAUUGGAGAUUGAAGAUUGUGAAUUCUUGUUUUUGUUUUUCUCCAUAAGAUUUCCAUACAAAAUUUCUAUACGAUUUUUGCCUUCUCUUGUAAUUUCAUUAUGACUACAUACUACAAAUUUUUGGUGACCCUCCGACAGCCACGGAAACGACAACCCACUUCUGAGAUCGGAAGCUAGCGUAUGGAGACGGCGUGUCGGAGAUUGUCUUGACGGUGGAUUCGAGCUGUGGCGUCGAAUAUUAUGUUUUUUGGUCAAAUAAUAAAUUUUGUUAAAUUAGUCAUCAAUGGGUGAUUAGCUAUCAAUAGGUUCGGACUCAUAACGUCAUGCAAAAGUUUAACAUUUUUCUACCAUUAUGAUAAAGUGGUUAAUCACACCGAUGAAUGAUUAGUCACAGACGAAUUAUUCUCUAUCAAUCAUACAAAGAUUUAAGGAUCUGUUUGGUAUCUUAUUUGAAAAUUUUAUUAUUUCUCAAAACAUUUCUUAAGAACAUUUCUUGAAAACAAUUUUCUUUAAGACUCAAAAACUUGAUUGGUUUGCGAUUUAAAUUUUUUAAAUCUUAUGACUUAAACUAGAUAAAUAGAUCUAAAAAUAGGGGGUCGCAUGAGAGGAAGAAAAAGGAGAGAGAAUGAAAGAAAGUAAGAGAGGAGUGAAGGCAAGAGAAAGAAGAGAGAGGAUUGGACGAGAUAACGAGGAAGAUGAGUGAGAGAAAGAACCAAGAAAAUAAAAGGAGCUGAUUGGAGGAGAGACGAAAAAGGUUACAAAAAAAAAGGAGAAAGAAAGAAGAAAAGAGAGAGAGAUAGGUUUGAAGUGAGAGAGGAGAAGGAAGAGAAAAAAAAUGAGUGAGUUUAAGUUUAAAAACUCUAAAAACUCACUUUUUAUGUUUUUAGAUAAUAUACUAUAUUUUUUAGUUAGUAUUGAAUUCAGUUUUUAAAAAUAGUCUUACAAAACAAGUUUUUAAGGCAUAAAACUUAAAAAUUAUUUUUGAGUUUAAAAAAUUAAAUUCAAAUAGAGUACCAUAACAUUUUUUUACUAUUUGUGAUAAAGAAGCACUUGCUACCCAUGCGAGCUGGUUGGAUAUAUACAAAAGGGUCCUUUCAGCCUUGGUGCCACUGCCAGACAGAAAACAUGGAAAGUAAAGAAGAGAAAAAAAAAAAUAAAGCAAAAGAAGGUGAUGGUGGAAUUGCAGAAAGAAAUGAAGGAAAAGGAAAGGGGGAGUCCACGUGAAGAAAAGGCAGAAGAAAGACGAAAGAAAACAAAGAGAAAACAAAGAGAAAAAAAAGAUGAAUGAGGAUUUUCGUAGAAUUCUCCUCGUAAAGAUUCUAAAGAUUCUUUAAUCAUAUCCAUUUAUCGUAUAUAUGUUAAAAAUUAUUUUAAUUAUUUUUAUUUAAAAUUAAAUAUAAACAAUACCAAAUAAAAAUUAAUCGUGCGAUAUAUUAUAAACGAAUAUAAUUAAAGAAGUAUCAAAAUUCUUUAAAAAAAAAUCCGACCACGAUCUUCUUUCAAAGUAAAAGUUGAGACAGAAAAGAAAAAGAAAGAGGUUAAAGAAAGAGAAAAAAAAAAAUGGUGGUGCCUGGCAUACAAUACAGAAGUAAAAAAGUGAUGAGAUUGUGGCAGACAAAUAAAAAAAUGUGAAGAAAAAGUGGAAGAAAAUAAAAAAAGGGGUGGAAUGAAAAAGUGAGGUGUGUGGCCAGUGGCCACGUGAAGAAAAGAAAAAGAAAAGAAAAAGAAAAGAAAAAGAAAAGAAAGUGGUGGCAACCACAUGUGAAAUGGCAUGUACCAUCAUGUUAGCAGAUCUAAUAAAGGUCGCCUUUUAUCAUGGUAAUAUAAAAGUUGCGCAUCUUUGCAUUCUUACGUGAAUUCGAGUUUUUUUUGUUUCUAAAAGAUUGUGUGUUCUUAUAUUUCAGCGUGAGUUCGAAAAACCAACAAAAUCAUGAAGGGAAUGAAAACAAGUAUGAAUUCCAUUAGAACCAUCCUCUGAGUGAUCUUCCUUGUCAAAAUUCCCACACGCCAUUAACUUAAUCAUUAACUUAGCAUAUGUAAAGAAGAGCUCAAAAAGUGGUUGAUUCUUUACUCACUCAGGUUUUUUUUCUGUAUGUGACAAACAUCAGAUUAAAGUUCCUAACAUGAAUGACAUCUUUCAAACUAUAGGGAUAAAAUAACUUCAGCGGGGACUUGUAUGCAUCAUUAUCACGUUGAAAUGUUUUGUAAUGUUAUUGAUAUGCAACUUCAAGAGCUAAAUAUUCGUUUUGCUGAGACGAAUAUUGAGUUGCUUCUUUGUGUGAAUCCAGGUGAUAUUCGUUCUCUGCUUUUGACAAACAAAAGUUGAUUCGGCUUGCUCAGUAUACCUGAAUGGCUUUUCGGCACUUGACUUGAUGAUAUUGUUUUUUUAAGGAGCUUUUUGACACUUGACGAUACUUGAAAAUCAGCUUAAGAUGCACAUUAUGGACAUGCGCUCCAGCAUUGAGUUUUUAGGAUUGAAUGGGAUUGCGAAUCUUGCACAAAAAAUGGUUGAGACAAAAUAAGAAACUGUUUACCCAUUAGUUUACUUGAUGUUGACAUUGGCACUCAUGUUACUAGUUGCAUCUCCCAGUGUAGAGGGCGUUUUGUGCUAUGAGGAUUGUGAAGAAUUGAUUACUCAAUCAAAUGGAAGAUCAAGGGACAGAUGAUUGUUGAAUUGCCUAUAUUGAGAAAGACAUUCUCGAUGAUAUCAAACAUGAAGUUAUUAAGCAACGAUUUCAAAAUAUGAAAACUCAUCCAUGGCAAAUAUUAUUGUAACUAAUGGAUAUAUUAUCAAAUAAUGCUGAUUUGUUGUCGUAGAAUGGGCUUCAGUUUUAUUUUUCCUUAUUUAGUUAAAAUAUUGUUAGUAUAGAUAUGUCUUUGCAUCCCAUCCCUUUAAUUUUAACAGGUUCGAUGAUGACCGCUUGCUCAAGAAAAAUGACUGCAGAACAUUAGAGUUACAGGUUAGUGUCGAGAAGUAAUGUACUUGAAUGGAUGACCAUAGGUUGCAUUUUGCAGUUAGUAUUUGGCAUUAUAUGUCGUUUUGUAUCGGAAAAUUAUAGAGCUAUACAGUUGAAUUGAAUUACAAUUGAAUUGAAGGAGAAUGAGUGUGCGUUUUACGUUGAUUAGUUUGCUCACAAUCUUCAUUCUACACUUGUAGAGAUGGCAAAUGAUCAUUCUGAAAUCUAUUGUCUCUUUACUUCAGUUGCUAAUUUGGCAAAAUGAUGCACCAAGCUAAAGUUUGAAACUAAACUGAACUGAAUCCUUUUGGUUAUCUAAUUUACACUGAAAUGAUGCACCAAACCAAAAUGUGUAUUCUAAUUGGUGAGGUAACAUAAUAUGUCCUUAUUUCCAAAAAAAAAACAUAAUAUGUCCUUGUCCUUGAUAGCAUUCAACAUUCAAAUUCUCUAACAAGUUUGUGACAACCCGUUCCAACUUUAUCAAAUUUUAAUUUUGAAAGUGAGAAUUGACUAAAAUGCCUCUGUUGGGUUCAGCUGAUACGUGGACGUUUGAGCCAGUGCUUAAUUUGUCUCAUUUCGUAGUAUAUCGAGAUAGUACUCAUCGUUACUAACGUGUGAGCGCUAACUAGACCCAAAUUAGAUUUGUAACAAAGAAACUACACUUGUUAAUAAACGGGUAAAUAUGUACACAAAAUUGUGUGAAAUUCACAGAGUGUGCAUGUGAGAAACUGUAACCAUUAUCCUUUCCGAAUCCUUAUUUGCGUAUUGCGGAAAAUAUCAAUUCAUCAUAAUCGUUCACUACACAUAUAAAUGAUUUUAAAUAUUUUAUUCUUUUUCCAGCUUGCACGCACAAAUAACGGGCCCCAUUCUUUUUUCGUCACUUUGUAUCAGAUGCUUUAUCCAUCUAAAAUGGAUCAUUAUUGAUUGAAUGAUAACAACCACCACUCUUACAUCACACAGUACAUAAAGACUUCAUUAUUUAUUUAAAGUAUCUGUUAGCUUUUAAAAAUUUGUCAUGUUGUGAGAUUUUUCUUCCGUUAAAUCACGCUUUUGUUUCGUGUGAGAAUGUGAAAAGUUUGUCUAUUUGUAUGAUUUAAAUAUGUGAGAUAGGUGUGUGUUUCUGAUGCUUUUAGCUGAGAUUAAUAUCAUAUGUAAUGUCAAAUUGGAUGUUGCGUAUAGGGAUGGGCAACGGUUAUGACAGGCAGAUAACCGCAGUUAUUUACCCAUAACUAUUUUUGCUCAUACCCGCAUAACCGUUUAUCCGUUGGGUAAUUGCCUAAACGGUUAUACCCAUACCCAUAAACAUUUAUAAAUGGUUAACCAUACCCAUAACUGCAUACCUAUUUAACCGUAACCGUUUAAUACCCAUUUACCCAUUUACCAUUUUUAACCCGUUUGUCUUUUUUUUUACCAUCAUCCAUUUUUCACCCGUUUACAUGUUUUUUAACAACUUGAAAUUUUAAAAAAAAAUGUCAUAAUUUUUUUUUUUGACAAUUAAACACCGUUAUAGGUACAUUCAUCAUACAUUUCCGUAUUUUAAUUUUUUAAGUCCUUAUACCAUUCCAAUAAUUGAAAUAAUAAUUUACGGAUGAUAUUUUUAACUGUUACCAAUGAAAGUAAAUAUAAUAUUUGCCAAGUAUUAUUGGGUUACAAAAAUUGUUUAGAAGACAUUUCUGUCAAAGCAUUUAUGUCAAUUUCACGGUUACCCACAAAUAAUUUAAAUUAAUUUGGAGAAUUCCUUGAUGAUGAGAAUCAUCAUUCCUGUAGCAGUGUUAUUGAUAAAAAGACCGAUGAAUUCCUUGCUAAUUUAUUGGGUGCUAAGUAUUAUUGGAUCAAGAACUUGGUUUGUGUUAGUUUUACAUAUAUAAAAUAAAUGGGUAAACGGUUACCGGUUUAUAACCACGGUUAAUACCCAUAACCGUCCAUUUAAAUUUCGCGGGUAAACGGUUAUACCCAUAACCGUUUAUUAUCUAAACGGUUAGUCAUAACCAUAAUCGUUUAAUUUAAAUGGGCGGGUAACCACGGUUACCCUUAACCAAUGGGUAUUUGCUCAUUCCUAGUUGUGUAUAAUUAAAUUAGUGUAAAAUAUCACUUUAUGAGUGAGUCACGAGAGCAAAUCCCAUGCGAGAAUGUGUGCGUUGAAUGUAUUGAGUUAUGCAAAGAGUAAAAUUGUAGCAGUUGCAUUGUUAAUUUGAUGCAUUUACUUAUGUAGUUUUAAUUUUGGCUAAAAAACAUUAUUUUAAAGGAUAAAAAUUAGUAAAGAUGUGUUAAAAGUAAAAAUAAAUGCGUUGAUAGUAUCACUAUUUUAAAAUUGUUCAUUCAAUUUGCAUGACUAACAAUCUCAAAAUGAAUAAAUUUACCUUACUUUUGGGCUUGUUUCUUUACUUUACUUUUGAAAAUGACUGCAACUUUACUUUAGUGUGCUUUUAACAAACUAUAGUUUAAUUUGUUUUAUCUUUAAUAAGAUUAGUUGUUUGACCGAAAACAAAAGAAUAACUUUUUUUUUGAGAUAUUUUUACACAAUGAUAAAAAAAUAUGCAACUCUAAUUGCGAUGCUUCUACCGUGAAAUGAUAUAAAAUUGUAAUGCCACGAGAGAGUGAGGAUGGCUCGAGACAUGUAUUGUCGUUUGAAAAUUUGGGGUUCGUAAGCAAUGCAUCCAUUUCUCUUUCACUUUUGUCUUUUUCUUGUUAAAGAGAAUACAAAAUGACAAAACUAAUCUUGUUGGGUUUAAUGGAAUUUUGAGCCAAUGCUUAAUUCGUCUCAUUUCUUACCAUAUUUGGACCGUCAUGAAAGCAUAAAAAAAAAUGAACUUUAAUGAAAAGUUCUCAGUACUAUUCAUUUUAACGAAAAAUCAUAUUUUUACAUUAAAAAAUCAAUUCUGGUACUAUUUAUUUUACCCUUUAUUUUAUCCGUUAAAACUCAAAGUUUUCAAAACUUUUUAAUUAGUUUUUCAUAAAAAAACCUAGACCAAAAUCAAACUUAUAACGAUUUAAUGAUCGAUAACAAGCAAUAAAUUUGUACACUUGUGUAAAUUCGCACAUGUGUGCACGUAAGAAAGAGUCGGCAGACACUGUUGGAGAAAUUAUCUAUUGGCUUUUGAAAAUUUGUCCUGUUGUGCGAUUUUUCUUCCGUUAGAUCAGGCUUUUCCUUUACGGAAAGCCACCCACCCCACCAAUCAAUCACUCUGCUUUUUCUCCCUUUCUCUCAGGGUUUCUCCUCCCAGUAACAUCUCUCUCACUCGCUAAACCCUCUCUUUCUACCUCUCAAACUCUCCCGUCCUCUCUUUUCUUUGUAACGCAGCGAAAGUCACCAAACCUUGACGAAUCAACGCUCAAACCACCACCACAUCCCACCCUCUUGACCUCGCGAGUUCGAACCCGAGCUCCGUUUCGUAGGAAACAGAGACUAGAAGCUCUAGCUCGAAGCUCCGACGAGAAAGAAACUUCCCGACGAAGUUCCCGACACUUUUCCGACCACUCCACACCGUUUUGGAAGAGUUGGAAGCCACCACACAACUCCCUAACGUCCCUGGGUCAAGUUUGAGGCAAUCCCCAACUCGAAAACACACGGUUUCGAAGCUUUGGGUUUUUGGCCGAGACUUUCUGGCCAAUUUCAGUACAUUUACGUCUACUUUUUGGAGUUCCAAGAGGUAUAAACUUGUUCCUUGUGCUUCAUUUCCAUGUAAAGAGCGUAAAAUGGUUGAGAAAUGAGCAAGUUAUGACCUUUUGAAAUUCUCCCCAGUUUCCGUCGAUUUCAGGUUCCUUCCGUCCUGUUUUUGGCUAAAUCAUGGCGAGUUAGCCAUUGCUAUGGGUACCAAUCUGUUCAUCUCAUUCUGAGGUAUCAUUUCCAUUCUGAAUCACUCAACUUCGUUAAGAUAUGCGGAAGUUAUGAUGAUUUAAAAAUUUCCCAGAAAACCGGCGAGAAACUGCAUAAUCCGGCGACCAGCGACCGGAAUCUGGUGAAAAGUAAAUGAAAAAACGCAGUUCUAAAACAACUAAAUACGUAAUUGCAUAUCAUUCAAAACACAGAAACUUGUGAGAGUGGCCUGAACAGAAAGAAAAAAUAUGAAAUGAAGUUCCUUUAAAAUCUUAUCCGGUAAAAGAAUUUUUCAUUAUGAUGGAACACAGACGGUGGAAAGUGUUUUUACGGAAGUGAUAGAAAUUUUAUUCUUAACUGUUUAACACAAAUAUUUUUUAAUUUGUAUAAUGACACGUAUUGUAUCAUUUUAUGUGUCGAUCAUAUUAAAAAAAUAAUGUUCAAGAAGGGUAACAUCACAUAUCUAACUUAAACUAGGGAAUGUCAUACUUAAUGUGAUCAUAACUAGUAACUUUUUAUUUUUUACCAACUGCUAAUAAAUUAUAAAGCACCAAGUAUUUGAAUUUUUUAAUUAACCUGGUGAGAUAUUCCCCAAGUUCUGACAUCCACGCCAAUCAAUGUAGUAAUUCCUAAUCUUGUAGUUUGUAAAAUUAUCUUUCCCACCUAGAAUGCGAAUAAGGGGUACAUUUUGCACAGUGCACCCUCACUACUAGUUUAAAUGACUUAUAAGCUUUGGUUUUAUUUAUUCAAAUUUUUGCUCAUCAUCUAUACUUUAUGAUUUUUGUCACUUUUCAGGUGUCCGCUAGUACACUUUGACUUCAGUUGGGGUCUGUCAAAGUUCAUGAAGCACCAUUACUAAUUCCAGACAUAUGAUUUGUUGCUGAACAAGACAUAAAUUUCAUAAUUUCACUUUUACUCUGGACAGUUGUAUCGUGUUGACUUACAAUACAGGUACUACAUAUUUCUCGAAAACUAUUUCUUUCAAAUAUUUGUUGUUUUAGACGUUUGUUUUUACUCUGCCUGACUAAGAAAUAAAAGUGUUGGUUUUACAUUUUAGUGCCCACCAAAUACUGUAUUUCAGCUGAGCUUCAAUACUAACAAACCUAAGGAAACCAUCAUGUAUUAAAAAAUAAUCAACUAAAAGUGAGCUAAUCCCCUUAUAAUCAAAUUUUAUUGUUUUCUAAACAAAAAAAAAAAGAAAACUAAUGAAAAGGGCUUGAAAACUUUGAGUUUUAAUGAUAAGGACAAAAUAAAGGGUAAAGUGAAUAGUACCAGGAUUGACUUUUUAGUGUAAAAAUGUGGUUUUUCGUUAAAGUGAACAGUACCGGGAGCUUUUCGUUAAAGUUUCCAAAAAAAAAUGGAUUGGGGUAGCUAGCAGAAAUAAACAAAUAAAAUAUCAUGUGACAGUGAGUUUGGGGACCAUACAAAUGCAUGUGUUAUUUUUAUCAUGCAAUACAAAAAGUUUGAAACCGUUCUGCUAUGCAAUGAUGAAAUGUAAACUAUUCAAAAUUUGCAUACUGUAAAAUAAUAAUAAUAAUAAAAUAAAUAUACACAUGCACUAAAACGAUCAAUUGAAAAUAUUGCCCUCAAAGUUCGAUUUUCUUUAACCAAAACCCACCAUAGUAUAUUCUCCUAACAAAAACUUAAUAACUAGGCUCCAAAUUGCCCUUAAUGUUCUUAUUUUAUUGUAGAAACUUCAUCGUAAGUCCGAAAUCAGUUCCACUUGCGUCCACGCAUUCGUAAUAACGAGCACUACGAGGAUAUGCUAAAAGGAUGGGUCUAUUCACUUGUGUGUGUGUUUAGGUCAACCCCAAAAAAUAAACUAAUUAGGCAUUAUGCCAAAUUAGAAAAUAAUAAAACAUAUGGACCAACUUGCCCACUUGUUUAACAAGUCUAGCGAGCAAACCAUCAUUGUCACAGUCUGCAACCAACGAUACUAACAGCGUACUUGAAAACAAGUUGUGAAGUCUUGAGGGUGCAAAAUAACCAUUUUGCCCAUCGUCGUGAAACAUGUGCAACUCUUUAGUAAGGACGAGUACUAUCUCAUAACGACAGAACAUGGACAAAAGUGAAAAGAACUCAAAUGUCAACAUAGAAUUUUCACUUAGCCUGUCAAGGGUAUUUUCGUAAUUUUAUAAUGUCAAAGAAUAAAAUACAAAGGAUAGGAUGUAACAAUCUACCUCUUUAAAGAAAUUUUGUCCCUAAAAAAUCAUAUUAUACAAGAUCUUACUCGAAGAACAAGUAUGCAUACAGACCUCUCAUGUGCCUUUUAUGCCUCUACGCUGCUACCUGACGCUUAUCUGGUAUUCUAGUACUGUCCAACUCCAUACCACCUAUAUCCUGGUCCUAAGGCAUGACUUCUUGUUACUGCAUAGUAUUUCUAGUAUAAGGAACCAUACCGUGUCCUGGUAGUGGAUAACGCAACACCAUCAUAGCAGGUUGGCUUCCCAUGAGUAAGUUUGGUUGAUAGAGAACUGCUCUUGUGAGCUACUUUCGUUGUUUUGGGGCACACUUGUUGGCCCAAUAUUCUUGCUGACCGCAUAUAUGACAACCUUUACUCCCUUCCUAUACUUGUCGUAAUGAUGGGUGUUGUAUUGGAAGCAAUUAUUGUACUGGUGUUACUGGAAUUACCCUAAGGGCGAAAUUUAGAAGCUGUUGGAUAUACUUCCAAAAUCGAGUUUACUGGAACUUGAUUAUCCAUUAGAAGAUGUGAAAUUAUAGUUGUUUUUAUUUUUUGAAACAUUGGUUCUGUUGUGGAUAAAAAGAACACUAGUGUUCUUCUGUUGAGUGCUACCACUCUCAUCACCAACAUUGUCACUCGAGACAUUAUCGAAAUUCUCAAUGCAAAGUAAAGCCUUGUAGAAUUCCUUGUAUGUGGUACAUGAUAUAGGUGCUGCCAAGAAACAAAACUGCUUGCGGAUCUGUUAUUUGAACUGGUGGAGCCUCUUUGAAUGGUUAGUAGCGAUUGUUGGACAAUAGCAUGACAGAUCGUUAAACUUCCGAUGGUACUUAGCUACCGAUGUUUUGCCUUGUGUAGGUCCCUAAACUCAUCUUCUUUUUUUUUCGAGUCUUGUACUCCGAAAACUCCGCAUGUGUAAGUUUAUCUUACAUUGCCAGUCCCAAGCCCGGAUAAAAGAGGAGGGGGAGGACAUCAGGUAAUUGAUAGCCGGCACUCCUAUUUUACGUCAAAUUCUUAUGAUAAUGAAUCCUGAACCAAAUUGCACUAAAGUUAGGUCAUUACCCGUAAGUGGCGCGCUGUGGCCCGAGCAUAUUAAUAAGUGAGCAAGGGUCGUCGUAUCUUCAUCAACGCUCGGAUGCAGUGUUAAAUGAGUAAGGAGGCCAUAUAAACUUCUUUUUGAACGACUCCACUCAAAGUUGUUUGGAAGCAUCUGCUCCUAUCAACUUUGACCUUAUUGGACGGGGGAUGGUGAAGAAGCUAGGGCAUGAGGGUAGAGUUCAAGAGAGUAAAAUGCGUUUAGGAACGUGGAAUAUAGGAACCUUAACGGGAAAAUCUGUGGAAGUAGUGGAAGUUAUGGUGAGGAGAAGGAUAAGUAUUAUAUGUCUACAAGAAACUAAGUAGGUUGGUCUUAAGGCAAAGGAUCUCGAAAACUCAGGUUUUAAACUUUUGCAUUUGGGCACAAAUAGAACGAGAAAUGAUGUUGGCAUCAUCGUGGACAAGACCUUGACACAAGAUGAUGUAAACAUCAAGAGGGUAGGAAAUAGAAUUAUGGCAAUCAAAUUGUAAUAGGACAAGAACUCAUCAAUGUGAUUAGCGUGUAUGCACCUCAAGCAGGGUUGGAUACGAGAUUGAAGGAGAAAUUUUGGGAAGAUCUUGGAGACUUGGUACAAGGAAUCGCUCAGAUUGAGGAGAUUUAAAUGGACACGUGGGCAAUGAGACAGGCCAUGGUUUUGGGGAGAGAAACUAGGAUAGGAAAGCCAUCUUGGAUUUUGCAAUGGCAUACGAUCUCUUCUUAGCCAACACCUUCUUUAAGAAGAGAGAAGAACAUGUGAUCACCUACAAGAGUGGGUCGUCAAAAACACAAAUAGAUUUUCUUCUAAUGAGGAAGGAGGAUCGUAUAACUUGCAAGGAUUGCAAAGUUAUACCAGGAGAGAGCUUGGCUAAUCAAUAUCGCUUGUUGGUGAUUGAUGUACAUAUCAGAAGAGAGAAAAAAGAACAAGACCUUGAAGUGCCCAAGGACUAGAUGGUGAAAUCUAAAAGGAGAAAAACAAGCCAUUUUCAAAAAGAAAAUAAUCACCUUAUGCGUGUGGGGUAAAGAGGGGGAAGCUAGCCAAAUGUGGGAUUCUAUGGCUAGUUGUAUCCGAAAAGUAGCAAAAGGGGUAUUAGGAAAGUCCAAGGACUUUGCUCCACACCAAAAGGAAUCUUGAUGGUGGAAUGAAGAGGUAGAAACAAAGGUUAAAGCUAAGAAUGAAUGUUGUAAAGUCUUAUACAAGGAUAGGACCGAUGAAAACGGCGAAAGGUAUAAAAUAACGAAGAAUGAGGCGAAGAAAGCUGUGAGAGAAGCGAAACUAGUAGCUUUUGACGAUAUGUAUAAGCAACUAUAUACCAAAUGAGAGUUAGAUAUCUAUAAACUAGCUAGAGCAAGAGAAAAGAAGACGAGACCGAAACCAAGUAAGGUGCAUCAAUGAUAAGAAUGGAAAAGUUCUUGCUACAGAGAACACGGUCAAAGACUGAUGGAGUGGUUAUUUUCAUAAUCUUUUCAAUGAAAGACAUGAAAUGAGUACUUCUUUGGGGGAGUUGAAUAACUCAGAAGAGUAGAAACUACUCAUUUUACCGCCGAAUUAAGAAGGAAUAAGUGGUUGUAGCUUUGAAAAAGAUGAAGCAUAGAAAAACAAUGGUCCCAGAUGAUAUACCGAUUGAAGUGUGGAAAGUCUUGAGAGAGACGGGUAUAACAUGGCUCAUAGACCUUUUCAAUAGGAUUUUAAAAACGAAGAAGAUGCCAAAUGAGUGGCGAAAGAGCUCUUUGGUGCCUAUCUACAAGAAUAAGGGCGACAUACAAAAUUGCAUGAACUAUAUGGAUAUCGUAACAUCCCACAUCGCCCAGGGGAGUGAUCCUUAAAUGUAUAUUCUCAUUCCUACCUAGCACGAGGCCUUUUGUGAGCUCAUUGGCUUCAGGUUUAGUAGGAACUCUGAAGUUAAGCGAGUAGCGCGCGAGAACACUCCCAUGAUGGGUGACCUAUUGGGAAGUUGCUCGUGAGUUCCCAGAAACAAAAUCGUGAUGGCGUGGUCGGGGCCCAAAGUGGACAAUAUUGUGCUACGGUGGUAGAGCGGGCUCGGGAAGUGGUCCACCCCGGGCUGGGAUGUGACAAUGGUAUCAAAGCCAAUCCUUGGCCGGAAGUGUGCCGACGAGGACGUCGGGCCCCUAAGGGUUUCGAUUGUAACAUCCCACAUCGUCUAGGGGAGUGAUCCUUGAAUGUAUAUUCUCAUCCCUAGCUUGCACGAGGCCUUUUGGGAGCUCACUGGCUUCGGGUUCCGUAGGAACUCCGAAGUUAAGCGAGUAGCACGCGAGAGCACUCUCAUGAUAGGUGAUUCACUGGGAAGUCGCUCGUGAGUUCUCAGAAACAAAACCGUGAGGGUGUGGUCGGGGCCCAAAGCAAACAAUAUUGUGCUACGGUGGUGGAGUGGGUCCGGAAAGUGGUCCGCCCUGGGCCGGGAUGUGACAUAUAUUAAGUUAAUGAGUCAUACAAUGAAGCUCUAGGAGAUGAUAAUUGAGCAUAAACUGAGGCAAGAGACAUGGGUCUCGAACAACCAAUGCGGGUUUAUGCCAAGGCGCUCAACCAUGAAUGUAAUCUAUCUCUUACGAAGAUCGAUGAAAAGAUAUAGAGAUAUGAAAAAGGAUUUGCAUAUGAUCUUUAUAGAUUUGGAAAAACGUAUAAUAGGGUCCCAAGAGACAUUUUUUGGAGGAUUUUAGAGAAGAAAAGAGUACAAGUAGCAAUAUCCAAGCUAUAAAAAGAUAUGUAUAAUUGAGCAAGAACUGUCGUAAGAACUCAUGAAGGACAAACCGAAAGCUUCCCCAUUACUGUAGGGUUACAUCAAGGCUUAUCUUUAAAUUCUUACCUUUUUGCAUUGGUAAUGGAUGAGUUAAUGAGACAUAUUCAAGAUGAUAUUUGUUGGGGUAUGUUUUUCGCAGACGAUAUAAUAUUGAUAGAUGUAACUAAGGAAUGAGUAAAUGCGAAACUUAACCUUUAGAGAGAAGUGUUGGAAUAUAAAGGUCUUUGCCUAAGUCGGUUAAAGACAUAGUAUAUGGAAUGCAAGUUCAAUACAAAUGGAGGCUCAAAUGAGUUAGGGGUGAAGAUUGGAGACCAGGAAGUACCAAAGAGCGACUGCUUUCACUACUUAGGAUUUAUCUUGUAAAAGAACAGAGAAUUGGAUGGAGACCUCAACCAUAGAAUACAAGUUGGAUGGAAGAAGUGGAAGAGUGCAUUUGGCGUGUUGUGUGAUCGUUGUAUACCACUAAAGCUCAAAGAAAAAUUUUAUAGGACGGCAAUAAGGUUGGCAAUGCUUUAUGGCAUAAAAUGUUGGGCGUUGAAGCAUCAACACGUACAUAAAAUUGGUGUAGCGGAGAUGAGAAUGCUUCGUUGGAUGUGUGGGCACACGAGAAAGAAUAAGAUUAGGAUGAGGAUAUCCGAGGUAAAGUUGGAGUAGCCGAAAUUGAAGAAAACAUGAGAGAAAAUCCAUUACGGUGGUUUGGACAUGUGAAACGAAGGCUUACUAACGCUCCGAUUAAAAGAUGUGAUUACGGGACAGGUCUAUGACCGAAGGAGUAGAAGAAGACCUAUGAAGACUUUGGAAGAGACUUUGAGAAAAGACUUAGAAUGCUUGGAUCUAACGGAAGACGUGACACAGAACUGAACACAAUGGCGUUCUAGGAUUCAUAUCAGGAUGGAGAGUUAAAAGAAUAAAUGAGUAAAUGAUUUAAAGUGCUGCUAUUAUCUUGUGAUAAAUGAUGUUGAGAUUUCCCCGGUUGUCGAAGUCAAAGAUGUUUGCCUGGGGACUGAGAACCUUUAGCACUCGAUACAUCUAAUGGAUGUUCAUCCCCCAUCUCGGUAAGAGCCGCUCGGUCUGCAUCGCGCUCCAAGUUUUUUUUCUUGGUACCCAAGAGUAGAUUAUUCUCCAGGAACAGAUGAUGGAGAAGAAUCCUCCAAAAUCCACGACUAAGGGUUGGUUUUAUGGUUAGUGAAAAAGGUUGACAAUCAACUAGACUAGCAAGUCACCAUUGAGCAGGUUGGUGGAGUCAGCAAAGUUGUCAUGAUCAGCGGCAUUGCUACCGACUAACUAGGAGUAGUCUUAAGCCUCAGCCAUCAUUUUCUGAAUUUAAAGCAGUCGACAUUGUGUAUGUUCGGUAUUUACAGGUAGUGUAUGGAUCUCAGAAAUAUAAGGGAAGAGAAUCACAGUAGAGUAAGGUGUAGUUACUCAGGUGAUUAAGCACUCGUCUCAUUUAGACAACUUAGGCUAGUUGGUCUACCAAUUAUGUGGAUUUCUACUUUAUCCUACAGACUAGAUUUACCGAAGAUGGUCGGCGCCGACAUUUACUCACACAGGCGACAACCAAGAAUUUGAAUUUCUUGGAAAAAAAUUACAAUUACAUCUAAAGGUUUCGAAUAGUUCACAAACAAAAAGAAAUGCAAGUGUGGAAAACUUGGAGAAACAACGACAAAGAUUAAAGGCUUGAGGAGGUAGCUCUCAAGGUCAACGGAGAAAUUGUAGAGCAAAUUCGACAGAGUUUCGACAAUGAAGUCAAAUUACAAAAUGAAGGUAAUGCAAGGGUAAGGUUUAUAUAGCAGGAGGCAGAUUCUCUGCUUUCUUUUUCCAUACACUUCUCAUAAUCUCCUAUUUGUGCGGUCACGGUUAAGCCACGUCAACAUUUUAUAUUAAUUUUUUUAUAUAAAUAAUAAGACAAAAAGACGUACCUUAAUUGUGACCGAACAAAUAAAAGGGAAUGAGAAGUGUAUGAGAAAAUGUGAGCAGAGAAUCUACCUCCUUAUACAAGAGGUCACACUUGCUUGCAACGUCUUUAUUACACAUACGCCUCGAUUACCCCUCCAACCAAUGGCAAACACGUACGCUACUGGCACCGUUGUCACGACCGCCUAUUUGAGCGGUAGCCAUACUAUCAGAGCCAGAGCGCUUGGGAAGGAGGAAUACCCAUGUUACCCUUUGAACCAUAUAUUAUUUUAAGGUCCGAUCGACCGUUUCGACUCCAUGCCCAAGAAGAAACCUUUAAACAAGGAGUUGGGGACUUGUUAACACAAGAUCUUUUUAGACCCUUAAAAAUAGUAUAGGCCGGGAAAGAGAUCGAGAAAGGCCCAGGAAAGAUAAGGCCCAAAGGAGGAAAGGAAAUCCAAACCCCAAUGAAUUAGAAAGAAUCAUUUAUCGAGCGCUAUAGUUAACCGCUCACUAGUUUGGGUUGACUAGAGCAACAGAAAGUACUUUCCCGACUGAGAACUUUAUGGCACAAAGCUCUAGGAACAGGUCUACUCAGACACCAUAUUAGGCUAUAUGUCAGUGACCAAUGAAGGCAGAAGUCUAGGAUGAGAUGUAAAGGUAGUCGGACUAUCACUCGGAAAAAACUCCGUUAACUUGUCAAGGCCAAGCAUGUCACUUGGUACACACUGGCCCAGAAAAACAUGUAAUCUCGACUAAACAAUGUUACUUCAUAGCCAAAUGUUGACUGAUGAAUGAUAAAGCUCUCAGCAUGCUAGUCUAUGUACGUAGCUCAUUUAACGCUAGAAUAGUAAAGUAAGUGAGCUCAUCACUGUUUGGACGCAUUAAGGGCCUAUAUAAAGGAGUGAGCACCUCUUUUAAAGGGGUCAAACGAUUGUGAGAUUAGCCGAGCACUUAUUGUAUUCUCCGAGUGAAUAUGUACUAAGCAACACAGUGAAUAUAGCACAGUUUUGAGUGGUAAACCAUUAAAGUCCAUUAUUUCAUAGCUUUAAUCCUAAAUCCAACAGGGGUUAAUUAUUCUUGUUUGCUAGUGUGCAAAUUUUGAGCUUUAACAAUACUUGAAGAUAAAGAAUGUCAUUUGGUUCAAGAUUAAAUUUACCUAUAUUUCACAGAUAUAGAUAUAGGUAAAUUAUUUUAUGUCGAUUAAAGUUACUACUUGAAGAUAAAGGAUGUAAUUUGUUUCAAGAUAAAGGAUUUCAAAUGUCAUUUGGUUAAAAAAAAUAUAGGUAUAUUAUUUUUACGAAGAUUAUAAGGAAAUAUAUUUUUAUAAUAAUAAUAAAAUAUAUAUAUAUAUAUAUGUAUGUAUAUUGUUUCAAUUGUAGCCUACAAAACUGAAAUUUUGAACAAGUGCUAGCAAAAACAAUUAUAAAGUGUAAUGCACCCACGUGAUGAAUUUUAAAUGCUUGCCAAAAAAAAAAACAACCGAAAGAAAUGAGAUGAAAUUUAGGAUUCCAUCAAUACUGUAGGUAUUAAUAUAUUUAUUGAGAUAAUUAAGGUGUUUUGGCAUAGAUUGUAAAUAGUUUGUAAUAAUAGGUUAUUUCUUUGUCUACAUGUCAAUUUGAAUUUUGGGGUUUAAUAAGAUAUUUAAAUAUAAGUGGGUUUUGUCUAAAAAUAAAAAUUAUGGGUUGUGAUUUUCACACAAUUUCAUAUAAUUCAAGUUCAGCAACAUGAUAAACUCAAAUAAAAAUUCAAAUAUUUUAAACAUCAUGAUGAUCUUAUAUUCAAAUGCUAUCAAAGCAUCAGCACACAUUUUUUUUUCCUAAAAUAAAAAUAAAAAUACAACCUAGAUUUAAACAAACAAAAAAUAUCCGAUUAUUAAUGUUUAUUGCUCGUUUGGUUUUCGGCAGUAGAGCACUGAGCGCGAGACUUACAAAGCUAUCAACAAAGAGAAGCAUUCCAGCCGCAGUCUUUGAUUUCAGAAGGAAAUGGCAACGGACAUUAUAAUUGCAAUUGCCUCAAAAAUUGGAGAGUGCUUGGUCAAACCAAUAGGAACAGAGUUUGGCUAUUUGAUUAAUUACCAUUCCAACCUUGAAAGUCUUAAGGGUGAGAUAAAAAAGCUUUUUGACAAGAAAGAUGGAGUGCAGGGAUUGGUGGAUGCUGCCAAAAGGAAUGGUGAAAUCAUCAAACCUGAUGUUCAGAGUUGGCUAAAGAAUGUGAACGACGACAUGGUCAAAAAAGUGUUGCAGUUUGAGGAUGAAAUUAACAAGAAAAGGCGAUGUGUGUAUCGAUGGAGCUUGAGUCGGAGAGCCUAUAAGAUUAAACAAGAAGUUCUUCAGCUCUAGAACGAAGGAGCAUUUGAAAAUGUGGCCCAUCCUGCACCUCCACGAGAGAUAUGGUCAACAUUCAAGAAAGGUUUUAAGGAUUUCAAGUCCAGAAUGGCAUACAUGAAUGAGGUGAUAGAGGGUUUGAAGAGGGAACGAGUACGAAUGAUCGGGAUUUGUGGAAUGGGGGGUGUGGGUAAAACCACAAUGGUGAAAGAAAUCAUCGAAAGAUUGGCAAAACUAGACUUGUUUGAUAAAAUUGUAAUGGCAACUGUGUCUCAAAGUCCAAGUAUUAGGAUGAUCCAGUCGGAAAUUGCAGACAAAAUAGGUUUGAAAUUUGAGGAGGAAUCCGAGCCCGGAAGAGCACUAAAGCUACGUGGGAGACUCAUGGAAAUAAAGAGGAUCCUGAUUGUAUUAGAUGAUGUCUGGACAGAGCCUGAUUUUGAGGCUAUAGGACUCCCUUGUGGAGAUGAUCAUGAAGGGUGCAAAGUUUUGUUGACAUCACGAGAUUCGGAAGUCUGCAACAGGAUGGGAAGUCAACAAAUUAUUGCUGUCCCGAUUUUAACAACAGAAGAAUCACAGGAGCUCUUUAGAGAAAUGGUAGGUGAAUCCUUCGAUGAGCCUGAUUUACGUUCCAUUACAAAAGAGGUCGUGCAUGAAUGUGGAGGUUUACCUAUUGCAAUUGUAACUGUUGGAAAAGCCCUAGAAAAGAAAACAAGCGUGAAUGGGAUGAUGCCCUUAAUCAGCUGCGAAAUUCUACCCCAGUGAACAUCCCUGGAGUGAAUGACAAAGUUUAUUCUUGCAUAAAAUGGAGUUAUGAUAGAUUGGACAGUGAUGAAGCCAGAUCAUGUCUUUUACUUUGUUGUUUAUUUCCAGAAGAUCAUGAUAUUUCAAUUGAGUAUUUGGUUCGAUAUGGGUGGGGUCGAGGAUAUUUUAGCAACAGCUUUACUUUGGAAGAUGCAAGAAAUAGAGUGCAUUCUUUGGUUGACCAACUAAAAAGAAGGUUUUUGUUGCUAGAUAGUGGCGAGGAUAAGUUUACCAAAAAGGUUGACAUGGUUCAGUUUACAAAAAUGCAUGACAUUGUUCGCGAUGUUGCCAUAUCAAUUGCUUCAAGAGAUCCACAUCGAUUUCUGGUAAGAUGUCAUGCUGAAAAUAAGGGGUGGCCGAAUUUAGCUACAUAUGACAAUUACACUACAAUCUCACUUGUUGGCGAAUUGGAGAUUCCCGUUGGUUUGAAAUGCCCAAAACUUGAGCUUCUACAGACGAUAAAAGGAAGUUUUUCAGAAGAUGGCAUGGACAUCAUUUGUGAUGCGAUGAAAGAACUGAAGGUUUUAGCUUUGGUGGAAAUGGAAGGCCUAGACUCAUUAAGUUCACUAGGAGUACCGAAGAACCUGCGGACAUUGUGCUUAGAUGGGUCUAAAUUUGAUGGCAUGUAUACUGAUGUUAUUGGGAGUUUGGAGAAUUUAGAAAUCCUCAGCUUUCGGGAUUGUCGUUCCAUGCAUGAGUUGCCGAGGGAAAUUGGUCGACUUAAACAGUUAAGGUUGUUAGAUACGACAAACUGCAGGAAACUUAAGGUGAUUCCACAUGGUAUCUUCUCCAGCUUAUGUAGACUUGAAGAGUUGUAUAUGCUUGAUAGCUUUGGUGAAUGGGAAAUUGGAACAGGAAGAGAAGAGAAGGGGAUGGCAAGCAUUUCUGAGGUGAUGUCUCUGUCUGAUCAUUUGAAGGUUCUAGCCAUAGAGAUACCCAGUGUCAUCCACUUGUUGCCAAAAGACAUAGUCUUGAAAAGCCCAACAAUAAAAUUCUAUAUACACUUAGGAUGUGACAAUGUAGUUCCUGAGAAGAUGACACUGGAAAAUUGUUUGGCGAUUUAUGGAAGUGAUGCAAUGGAGUUGAAGGAGAGUCAAGCAGUUAGACUUCUGUUGAAAAAAUCUAAAAUUUUGAUUUUGGACAGUGUUAAGAAUUUCUCUGUCCUCAUUGAUUCAGACCAAGAUGGAUUUCAAGAUUUGAAACUUUUGCAUCUUAAUAAUUGUCCAAAUACCAAGUAUCUUGCAAAUAGAACAAGUGCGACCCAGCAGACACUCUUUCCUCGCAUACAGUCAGUUAGUCAGUUCCCGGAUAACUUUUUGUCCAACCUAAGAUUCCUUUAUUUGGGAAAUUGUGAUGUCUUAAAAUAUGUCUUUUCACUAUCAAUAGCGAGAAACUUGGUACAACUCAAGGAAUUAAGUAUUGAUGAAUGUGAUGAAAUGGAAGAAAUUGUGUCGAAGCAGGGGAGGGAACAUGAGGAGGAAGCCAAUAUGAUAUCUUUCCAUAAUUUAACCAAUUUGACUCUUAAGGGUCUAGAGAGUUUGGUCGGUUUCUUCCGAGCCAACACGCUAUGCUCCAACCCAAAGGUAUGUCCCACUCUCCAAUCUCUAUGAUAUGAGGAGGCAGCCAAUAUAUGGAAAUUUGAAAUUGUUACGAAAUGCUCAAGUUGGUGCAUAAUUUUUCUUUAACUGAUAAUGAUUUUUCUUUUUCAGGAAACAACGCCAAGGCUUGGGCAUCAAUCUGCAGGAAUAUUUGAAAAAGCAAUAUUUCCAUCAAAGUGCAUUUCAUGGUUCCCAAGUUUGGAAAAGGUAAAAUUGGAGGAUAUGAAGUUUGACGGCGUGCUAUUUGAUCUGAAAAUCCAUAUAGUUAUGGAUGGGCAGACAACUCCAACAUUUCCCCAUUUACGUAAGUUGAAGAUACUCAAUUGUACGUAUACACACUUGUGGAAAAACAUUCCGUCUAGAUUUCAAGGCUUCCAAAAUUUGAGACAUUUGGGAUUGAGAAAAUGUUCUGGUCUAAAAUAUGUGUUCUCGCAUUUAAUUGCCCGAGAACUUUUGAAUCUUGAAGAGAUAGAGAUAUCAACAUGUCCGGACAUGGAAACUAUAGUCAGAAUCCCAAAGGAAAAUGAAGAUGAGGCAACAAAAGACAUGAUUUUGUUUCCGAAACUGUCCACAUUUGAACUAGUAGACCUGCCUCUUCUCACAAGUCUUUGUUCCGAAGGAUCUACAUUUCUAUGGUCAUCCACAAAAAAUAUGCACGUGGAAAAAUGUGAAAAAUUGAAGACAUUGUGUGCUGUAAUUCCACAAAGAAAGAAGUUGGAGAAUAAGUCUGAGAAGGAUUCAACAAGUCACGAUUUCAGCACUUCUCCAUCAAAUUGGUGUCCUGCUGGAUGUGGAUGCACACCAUAUUCAAGACCAAACGCCCACCGCUCCAUUGAAAUAUUGCCACGUCCAAUUAAUCUGGAGGUAAGCUUUUAAAUCAGGUUCAAUUAACCUCUUUAAGUACAACUUUUAAUUAGUAUUGUAUCAUCGUGCUGAUCAUGCAUAAUUUUCUAGGUUACACCAACCAAUCUUGAGGACUCAAAUGAUUAUGAUAAUCUCGAAAUUCUUACUGUACGUGAUUGUAAUUCAAUGGAAGUGAUUUUCCACCUAAAGGGACCGAAGCAUGAUAAAAGUAGUCACUCCUUUGAAGGAUUCAAUAAAUUGAGGUCCUUGUGGUUAUAUAAGUUGCCAAGUUUAACACGUGUUUGGGAAACGGGUAGUUCACAACAGAUGUUCACAGGAAGCAGCUUCGGAAACUUGAAAUCAUUGAAGGUCAAUUGUUGCAACCAGUUGAAAUACUUGUUUUCUUCGUCCAUAGUCAAACUUCUUGUGAGUGUAGAGGACAUAAAAGUUGAGAAGUGUGAGCAGAUGGAAGAAAUCGUUGCCGCAGAAGAAGAAACAGCUGAAAUAAUUACAUUACCUAAAGUGAAGUCCAUCAAGCUUAAAAGGCUGCCAAAACUCAAGUAUUUUUGUGGUGAAGCUUAUACUUUGAAGUUGCCGUCUUUGGAGUUAUUGAAGGUUAUUAAGGUCCAAAACUUAAAGCUAUUUGCUCCUAAGCUUGUUGACACACAUCCCCGAUUGCAAGUACGCACCGCGUUGGGAGUAGCUGAAUGGAUGGAGGACCUCAAUGCCACUUUAAGGAACAGUUACGUUCUGGUUGAUAAUUUACAGUAAGCGAGCUACAAGCAUAAUUUGGCACUUUAUAUGCUCAAUCUUAAAUUUCUAUUUAUUCAACCAACAAAUACGUUCUGGUUUUGAGCUACAAGCAUAAUUUGGCAAACACCACCAAAAUUUUGAAUACAAAUUUAGGGAAAGCAUAAUCAACAGUUCAUAUUUAGUUUGACAAAAGUGUUCUCAAAAUUUAGUCAAAUACCAUAUAUAUGCAUAUGUUCACACUAAAGUGUAUUUAAGUAAUUUUAUUUUUUAAAACUCAAUUCUAUCUCAAGAAAACAUCCGUCUUUUAUUUCUAAAACAGGAAGGAUAACGAUGACGAAUUGUACAGUGAGGAUGAAAAUGAAGAUGACGAACUCUAUGGUUACAUGAAGAUGACUAACACAAUUGAUUGAUCAAGCACAAAGGUUAGCAUGUUUCCGUCUCCCACUUCUUCUAGGUUUAGUAAAAACUGAUGAAAUUAUCUAUAAAGUACUCAAAAAAUUAUUCUACCAUGUUUGAUAGAAUAUAUACACAUACAUGGAUGGUACUUAAAAAAUUGAACAAUAAAGGGUCGUCGAACCACAUUCUGCUACCUAAUUCAUUUUUUCAAGGAACCCAAUGCAAGUCGAUCUAUAAUAUGCACUCUAAAAGUACUAACCUUGAGAAGCCAUUGAUAUGAACAAGAUUGAACCAUGAUCAGCAACGAACAAGCAAAGAUCUUCAUCUCUCUCUACACGCCUUAUGCACUCCUAUAUGGGGUAGUGUUUUGUGCUUUAAUAAUGUGUAUAAAAGUGGGGCCUAAGCCUUAUAUUUAUAGGUGAGAGUAUUAGGUUUCUUGCCCAUAAAGAAAACCCUAAUACAGAUCUUUAGCACCUCUAAAAUCCAUGACCUAAUAGGAUUGAUAUUCCCAAAAAUUAUUGCUAUACUUUACCAUAAGUAAUCCGGAAUAAUCAAAUAUUAAUUCCCUUCUUUUAUCCUUAAUCAAUUAGGACUCCUAAAUAGAUGUAAGCCCAAUAAAAGUCUUACACCCAAUAGCAGUUAAGAUGGAAGAAGCUUUUAGGAUUAGCAACUGCCUCAAGAAACCUUUAUCAGAUUCCACAAUAAUAUUGGAAUAACCUUUUUCUGUUAGCAUGUCUCGCCUGAUCUAAAACAAGCAUAACCGUUUUGAGAAACACAUAUACAAUAAACAUAACUGUAGUGCUAAGUGACUUGAAAAUUAAUUUAGUCCUUAAACCGCUAUUUUCUGAAACACAUAUACAAUAAGCAUUACCAUUUGAACUUAUUCCAAUUUCAGUGAUUUCUAAUAUUCUCCACUGCAUGCAGGACAAGAGUUUACAGAACGUUGUGUACAAGCCAAUAAAAGGUCAUUUGUUGACCAGAAUUUCAUUCCAAAAUACUAUUUAAAUUGCUUAUUUGAUGUAUUAUAAAUUUCGAUUGUGAUUAUUACUGUUUGUUUCUAAACUAGCGUUUGCUUAUUUGUUAUGAUAAUUUGGAAAGGUUGUCUCUAGCUACCAAUAUUUGCAUUUCAAUUUAUAAUGCUAAAAGUUCUGUAAUACCAUACACGUGUAAGAUGAAUGGCAUGUAUGUAGAAUGACACGUGUAAUAUUGAUCAUACAUGUAAGCUAAAUAAUAUUAUGAUACACUAGCUAGCCGCAACUAAUGUAAGCUGAAUAAUAUGAUCAUUCACUAUAAGGUCUGAUAUUAAUUCAUAAAAUCUGGUUUUCCCCCUAAACGUAACGGAAAUCAUAUUUAUCACACUUCCGGCUAGCUCUCCCUUGAGGAGCCUUGUCUACCAAAUAGGUAAGUUCAAGCAACUUCAAGAGAGAGUUUCCUCCACAUUAAGUCUUAAACAUCUACUGGACAGCAGGCAAUUCAAAACCAAAGUAAGCUGCUGAAUACAACUAGAAUAAACAAGGAAUCGGGCUAAGCUAUUGUCUUCAUCAUAACAUGAUUUUGGCCCCCAUUUACUAAUUUCGUACCACAUUUUCACACUCUUUCCUUGAAUUUUAUAAUUCCUAUGCAACAGAGUUCAUUCAUUGCCUAUUCACAACAUUACAAGGUUCUACAGAGUUCAAUCCCACACCAUGUUAUAGACAUGCUUCAACUAUCAACCUGGAACGUAAUCGUUAGGGUUUCAACAACUUCAGAGAUACAACAAUUACCAUAAGUCUCAUCUCCGACAUUCAUACAGAAAAUCGAAUAAAAUUCGAAAUCAAGAAUUAAUCCCAAAACUGAAAGUUGAAAAUUCGGAAAAAGAACUUACAUUGGAGAACAGCCCACGAGAAGAGGAUCAUUUCUACGUCUUAGGUCGAGGUCCAAUUACUGCGAUAUUGGCCGGAAGUUGGAUGGAAAACCCUGGGUCACCGUUUCUUAAAUUGGAAAUUGCGGAAAACCGCCUACGAAUUUAUAGAAACGAACUUGGGGAUUGGAUACAGGACGGCAAGAGCAUUCAGGAUGUGUAGUUUGACAGCCUUUGGUGACCUGUGGACGACAGAGCUGUUGCGUGGCAGUCGUCGGCUUGGGCCGCUGUUGCAGCGUGUGAAAGAGAAGAGGGAGCGAGGAGAGAAAAUGGGUUUCUCCCACUUUUUGGAUCUUAAUUCUUUUCCACAUUUUUUUAUAUAGAAUAAACGAUAUUAUUUAUCACUAAAAGUGCGUUUGGUAUGUAAGAUGGGACGGAACACGUUUUGAUGAUAAUAAUAGCUAGAAGUAAUAAUGUAAUAUAGUUCAAAUUCGUUUUUGAUAAUAAUCAAAUAUAAAAGGGAAUUGUUAUUAGCAUUCCAAAAAUCUCAUUCUACACUCCUCACAAGUGUAUUUUUCUUUCUAAUUAUAGAAAGUUUAGAGUGCCAAAUGAGAUUUUUGAAUUGCUAAUAACAAUUUCCUAAAUUCUCUCACUUAUAAAUUACAAGUAAAGAAAAAUACUAUUAAAUUUUUUCCACUUUUAAUGCAUAUCUAAAUAAAAAGAGACAAAAUGAAAAGGAAAAGAAAUAAAAUAAUUUGAAAUAGAAAUAAAAAUUAAGGGUAAAUCUCAUAUUACUAACCUCAUGUUUCGUGGUUUUCAACAUUUAGUACAUCAAGUUUUUUUUCGUCCCAGAGUCAUACCUAAAGUGUAAAUUUUGGGACAGUCUCAGACAUUCGUUAGUCAAACUGUUAAGUCUCCCGUUAACUGAUGACAUGGCGUCCAUGUGGACAAUGACUGGGUUCCAUGUGUCAUUAAGGGGUCCACGUGGAUUUUUUUUUUAGAGAAAGAGUUUUAAAAAAAAAUUUCCUGCCCAAAAUUUUUAACCCAUAAUCGUGUACCUUACAUUUUUCCCGCCAAAUUUUUUUGGAAAAAAAAUAAAAUUAAAUAGGGAAAAAACACCAACUUUCUACUCCAAAUCUGCAAAUUCAAUUCCAAAAAAAAUUUGAAUUCUAAAUCUGCAAAUUCAUCAUUUAAACUACCAACUACCAACAAAGUUCAAUUGUCAACAACUUUCAAUUCAUAACAAAGUUCAAUAUACACCCUCCAAUUCACACGAAAGUAUCAAAAGACCACAACUUUAACAACUAAUGGGUUAAGGUGUUCUUCCAAAAACCAAAAUAAGAGUACCAAAAACACCAAAGAUAUGUCCAAAACACUAAAAUCUAUCAGAAAGUUGUUUCCAAAAAACCUAAGGGCAUAUUCAACUAUAACAAAAUGAACCCUUAAACAACCUAAAGCAUUAAAGCAGCAUCAUGGAACAUUCCUCCUCCUUUUCUAACCUCUUGUGGUAGACUUUGAAGUGGUUUGAGAGGCUUGAGUUGGAUGAGAUAAAGGUUGUGGAGCUUUCUGAGUGCAUAUUGGUUGUGAUGACUGAGAGGGUUGUGAUACCUUAGAUGUUGAGGCCUAAGUAAUGAACCCAAAUAGCAUUAGCACUGACAGAUACUACACUUCACAAAUAACAAAUUCACUUAAGAAAUGAAAAAUCAACAAAAAAAUAUCAAAAUUAUACCUCAUUUUUCUUGCUUUUUCUUCCUUUUCUAGCAGUUGAAGGAGGAUGAGUGGUUGGGCAUCUAGCCUUGUUGUGUCCCGAGUCCUUGCAAACACUACACUUCACACUUUUUUUGCCCUCUCUUGCUUAACUUGAUUCAUUUUCAUCAUCCUCCCUAUAUCUCCUCUUUUUUGGUUUCCCAGGUUGCCUUUUAAAAGUUGGAGGAAGAAUGCAUUUGUUUUCAGAUGGCUCCUAAAAUUUCAUGCCUUGGAUGGGUUGAAUCAAGUUUUCGUAAGCUUCAAAGUACUUCUCCUUCUUGUACCAAGAGGAAACAAAUUCCUCAGGUUGUCUCCUUGCAUAAUAGAUGGCCGAGCAACCAUGUAUGCAAGGAAAGUCUGUCAAAUCCCAUCUUCUACAUAAGCAAGUGCAGCCAUUCAAAUCCACCACAAAUAUAUUGCCUCUGCCUUCAUCCACUUCAAAAUUUUCUCCUCCAGACCAUGUAGCUAUAGUGUGUGAGCUUUUCAGUUUGAACUCUUCCAACAUCUUCUGGAUUUUUUGGCAGAUAGCUCCUUUAUCCUUCCACAUUGCAUCUUUUCUUAACCAUAUCCUCUUCAUCAAUAAAACUCUUAUAGUUUCCAACAUGGUAAUAAUAGGCUUAUCCCUAUACCUUAGGAUAAAAGAAUUAAAGCUCUCACAGAGGUUGUUUAAGAGAAUGUCACACUGAGUGUGUGUCUCAAAGUGUGAUCUACUCCAAUACAAGGCUGGUCUCUUUACCAACCAUUUAUAAGCUUCGACAUUCAGCCUAUUCACCUCAGCCAUACUCUCUCUAAAAUCAGUGAUGGUUAUUGCGUUGGCAGCAUUCCACAAGGCAUCCUGUAAUCCUUUCCCUUUAAACCCAUCUGCCUUGUAGUUGGUGUAUAAGUGCCUAACACAGAACCGAUGAUUACAAUUAGGAAGCAAUUUCUCAAAAGCUGGUAUUAAACCUUUUUGUUUGUUAGAAAUGAAAGUCUAAGCACGCUGAUUCACAAUUCCCAAGUCAGCAGCUAGCAGCUCCAGAAACCAAACUCAACUGUCCUUGUUCUCGAGCUCUACUAUGGCAUAUGCAAUAACCCAAGUUUGGUUAUUUUGCAUCUAUUCCCUGUAGACAGUAGGCCUUUGAACCUCCUUCAAGUGACAACAUCCAAUAGCUGCCUUCCAUUCUUAAAUCCAUUUUUGUAAGCCCCUAAACAAAUAUAAAUCCUCUGAAAUAUCACAUGAGCAUCAUCAUAGGGCAACACCUUCAUCUGAACUGUACAAGUGACAACCACUUUGCCUUACAAGCUUUACUUUUUAAAUCCUCAAGCCCUAAACAACCAUAUAUAUUUUCUCUUUUUGAGUCACUUCAUACUCCAACAACAUGCAUCCUUUGUGAGUUAGGAUCCCCUAAAAUCUCGGACAUUCUAUUUCCAACAUAGGUUCUCGUAUGCGCAUGAUUAUUCAUUGUAAUUUGUUAACUAAAUCCUCCAUGAUAUAAGUUUUUCUCACACCUUGCACUAAUAUUUGUACAUCUUUUUUUAGUUAUAGUGCACCAUGCUUAUAGUGACAUUUUUUUUAUCUUCAAUGCUUAAUGAACAUACUGCCUCUCUUCCAAUCAUCUUGAACUUCAAUUUCCUUGUCAUCUUCCUUUCUUUUUAGCUCAGGGUAGAAUCUCUCAUCACAUUCUGACCUGAAUCGUAACACUGUGCAGGCUAUUUAAGUCUUGUCUCUCAUCAAGGGGAGUCUAUACAUACCUAGCAUCAUAACGUCUUCUGAAUGUUGUCCCAUACCCUUUCCCCCUCAGCAUCUCCAAUUUUUAUCAGCGUAUCAUCUCUUACGCGAUCAUCAUCUAUAUUACUUCACCUGUCCCACCUAACUCAUAUUUGUUAAAAUCCUCUUGCAUUUAAUUGACAAAUAAAUGCAAAUUUGUAAAAAUAAAACCUUUAAGAUAUUAAACGGCCUUAAAAUAUUAACUUUAUUAGCUUCUGACUUCAUUUAGUUUCAAUACAUCACCUUUUUCUCUCAUCGCUUUCAUUAUCAGCAUUGGAUGAAUCAGCCUCAUUCACUUCCACUUCCUCCCUCAGUUGCUUGCCUCAUAUUCUCUCAACCAUGUGCUAUGCAUUCAAAAGCACAGCCGGUUUUCUGUAUGCCGCACCCUUUGCCUUCGCUUCUUCAGUUUUAUCCACUUUCCCUUUGUAAUCGAAAUCGCCUCUCCCUCAAUACUUCAUAAUAAUGACACCGUUUUAAAUAUGCACUCUCUCUAGAUUUCAUCAAGCUUAUGAUUUCAAGCAGCUUGCUUCGACUUGAUUGUUCUAGUAAUUUCUAUUUACCUACCCGGAACAUAAUUGCCCACUUUCACAUAUCUGGCCUGUUCGUUAAGCUUAAUCCUCCUAUAGACAUCACAGAAUUAUAGGUACAACAAAAAACCCAUCAAUAGAAUCCUUACCAUUUUCCAAUCUCGAAAAAAAGUCAUGAGAUCUUUGUCUACGUAAUCAUCUAAGCCUCAAACUUCCCCGUGUAUAUGCAUUUAAGACCACUUCCCAUGCUGCAAAGUAAGGAGAAAGGUGAAAAACAUAAAAAUAAUCUAAAGGAUUUAAGGGUUUAUAACAAAUACAGGUUAACCCAAACCAAUUGAGACCAAGAGGAAAUGGUGAAUACAAAACAUGGGAUAAUGAAAACAGGGUUUUUUAAGGUUUCAUAUAGGAUCGCCUUGCAGACAAAGAAACAUUUUGAAAAAUCGGAUACAACCUAAACCCAUAUCUAUCUAAUACUUCAAAAAAGGUGGUAGGUUUACUACAUUAAAAAGGUAGUGUCUUACACCACACUUUUUUUCCCCCACCCAUCGCCAGCGCAUGGCUUAACGAAUCAAGUGACCCAGAGUAAACAGUGGGUUCUUUGAGUGGCAAGGGUGUGCGAAAUGUUACGACGGCUUGUGAGUGGGUCCCCUGAAAGUGAAAUAUUUGGAGGGUUUAAAUUGUGCCAUUCAUGUCCACAUGGGCACCACGUCAUUCAGUUACGGGAGACUGGUAACAGUUCAGUUAACUUAACAGGGUGAUGAACUGUCCAAAAUUUACACUUUAGGUAUACAAACUGGAACGAGAUGUAAACUUACCACGAUAACAGAGGUGAGAAACCCCAUCGAACACAUGAGGGUCAUAAUGAGAUUACCCAAAAAUUUAAAGGUUCUGAUUCGUUCUGCUUGCGAAAACACGUUCGUAAUUGAGAGCAUUGAAUGACUAAGGAAUAUUACGAUGAUAUGUCAUACGUGAGUUUUCGCUGAAAUUUUUUUGAUGGGAUUUGCAUUGGCAGCCAAUUUUGGAGCCACCCAUCGUAAGGCAGGAGAAUUGGAGAUAAUGUUGUGUUUGAAAGGAGUUUCUUAAAAAAUACAUAGAAUAAUGUCCUCCUAGAUGUGCCUUGCAGGGUGGAAUCGAUAGCUAUGAUACCUUGUUGGAAAAUGGGCGGUUACUAGGGUUCAUUAGGCUGGUAAUAAAAAAAAAAUUUCCAUUUACUAAAACACUUUCAAGAAACGAAUCGCACAAAAAUUGUAUGAUUACCACUAUUGUGAGCUUUGACUAUUGUUUCAAAGCCAUCGAGAAUUUACCAAUUCCUAUAUUGAUGACGUUUUACUGUGAAAGGAUAAAUCCACAAAGAAUUGCUCAAGCCUAUAGUGAUGAAAUUGAGAAGUGGGUUUGAGGAAAGCACUUGCAUUCCAUUAAUUGUACUUUCACUUGGUCAUUGUUCUUUUGUUAAAAGAGAAUAGAAUUUAAAAGCACUUUCUUUUGUCUCCACCUUUCUGAGAGACACUAUGGGUUUGGAUAACUUCUCUUUCCCUAUAGUUUUUUCUUUUUCUUUUUACCAUUUACUAGAACACCUAGUGUUGGAUACUUAGAUAAUGUUUAUUGCAAAUUAUUAUAUAUUGUACAGACACUUUUGUUGUUUGAACAAGGCUAGAUGAUCUUUAUAUUUGCACCUAGACAUAAUUUGUUUACAUACAGCGUAAUAUAUUUCUCUAGAAAAUUUUUUGUACCUUUAUUGCAUUUUAUUUCACUAUUCACUUUGUUUCUGUUAACAGUUUAGAAAUUUAUUUUUACAAUCACAUUUGUAAUUUGGAAUCAAAGUUUUGAAAUAUUUCGGUAUAAGGUGUUUGAAUGUACUUUGUGAUUAAGAAACCUAAAGUGUUGGAUUUUACAACAUCAUUUUUCUUGCAAUUCAUUCCUUUAGUACCAUAUUAUUGUUUUUUGAACAAAAUACCAAAAACAGAAUUUCAUUUUUUCUCUACCUGUUGCAUAUUUGAUUCUACAAUACAGUCCGUCAUAUUUAUUUGCCACUUGAUGUGCACCCUGAUCUGCCUCCAAUAUGCAUGCUAACACUUCGGCAAAAUUAAUUUAUCUAUGAACCAUCAAUUUGUGAAGCACCACUCACAAUUAGUACCAUGACUACACCUUGUGCUGAACAGUUGUAGAAAGACUGAUAAAAGAAGUUUCAAUUUUAUUUUUGCGGGACCAUGCAUUGGCAUUCGUUGCAUUUUGACACCACUACUACCUGCAUAUGACUUGUUGCUGAACAAGGCAUAGAUUUCAAAAUUUCAAUUUUAAUUUGCCGGACAAUUGAUUGCGUUGAUUUACGAUACAGGUACGUACGUACUUUUCUAAAACUCUAUUUCUUUCCAUUAUUUGUUGUUUUAGACGUUUGUUUUUACCCUGCCUGACCAAGAAACAAAAGUGUUAAUUUAACAUUCUAGUACCCGCCAAAUAUUGUAUUUCGGCUGAGCUCCAACACUAUGACUAGGCGCCAACUCAACAAUUUUAUUGAUUAGCUUUUGACUUCACACAGUUUUGUAUUUUAGAUGUCUAAAAUAGCCCUAGUAACUUAUGUCAAAUUAAAAACAAAUUUUAAAAUCAUGAUUUCAUUGCAUAUUAAUAAUAAUAGGAUAUGAUGCUAGGGUUUUCAUUUGUUUUAUUUUUUUCCCUUUUAAAUUCCUUAGUUGCUUUUCAAAUUUGCAUAAAUUAGGAUUUUUUUUGGUUUAGUUUUUCCGUUUUCAAAAUAUGUGAGCAUUAGUUACCAACAAAAUAUAAGAAUGUUAUUUUUUUUCCAAAAUUAUUUAAUUAUAUUCUAUAUAAAUAUAGGUAAAUUAUUUCUCUACACAUAUAUAAUAACAAUAAAAUGUGGUUAAUGUAUGUAAUAAUACAUGCAAAAUAAUUUACCUUCAACAUAAAGGAUGUGAUUUGGUUCAAGAUUUAUUUUACCUAUAUUUCACAUAUAGGUAUAGGUAAAUUAUGAAAGAUUCUUUUUUUUUCUUUUUUUCUUUUUUUGUCUUUUGGCUUAACAUAUAUAGAUAAGUAAAUCAUUUUUUGUCAUUUGGUUUGAUAUAAAGGAUGUCAUAUGUCAUUUGGUUCAAAAAAAUAUAAGUAAAUUAUUUUAUGAAGAUUAUCAUUAUAUAAUAAUAAUAAAAAGGAGAAUAUAUAUAUAUUGUUUCAAUUAUGUAAAUAGUUUGUAAUAUGAGGUUAUUUCUUUGUCUACAUGUCAAUGGAUUUAGAUUCCGUUUACAAGAGUUAAUACCAAACAUACAAUUUCAGUUGUCCUUGGACAGAAGCCACUAAAUGAGUAAAGGACAACGGGACGAAACAACCUUCUACCUGGCGUAUGUACCUUGCCACUUUCAAUAAAAACAGGUGUGUUUCAAUUUGAUAUUUAAAUAUAUGUGGAUUUUGGGCUGCUUAUUAUGUGAUUUUGCCGAACUCCCCCUCCCAUUAAUGUAAAAAUAUCGAUGUACUAAAAAAUAUAUAUGUGGAUUUUUGUUUAAAAAGUAAAAUUACAAAGGUCUAUUUCUAAAGAACCCUAUGUAUCAACAACAAUUUCAACUAAUUCAAGUCCAGCAACACAAUAAACUCAAAUAAAAAUUCAAUUAUUUUAAACACAGUGAUGAUCUUAUAUUCAAAGAUAAUUUUGAUCUAGGUGCUUGAUUUUUGAAUUUGAUAGACCCAACAUCCCUAGCUUUUAGACUUUUUAUUAAGGAAAAAUUAGUAUCUGGUCCCUAGUUCUUACUGUUCAUUGACUAAGACCUUAUUAGUUCUCAAAUUUUGAUUCAAGUCCCUAGCAUUAAUGUGAUAAUGAAUUUACAUGUUUAUUUGUUAAUUUUUUAAUAUAAAAAUUAGUAAUUAAUUUAGGGUUUAAUACUCACACCUCUAUUAAACUUCUAAUUAAUUUUCAAUUCAAACAUUUCCAAAAUAAUAAAAAAUUAAAUUAAAUUAAGUUUGUACCUAUUAGUUUAUAUAUAUAUAUAUAUAUAUAAAGAUUCUCAAUUUUUUAAUCUUAAAUGUACCCAUUCAUAUAAUUUUUCAAUUUUUUUAAUCUUCAAUGUACCCAUUCUCAAAUAUAUCAAUUUCUUAUAUGUAAAAUGUACUUUUUUUUUAAUAUAAAAUCCAUUCAAAUUUUUUAAUCCAUGUUUAAACUUAUAUGGGUACAUUUUUUUCGUUGAUUUGAGAAUGUAUCCAUGUUUUGGUACAAUAACUUUUUUUGUUAAUUUUGGUUAAUGUACCCAUACAUAUAUGUACACACACACACAAUAUAAUAGAGAGUAUAAUUUAUAUUUUAUUAUUUUUAAUCCCAUAAAUUAUGGGUUUUAUUUAAAAUCUCAUUAAUAUAAACAAUUACAAAUUUUAAUUUUUAAUUUUUAAUUUUAAAAAUAUAGUAACUUACAUUAUUACAUUAAUGUCAGGGACCUCAAUCAAAAACUAAAAACUAACAAGAUUUCAAUCAAAGAAUAUUGAUAGCUAGGGAUCGCAUCCAAAGUGUCCCAUUUAUUAAACUACUUUCUACAAUUUUGGUGCCACGAUUUUUAAAACGUCCUCUUUCUAAAAUUCAAAAUAACAUGAACUGUCAUUAAUCCACCAAUUUAUUCCAGAAACAAUAUCCAAAGCUCCUAAAUCUAGCCUUCUUUAAACCAAAAUUAUUAUUAUUACUCCAACAUAAAAAUACAUAAUUAUUAAGUUAUCAAUCAAUGAUAUGUACCAAAAAUUAAAAUUAUACAUACCAAAAACUAAAAUGAAACGUACCAUUAACUAAAAUAAAACAUACCAAAUACUAAAACUAAACAUACCAAUCAAUGGUAUGUGCACAACUGAACAUACCAAAAAACAAAAUUAAGUAUGAAAACCAAUAAUAAACGUACCAAUAAUGUAUACAAAAGAAUUCUCUUAAUAAAAUGUAUAUAUAACAAUUUAAAAAAUAUAAACAUCCACCAUUUUCGUUAUCUUGAACAUAAAAUUAUAUUUUAAUUUUAGGAGAAAAAAUAUUUUGUACGAAAAAAUUAUUAAAAAGAGAAUUGGAUAAAUAUAUUGAAUGAAAAAUCAAGAUUAUCUCCAAAAAAAAUCGCUUAACUAAUUAAAGGACAAAUUAAGAAACCAAUAUACAGUGAGGUAUAUGGUAAUGGCAUGAGGAUGAAUGAAAAAACAACAACAACAACAACAACAAAGCCUUUUCCCACUAAGUGGGGUCGGCUAUAUGAAUCCUAAAACGCCAUUGCGCUCGGUUUUGUGUCAUGUCCUCCGUUAGAUCCAAGUACUCUAAGUCUUUUCUUAGAGUCUCUUCCAAAGUUGUCCUAGGUCUUCCUCUACCCCUUCGGCCCUGAACCUCUGUCCCGUAGUCACAUCUUUGAACCGGAGCGUCAGUCGGCCUUCUUUGCACAUGUUCAAAAUCACCGGAGCCGAUUUUCUCUCAUAUUUCCUACAAUUUCGGCUACUCCUACUUUACCUCGGAUAUCCUCAUUCCCAAUCUUAUCCUUUCUCGUGUGCCCACACAUCCCACGAAGCAUCCUCAUCUCUCCGCUACACCCCAUUUUGUGUACGUGUUGAUGCUUCACCACCCAACAUUCUGUGCCAUACAACAUCGCUAGCCUUAUUGCCGUCCUAUAAAAUUUUCCCUUGAGCUUCAGUGGCCUACGACGGUCACACAACACGCCGGAUGCACUCUUUCCAUCCAGCUCGUAUUCUAUGGUUGAGAUCUCCAUCUAAUUCUCCGUUCUCUUGCAAGAUAGAUCCUAGGUAGCGAAAACGAUCGCUUUUUGUGAUCUUCGCUAGAUUGCUCCGGUCAUUAGUGUGGGUAAGUAUAUAAAUGGAUAGAGAUAGGAAAGCAAACACAAGAUGUACGUGGUUCACCCAGAUUGGCUACGUCCACGGAAUAGAAGAGUUCUCAUUAAUUGUGUGAAGGGUUUACACAAGUACAUAGGUUCAAGCUCUCAUUUAGUGAGUACAAGUGAAUGAUUUAGUACAAAUGACAUUAGGAAAUAUUGUGGGAGAAUGAUCUCGUAAUCACGAAACGAAACUUCUAAGUAUCGGAGUGUGGUGUCGUCUUGACUUGCCUUAUCUGUCUCAUAGGUAGAUGUGGCAUCUUCUCUGGAAGUACUCUUCCUCCAUCCAGGAGUGGUGGUAUCUUUAACUGGUGGAGAUGCACACAAGGUAAAUGUAUCAAUUUCAAUUUCACUUGAAGCUUACUUGUAGUUUCAGGCUUGGUCAAGCGCGAUACAAACCAUGUAGUAGGAGUCCCCCAAGUCGCCGAGCUAGGGGGUCUGCUGAAAGAGGUGACAGACAAGGUAAGCAAUCAGAGCUCCGACUGAUUGUUCACCUUCUCCCCAUCUUGCAGCAGCAUGAAGGAUAAAGAGAAGAAAAAUGAGAAGAGAUGAUAUGAGAUACUUUUGCUUUUGAAGAAGUAACUUUCCACAGGCUUAUUCUUGAACUGAGCUGGAGGGUUUUCUGGUUUCCUCCAGAGUAUAAGGCCGACUGAAGAAUUUGAGGGUCAAAACAAGUCCAUCAAAUCUAGAGUACGUUCCACCCUGCUGAUAUGGGAUACUUUUGCUUUUGACAGAGUAAUAAAUGUAUCGGCACGUGUGCUGUUACGCUUGUCUCCACAUGCUUCCUUGUAUCCUUCGCACUUGCCCUAUCUGUUCCUCAAGCAGAUGCGGAAUCUUCCCUGGAAACAUAAGAUGUUGAAGAUGAGUACUCGAGAGCAAUGCCAGGUAAGUAAUCAGGUAAGGGGUUCCAGGCAGUCAGUUCCUGGCUGGAAGCUUGAUUCCAAGUGCUGACUGAUUGCUCUCUUUCUCCUUGUCUUGCAGGUAAAAACAAGGCCAAAAGAAAAGACAGGGAAAAAGCAUGAUAUGGGAUACUCUUGCUUUUAACCCUGAUGAUAUGAGAUAUUCUUGCUCUAGUAUAGCUUGUUUGCAGAGGUAUUAUCAGGGGGAAAGAAAGCUGAAUAUUUCGAAAGGCUUCGUUGGGAGUGUCCUCUCAGAUAUGAUGAAGGGUUGAGCAUUUUUGCAGGUCUGCCUGUCCGUUGGGGAUGGAGGUCGACAUAUAUAGGAGUCUCCCUAACAACAAGUAGUAAUGUUAUUCCUUUACCCUGCUUGGUCAUAGCACGGUAGUGGGAGCUGCCAGUUUCACAUGUUUUAACUCUGUCAGAGCACUUUGAAAAAGUGGUCUGUGGUAUCUGGCUCUCGAGAUUCGGAGAACGAUGCCUCUUCGAUUUUUGAGAAAGCAAUCAUGCUGGGGGUAUGACUCUCGAGAUUCGGAGAGCAGUGUCUCUUCGAUUUUUGAGGAAGUAAUCAUGUUGGGAGUCUGGCUCUCGAGAUUCGGAGGGCGGUGCCUCUUCGAUUUUUGGAGCAAGCAAUCUUGUUGGGAGUGUUGUCUCGAAUGUGAGUAAAGGUUGGGCAUGUUUGCUAGUCUACCUUGCCACGAAGCACAAAGGUUGACACACAGGGACUUUCCAAUUAUCCAGCAAUGGUACUGUUCCUUUACCCUCUCUUCGAUUUUGAGAAAGUAGUCAUGUUGGGAGUCUGGCUCUCGAGAUUCGAAGGACGGUGCCUCUUCGAUUUUGGAGCAAGCAAUCUUAUUGGGAGUGUUUUCUCUCGAAUGUGAGUAAAGGUUGGGCAUGUUUGCUAGUCUACCUUGCCACGAAGCACAGAGGUUGACACACAGGGACUUUCCAAUUAUCCAGCAGUGGUACUGUUCCUUUGUUCCACACAGUUGUGGGUAAUAAUAUGGUAGCUAGACCUUCAAAAUUUAUGUGUCUAAACUUUUGUUAGUGCUGUUUCUUUGCUAUUCUUUUACCUUUCUUGGUCAGAGCGAUGUAGUGGGAGCUGCAAGCUUCACGUGCUCAACUUUGGCAGAGAACUUUGGCAAAGUUAUUUGUGGUACCCAUGAGCUAUUGUUGCGUGUGGGAAGUGGGUGAUUGAACAGUAAGAUUCAUGUGCUUUCUACUUCACCAGAAGUCUUCGACAGAAUGCCCAUAAUUUCUGCAAAGCUGAGUGUGCGUGUGACAGUUGCUGACAAGGCUAGAAAAGUAGGUGCCUCUUCGAUUUCUGAGAUCGGCCCUCGUGGUCUCUGAGCAGCCCAGCUUUUGAGAAAGCGAGCGCCUCUUCGAUUGAUUCGGAGAACGAUACCUCAUCGAUUUUUGAGAAAGCAAUCAUGCUGGGGGUCUGGCUCUCGAGAUUCGGGGAGCAGUGUCUCUUCGAUUUUUGAGAAAGUAAUCAUGUUGGGAGUCUGGCUCUCGAGAUUCGGAGGGCGGGUGCCUCUUCGAUUUUGGAGCAAGCAAUCUUGUUGGGAGUGUUUUCUCGAAUGUGAGUAAAGGUUGGGCAUGUUUGCUAGUCUACCUUGCCACGAAGCACAGAGGUUGACACACAGGGACUUUCCAAUUAUCCAGCAAUGGUACUGUUCCUUUACCCUCUCUUUCGAUUUUUAAGAAAAAGUAGUCAUGUUGGGAGUCUGGCUCUCGAGAUUCGAAGGACGGUGCCUCUUCGAUUUUGGAGCAAGCAAUCUUAUUGGGAGUGUUUUCUCGAAUGUGAGUAAAGGUUGGGCAUGUUUGCUAGUCUACCUUGCCACGAAGCACAGAGGUUGACACACAGGGACUUUCCAAUUAUCCAGCAGUGGUACUGUUCCUUUACCCUUGUGGGUAAUAAUAUGGUAGCUAGACCUUCAAAAUUUAUGGGUCUAAACUUUGUUAGUGUUGUUUCUUUGCUAUUCUUUUACCCUUCUUGGUCAGAGCGAUGUAGUGGGAGCUGCAAGCUUCACGUGCUCAACUUUGGCAGAGAACUUUGGCAAAGUUAUCUGUGGUACCCAUGAGCUAUUGUUGCGUGUGGGAAGUGGGUGUGAUUGAACAGUAAGAUUCAUGUGUUUUCUACUUCCCCAGAAGUCUUUGACAGAAUGCCCAUAAUUUUCGCAAAACUGAGUGUGCGUGUGACAGGUGCUGACAAGGCUGGAAAAAGGCUGGAAAAGUAGGUGCCUCUUCGAUUUCUGAGAUCGGCCCUCGUGGUCUCUGGGGAGCCCAGCUUUUGAGAAAGCGAGCGCCUCUUCGAUUUUUUGAGAUCGGCCUUCGUGGUCUUUGAGCAGCCCAACUUUUGAGAAAGCAAACGCCUCUUCGAUUUCUGAGAUCAACCCUCGUGAUCUCUAAGCAGCCCAGCUUUUGAGAAAGCAAACGCCUCUUCGAUUUCUGAGCAGGCGCCUCUUCGAUUUCUGAAGCUUCGUCGAGUGCAGAUUUUUAUAGGGGUUGGCAUUAAGUUCCAAAGCACACUUGAAUCUCCACCAGUAGAAGCUUCAUUCUUGCACUUCUAAGAUCUUGAUUUGUCCGACCUCUUCUCUCUUCAACACCUUUGAAAAUGUCUGGCCCCUCCGACCGUCGUUUUGACUUGAACCUUGUUGAAGAGGCAGCCCCGCCUUCUCCAGACAACAUAUGGCGCCCAUCCUUCGUCUCCCCUGGUCCUCUUACCGUUGGGGAUUCCGUGAUGAAGAAGAAUAUGAUAUGACCGCUGCGGUGGUGGCCAGGAACCUUCUCACUCCCAAAGAUAACAGACUACUUUCCAAACGGUCUGAUGAGUUAGCUGUUAAGGAUUCGCUGGCUCUCAGUGUUCAGUGUGCAGGUUCUGUGUCUAAUAUGGCCCAACGCCUAUUUGCUCGAACCCGCCAAGUUGAAUCAUUGGCGGCUGAAGUGAUGAGUCUCAAACAGGAGAUUAGAGGGCUCAAGCAUGAGAAUAAACAGUUGCACCGGCUCGCACAUGACUAUGCUACAAACAUGAAGAGGAAGCUUAACCAGAUGAAGGAAACUGAUGGUCAAGUUUUACUUGAUCAUCAGAGAUUUGUGGGUUUGUUCCAAAGGCAUUUAUUGCCUUCGUCUUCUGGGGCUGUACCGCGUAAUGAAGCUCCAAAUGAUCAACCUCUGAUGCCUCCUCCUUCUAGGGUUCUGUCCAGUACUGAGGCUCCAAAUGAUCCCCCUCCGGUGCCUUCUCUUUCUGGGGCUCUACCGACUGCUGAGACUUCUCCUAAGCAACCUUUGUGAAGGCUCCCUCUUGUGUGCUUAUUUUUGACUCAUGUAUAUGUACAUAUUUGUAGCUUAUCGGGGAUAUCAAUAAAUAAGCUUUCCUUCAUUUCAACGUAUUGUGUUAAAUACACCAAAGCCUUCUUCGCUAAGUUCUUUGAAUUUUCUUUUGUUAAAGCUUGUAUGUUGAAGCUUUCUGAGUGGAGCAUGUAGGUUGGGGUAGUGUUCCCUUAAUUUCCCGAGUGAGGAAAACUUCUCGGUUGGAGACUUGGAAAAUCCAAGUCACUGAGUGGGAUCGGCUAUAUGAAUCUUAGAACGCCAUUGUGCUCGAUCCUGUGUCAUGUCCUUCGUUAGAUCCAAGUACUCUAAGUCUUUUCUUAGAGUCUCUUCCAAAGUUUUCCUAGGUCUUCCUCUACCCCUUCGGCCCUGAACCUCUGUCCCAUAGUCGCAUCUUCUAAUCGGAACGUCAGUAGGCCUUCUUUGCACAUGUCCAAACCACCGUAACCGAUUUUCUCUCAUCUUUGUGACUCAUUUCGAACUAAUACUAACUAAUUGUUAGUCAAGUGAGAAAUUUUCUAAUUAGAGAAAAAGGUCCUAAAUUUGAAUCGUAACUCCAACUUUGAUAAAAUAAAAAUAAAAAUAAAAAUAAAAUACCACUUAGAUUUAAACAGGACAAAAAUAUCUAAUAUUGUGUUGGGGUAGUGCUUCUUUGGUUUUAGGUAGUAGAGCACUGAGCACGAGACUUAAAAAAGCUACCAACAAAUAGGAGCAUUCAAGCCAUGGUCUUUGAUUUCAGAAGGAAAUGGAAAUUAUAAUUGCAAUUGCCUCAAAAAUUGGAGAGUCAUUGGUCGCACCAAUAGGAACAGAGUCUGCCUAUUUGAUUAAUUACCAUUCCAACCUAGAAAAUCUUAAGCGUGAGAUAAAAAAGCUCUGUGACAAGAAAAAUGAAGUGCAGGGAUGGGUAAAUGCUGCCAAAAGGAACGGUAAAUUUAUCCACCCUGAUAUUCAGAGUUGGCUAAAGAAUGUGGACGAAAUGAUCCAAAAAGUGUCGCAUUUUGAGGUUGAGAUUGACAGGAAAAGGCGAUGUAUGUAUCGAUGGAGCUUGAGUCGGAAAGCCUAUAAGAUUACACAACAUGUUCUCCAGCUCCAAAACGAAGGAACAUUUGAAAAUGUGGCCUAUGCUGCACCUUCACGAGAGAUAUGGUCAACAUUCAAAGACGGAUUUAAACAUUUCAAGUCCAGAAUGGAAAACAUGAAUGAGGUGAUAGAGGGUUUGAAGAGGGAAGAAGUAAGAAUGAUCGGGAUUUGUGGAAUGGGGGGUGUGGGUAAAACCACAAUGGCGAAAGAAAUCAUCAAAAGAUUAGCAGAACGGAACAUGUUUGAUAAAACUGUAAUGGCAACUGUGUCUCAAAGCCCAAGUAUUAAGACGAUCCAGUUGGACAUUGCAGCACAAAUAGAUUUGAAAUUUGAUGAGGAUUCUGAGUCCGGAAGAGCACUAAAGCUGCAUGACAGACUCAUGGAAAUAAGGAGGAUACUGAUUGUGUUAGAUGAUGUAUGGACAGAGCUUAAUUUUGAGGCUAUAGGACUUCCUUAUGGACAUACUCAUAAAGGGUGCAAAAUUUUGUUGACAUCACGGAAUUUGGAAGUCUGCAAUGCGAUGGAAAGUCAACAAAUUAUUGCAGUCCCAACUUUAACAACAGAAGAAUCACGGGAGCUCUUUAGAGAAAUCGUAGGUGAAUCCUUCGAUGAUCCAGAUUUCCAUUCCAUUGCAGAAGAGGUCGUGAAUGAAUGUGGAGGUUUACCUAUUGCAAUUGUAACUGUUGGAAAAGCCCUAGAAAAGAAAAAGAAGCACGAAUGGGUUAAUGCCCUUAAUCAGCUGCGAAAGUCUAUCCCAGAUAACAUCCCUGGACUAAACGGCAAAGUUUAUUCAAGCAUAAAAUGGAGUUAUGAUAGAUUGGAGAGUGAUGAAGCCAAGUCAUGUCUUUUACUUUGUUGUUUAUUUCCAGAAGAUUAUAGCAUUCCAAUUGAGGAUUUGGUUCGAUAUGGGUGGGAUCGAGGAUAUUUUAGCAGCAGCGAUACUUUGGAAGAAGCAAGAAAUAAAGUGCAUUCUUUGGUUGACCAACUACAAAGAAGGUUUUUGUUACUAGAUAAUGACUGGAGUGGGACUACAAAAAUGCAUGACAUAGUUCGCGAUGUUGUCAUAUCAAUUGCUUCAAGAGAUCCACAUGGAUUUCUGAUAAGAAGUAAUGCUGAAAAUAAAGGGUGGCCAAAUCUAGCUACAUAUGACCAUUACACUACAAUCUCACUUGUUGGCGAUUUGGAGAUUCAAGAUGGUUUGAAAUGCCCAAAACUUGAGUUUCUACAGACGAUGAAAGGACGUUUUUCAGAAGGUAGCAUGGACAACAUUUGUAAGGCGAUGAAAGAACUGAAGGUUUUAGCUUUGGUGCAAAUGGAAAUGGAAGACCUAGGCUCAUCAAGCUCACUAGGAUUACUGAAGAACCUGCGGACCUUGACCCUAAAUGGGUCUAAAUUUGAUGGCAUGUCUACUGAUGUUAUUGGGAGUUUGGAGAAUUUAGAAAUCCUCAGCUUUCGGGAUUGUGAUUCCAUGCGUGAGUUGCCGAGGGAAAUUGGACGACUUAAACAGUUAAGGUUGUUAGAUACGACAAAUUGCAGGAAUCUUGAGGUGAUUCCACAUGGUAUCUUCUCCAGCUUAUGUAGACUUGAAGAGUUAUAUAUGCUUGAUAGCUUUAAUAAAUGGGAAAUUGAAACAGGAAGAGAAGAGAAGGGGAUGGCAAGCAUUUCUAAGGUGAUGUCUCUGUCUCAUCAUUUGAAGGUUCUAUCCAUAAAUAUACCCCCCAAUUUCAUCCACUUGUUGCCAAAAGACUUAGUCUUGAAAAGCCCAAGAUUCGCUAUACGGCUUACACCAGCAAGGUAUUGUUUCCCCACAACUUAUGCAUUCGAAAAUUGUUUGGCAAUUGAUGAAAGUGAUGCGAGGGAACUGAUGGAGAGUCAAGCAGUUAGACUUUUGUUGAAAAAAUCUAAAAGAUUGAUUUUGAACUAUGUUAAGAAUUUCUCUGUCCUCACUGAUUUAGACCAAGAGGGAUUUCAAGAUUUGAAAGUUUUGGCUCUUUUGAAUUGUCCAAAUACCGAGUAUCUUGCAAAUGGAACAAGUGCGACCCAACAGGCACUCUUUCCUCGCAUACAGUCAGUUAGUAAGCUUUCGGAUGGCUUUUUGACCAACCUAAGAUGCCUUUAUUUGACAAAUUGUGAUGUCUUAAAAUAUGCCUUUUCACUAUCAGUAGCGAGAAACUUGGUACAACUCCAGGAAUUAAACGUUAAUGGAUGUGAUCAAAUGGAAGAAAUUGUGUCGAAGCAGGGGAGGGAACAUGAGGAGGAAGCCGAUAUGAUAUCUUUCCAUAAAUUAACCAAUUUGACUCUCGAGGGUCUAGGGAGUUUGGUUGGUUUCUUCCAAGCCAACAAGCUAUACUCCAACCAAGAGGUAUGUCCCACUCUCCAAUCUCUAUGAUAUGAGGAGGCAGCCAAUAUGUGGAAAUUUGAAAUUGUUUAACUGAUAAUGAUUUUUCUUUUUCAGGAAACAACGGCAAGGGUUGAGCAUCAAUCUGCAGGCAUAUUUGAAAAAGCAAUAUUUCCAUCAAAGUGCAUUUCAUGGUUUCCAUGUUUAGAAGAGGUAGAAUUGGAAGAUAUGAAGUUUGAAGGCGUGCUAUUUGAUCUGAAAAUCCAUGGCCAGACAACUCCAAUAUUUCCCCAGUUAAGUAAGUUGGAGAUAAUCCAGGGUUCGUUUACACACUUGUGGAAAAACAUUUCGUCUGGAUUUCAGGGCUUUCGAAAUUUGAGAUAUUUGGCAAUGAGAGGAUGUUGUGGUCUAAAAUAUGUGUUCUCGCAUUUAAUUGCCCGAGAACUUUUGAAUCUUCAAGAGGUAAAGAUAUCUAGAUGUCCGGACAUGGAAACUAUAGUUAGAAUCACAGAGGAAAAUGAAGAAGAGGCGACAAAAUACAUGAUUUUGUUUCCGAAACUGAACACAUUUGAACUAAAAUACCUGCCUCGUCUCACAAGUCUUUGUCCAGAGGGAUUUACAUUUCUAUGGUCAUCCGCAAAAAAUAUGCACGUGAAAAAAUGUGAAAAUUUGAAGACAUUGGGUGCUGUAAUUCCACAAAGAAAGAAGUUGGAGAAUAAGUCUGAGAAGGAUUCAACAAGUCAUGAUUUCAGCACUUCCCCAACAAGUUCAUCAAAUUGGUGCCCCGCUGGAUGUGGAUGCGCACCAUAUUCAAGACCAAACGCCCACCGCUCCAUUGAAAUAUUGCCACGUCCAGUUAAUUUGGAGGUAAGCUUUUAAAUUAGGUUCAAUUAACCUUUAUAAGUACAACUUUUAAUUAGUAUUGUACUCAUCUUGUUGAUCGUGUUUAAUUUUCUAGGUUACACCAACUAAUCUUGAGGACUCAAAUGAUGAUGAUGAUAAUCUCGAAAAUCUUACUGUAAGUGACUGUAAUUCAAUGGAAGUGAUUUUCCAACUAAAGGGACCGAAGCAUGAAGAAAGUAAUCACUCCAUUGAAGCAUUCAAUAAAUUGAGGUCCUUCCAGUUACAUAAGUUGCCAAGUUUAACGCGUGUUUGGGAGGUGGGUAGUUCACAACCAAUGUUCACAGGAAGCAGUUUUGGAAACUUGAAAUCGUUGCAGGUCGAUUGUUGCAACCAGUUGAAAUACUUGUUUCUGUCCUCCAUAGUCAAACUUCUCGUGAGUAUAGAGGACAUAGAAGUUAAGAAGUGUGAGCAGAUGGAAGAAAUCGUUGCCGCAGAAGAAGAAACUGAUGGAACAAUUACAUUACCUAAAGUGAAGUCCAUCAAGCUUCAAAGUCUGCCAAAACUCAAGUAUUUUUGUGGUGAAGCUUAUACUUUGAAGUUGCCGUCUUUGGAGUUAUUGAAGGUUAUUAAUGUGCAAGACAUAAGGCCAUUUGAUUCUAAGCUUGUUGACACGCAUAAUCCCCGAUUGCAAGUAAAACCCACAUUUCGACAGGAAUGGACAAGGUAUGCUUUAGAUUAAUGGACAAGGAAUCAACAGUUCAUAUUUAUUUUGAGAAAAGUGUUCUCAAAAUUUAGUCAAAUACCAUAUAUAUGUGCAUAUGUUCACACUAAAGUGUAUUCAAGUAAUUUUAUUUUUUAAAACUCAAUUCUAUCCCAAGAAAACAUCUGUCUUUUAUUUCUAAAACUGGAAGGAUAAUGAUGAUGAAUUGUACAGUGAGGAUGAAAAUGAAGAUGAGAAUUCUAUGGCGAGGAUGAAGAUGACGAAAUCGACGGCGAGGAUGAAGAUGACGAAAUCGACAGGGAGGACGAACACAAAUGACUGAUCAAGCACAAAGGUUAGCAUGUUUCCAUCUCCAACUUCUUCUAGGUUUAUUAAAAACUGAUGAAAUUAUCUAUGAAGUACACAAAAAAAUUUUCUACCAUGUUUUAUAGAAUAUGUACAUACAUGGAUAGUACUUAAUUAAACAAUAAGGAUCGUCGAACCACAUUCUGCUACUAAUUCAUUUUUUCAAGGUACCCAAUGCAAGUCGAUCUAUAAUAUGCACUCUAAAAGUACUAACCUUGAGAAGCCAUUCAUAUGAACAAGAUUGAACCAUGAUCAGCUACGAACAAGCAAAGAUCUUCCUCUUUCUCUACACACCUUAUGCACUUCUAUAUGGGGUAGUGUUUUAUGCUAGAAUAAUAUGUAUAAAAGUGGGACCUAAGCCUCAUAUUUAUAGGUGAGAGUAUUAGGUUUCUUGCCCAUAAAGAAAACCCUAAUACAGAUCUUUAGCACCUCUAAAAUCCAUGACCUAAUAGGAUAGAUAUUCCCAAAAAUUAUUGCUAUACUUCACCAUAAGUAAUCCGGAAUAAUCAAAUAUUACUUCCUUUCUUUUAUCCUUAAUCAAUUAGGACUCCUAAAUAGAUGUAAGCCCAAUAAAAGUCUUACACCCAAUAGCAGUCAAGAUGGAAGAAGCUUUUCGGAUUAGCAACUGCCUCAAGAAACCUUUAUCAGAUUCCACGAUAAUAUUGGAAUAACCUUUUUCUGUUAGCAAGUUUCACCUGAUCUACAACAAGCAUAACUGUUUUGAGAAACACAUAUACAAUAAACAUAACCGUAGUGCUAAGUGACUCGAAAAUUAAUUUGGUCCUUAAACCGCUAUAUUCUGAAACACAUGUACAAUAAGCAUUACCAUUUGAACUUAUUCCAACUUCAGUGAUUUCUAAUAUUCUCCAAUGCAUGCAGGACAAGAGUUUACAGAACGUUGUGGCUUCAGCAAUUCGUUUACCAUAUCAUAUGUACAAGCCAAUAAAAGGUCAUUUGUUGCACCAGAAUUUCAUUCCAAAAAUACUAUUUAUGUUGCUUAUUUGAUGUAUUAUAAAUUUCGAUUGUGAUUAUUACUGUUUGUUUCUAAAUUAGUGUUUGCUUAUUUGUUAUGGUAAUUUGGAAAAGUUGUCUCUAGCUACCAAUAUUUGCAUUUCAAUUUAUAAUGCUAAAAGUUCUGUAAUACCAUAGACGUGUAAGAUGAAUGACAUGCUGGAGGAAUGACACGUGUAAUAUUGAUCAUGUGUAACCUAAAUAAUAUUAUGAUACACUAUAAUAAUAUGAUCAUUCACCAUAAGGUCUGAUAUUAAUUCAUAAAAUCUGGUUUUCCCCUAAACGUAGGAAAUCAUAUUUAUCUAGGCAUGCUUAAUAUUUCAUAAAAGAAAAAACAUUUCUUAAAUAAAUGUCCACUCACACCUCCGGCUAGCUCUCCCUUGAGGAGCCUUGUCUACCAAAUAGGUAAGUUCAAGCAACUUCAAGAGAGAAUUUCCUCCACAUUAAGUCUUAACCAUCCACUGGACAGCAGGCAAUUCAAAACCAAAGUAAGCUGCUGAAUACAGCUACAAUAAACAAGGAAUCAGGCUAAGCUAUUGUCUUCAUCAUAAAAUGAUUUUGGCCCCCAUUUUCUAAUUUCGUACCACAUUUUCACAUUCUUUCCAUGAAUUUUAUAAUUCCUAUGCAACAGAGUUCAUUCAUUGCCUAUUCACAACAUUACAAGGUUCUACAGAGUUCAAUCCCACCGUGUUAUAGACAUGCUUCAACUAUCAACCGGGAACGUAAUCGUUAGGGGUUUCAACAACUUCAGAGAUACAACAAUUACGAUAAGUCUCAUCUCGGACAUUCAUACAGAAAAUUGAAUAAAAUUUGAAAUCAAGAAUCAAUCCCAAAAGUGAAAGUUGAAAAUUCGGGAAAAGAACUUACAUUGGCGAACAGCCCACGAGAAGAGGAUCAUUUCUACCUCUUGGGUCGAGCUCCAAUUCUGGCGAUAUUGGCCGGAAGUUGGCCGGAAAACCCUGGGUCACCGUUUCUUAAAUUUGAGGUUGAGGAAAGUCGCCUACGAAUCUAUAGAAACUAACUUGGGGAUUGGAUGAAGGACGGCAAGAGCAUUCUGGAUGUGUAGUUUGAGAGCCUUUGGUGAGCCGUGGACGACAGAGCUGUUGCGUCGGCACUCGGCAGUCGUCGGCUUGCUGUUUAAUGGGGCUCCUGUUGCAGCGCAAAAGAGGAUACGGGAGGAGGAGAGAAGAUGGGUUUCUCCCACUUUUUAGAUCUUAAUUUUUUUCCCUUUUUUUAAUUUUUUUCCCUUUUUAUAUAUCGUUUACACACUUGUGGAAAAACAUUCCGUCUGGAUUUCAGGGCUUCCAAAAUUUGAGAUAUUUGGCAAUGAGAGGAUGUUGUGGUCUAAAAUAUGUGUUCUCGCAUUUAAUUGCCCGAGAACUUUUGAAUCUUCAAGAGGUAAAGAUAUCAAAAUGUCCGGAUAUGAAAACUAUAGUCAGAAUUACAGAGGAAAAUGAAGAAGAGGCGAUAAAAUACAUGAUUUUGUUUCCGAAACUGAACACAUUUGAACUGGUAGACCUGCCUCGUCUCUCAAGUCUUUGUCCAGAGGGAUUUACAUUUCUAUGGUCAUCCGCAAAAAAUAUGCGCGUGGAAAACUGUGAAAAAUUGAAGACAUUGGGUGCCGUAAUUCCACAAAGAAAGAAGUUGGAGAAUAACAUGAAGAAGGAUUCAACAAGUCAUGAUUUCAGCACUUCCCCAACAAGUUCAUCAAAUUGGUGCCCCGCUGGAUGUGGAUGCGCACCAUAUUCAAGACCAAACGCCCACCGCUCCAUUGAAAUAUUGCCACGUCCAGUUAAUUUGGAGGUAAGCUUUUAAAUUAGGUUCAAUUAACCUUUAUAAGUACAACUUUUAAUUAGUAUUGUACUCAUCUUGUUGAUCGUGUUUAAUUUUCUAGGUUACACCAACUAAUCUUGAGGACUCAAAUGAUGAUGAUAAUCUUGAAAAUCUUACUGUAAGUGACUGUAAUUCAAUGGAAGUGAUUUUCCAACUAAAGGGACCGAAGAAUGAAGAAAGUAAUCACUCCAUUGAAGCAUUCAAUAAAUUGAGGUCCUUCCAGUUACAUAAGUUGCCAAGUUUAACGCGUGUUUGGGAGGUGGGUAGUUCACAACCAAUGUUCACAGGAAGCAGUUUUGGAAACUUGAAAUCGUUGCAGGUCGAUUGUUGCAACCAGUGUUCUAAAAAUCGGCCUAGGCGGCCGCCUAGGCGCUAGGCGGUGGGCAACCGCCGGGAUUAACGUAAAAUCGGAAGAAAAAUCGGGACAAGGAUUAGGCGGGUGUCGAGGUGGCCUGAGCGGCCCUUGGGCGGCCUAGGAGGGCAACUGGGUGGCCUAGGCGGUCUGAGAAUUUCAAUUUUUCUAUGUUCGAACUUGAGAAAGGAUGAAUGCUUCUGGUUUUUCUGGGCUUCUGGUGGUCUGUGUUCGCGAAGGAGGAAGAAGAUGAGAGAAUUAGUUUCUCUCUCUUCUUUCCAUACCCACGCACGUGAUGUAUUAAACUUUUUUUUUUAUUUUUUAUUUUUUAUUUUUUGUCCAUUAAAAUGUGGACAGCUAGCCUUGACUUUUCUUAAAGAAUAAAGGUUGUCAGGCUAUUAAUUUUUGUGUCAUCCAUCAAGUGCUAUGGAUUUUUUUUGUAGAUAGCGAUGGAGCACUCAUCUCUUCCUGGACAAAGGGCAGACUAGCUGCCAUCUAUAAAAAAAUUAAUAGCCUGACAAAAAAUUAAUUUUUUUCUCAUUAAAAAAACAUUGAUUGUCAGGUUAUCAAUUCAUAGCAUCAAGUGAUAUGGAUUUUUUGGACUUGUUAGAUAAGCAUUUUAUUAUUCUUUUACUAUCUUAUUCAGAGAUUUCAUAUAAGUAUAAUUUUUUGUAAGUAUCAGUAUACAUUUAUUUACAAGAUAUAUAAGAAAUUUACCUAAAUCCGCCUAGACCGCCUAGGCGCCCGCCUAGACCCCGCCUAACCGCCUAGGCGCUAGGCGCCAGUUCACCGCCCGACUAGCGCCUAGCGUUUUUUAGAACCUUGGUUGCAACCAGUUGAAAUACUUGUUUCUGUCCUCCAUAGUCAAACUUCUCGUGAGUAUAGAGGACAUAGAAGUUAAGAAGUGUGAGCAGAUGGAAGAAAUCGUUGCCGCAGAAGAAGAAACUGAUGAAACAAUUACAUUACCUAAAGUGAAGUCCAUCAAGCUUGCAAGUCUGCCAAAACUCAAGUAUUUUUGUGGUGAAGCUUAUACUUUGAAGUUGCCAUCUUUGGAGUUAUUGAGCGUUAUUAGUGUGCAAGACGUAGGGCCAUUUGAUCCUAAGCAUGUUGACACGCAUAAUCCCCGAUUGCAAGUAAAAACCGCAUUUCGACAGGAAUGGACGGGGACCUCAAUGCCACUCUAAGGAACAUUUAUGACACAAGGUAUGCUUUAAAUUAAUGUUUCUAAUUUGCAGUCACUUUUGUGUCCACCUGGAAGACCGCAUCAUCAAUAUACAACCACUGAACCAACAAAUAUUUUCUCCUAAACAAUUACAAUUACGUCAAUAUAAACUUUUAGAGACUACAGUAAUGCUUCAUGCUGUUUGUUCCAACUCUUUCGAUCCUUGAUGCAUGCGUGGGAUUUCUAAUGUUUUUACGAAGGACUGAAGAAUAGCUAGGUUGAUAAUUUGCAGUAUGUGAGCUAUAUAUGCUCAAUCUUACAUUUCUAUUUAUUCAACCAACAAAUACGUUCUGGUUUCGAGCUACAAGCAUAAUAUGGCUAACACCACCACAAUUUUGACUACAAAUUUAGGGAAAUCAAUAUCAACCGUUCAUAUUUAUAUGUGCAUAUGUUCACACUAAAGUGUAUUUAAGUAAUUUUAUUUUUUAAAACUCAAUUCUAUCUCAAGAAAACAUCUGUCUUUUAUUUCUAAAACAGGAAGGAUAACGAUGACGAAUUGUACAGUGAGGAUGAAAAUGAAGAUGACGAAUUCUCUGGGGAGGAUGAAGAUGACUAACAGAAUUGAUUGAUCAAACACAAAGGUUAGCAUGUUUCCAUCUCCAACUUCUUCUAGGUUUAGUAAAAACUGAUGAAAUUAUCUAUAAAGUACUCGAAAAAUUAUUCUUCCAUGUUUUAUAGUAUAUACAUAAAUGGAUAGUACUUUAAAAAUUGAACAAUAAGGAUUGUCGAACCACAUUCUGCUACCUAAUUCAUUUUUUCGAGGUACCCAAUGCAAGUCGAUCUAUAAUAUGCACUCUAAAAGUACUAACCUUGAGAAGCCAUUGAUAUGAACAAGAUUGAACCAUGAUCAGCAACGAACAAGCAAAGAUCUUCCUCUCUCUCUACACCCCUUAUGCACUCCUAUAUGGGGUGGUGUUUUGUGCUAGAAUAAUGUGUAUAAAAGUGGGAUCUAAGCCUUAUAUUUAUAGGUGAGAGUAUUAGGUUUCUUGCCCAUGAAGAAACCCCUAAUACAGAUCUUUAGCACCUCUAAAAUCCAUGACCUAAUAGGAUAGAUAUUCCCAAAAAUUAUUGCUAUACUUCACCAUAAAUAAUCCGGACUAAUCAGAUAUUACUUCCUUUCUUUUAUCCUUAAUUAAUUAGGACUCCUAAAUAGAUGUAAGCCCAAUAAAAGUCUUACACCCAAUAGCAGUUAAGAUGGAAGAAGCUUUUGAGAUUAGCAUCUGCCUCAAGAAACCUUUAUCAGAUUCCACAAUAAUAUUGGAAUAACCUUUUUCUCUUAGCAUGUCUCACCUGAUCUACAACAAGUAUAACCAUUUUGAGAAACACAUAUACAAUAAACAUAACCGUAGUGCUAAGUGACUUGAAAAUUAAUUUAGUCCUUAAACCGCUAUUUUCUGAAACACAAAUACAAUAAGCAUUACCAUUUCAACUUAUUCCAAUUUCAGUGUUUUCUAAUAUUCUCCAAUGCAUGCAGGACAAGCGUUUACAGAACGUUGUGGCUUCAGCAAUUCGUUUACUAUAUCAUAUGUACAAGUCAAUAAAAGGUCAUUUGUUGCACCAGAAUUUCAUUCCAAAAAUACUAUUUAUGUUGCUUAUUUGAUGUAUUAUAAAUUUCGAUUGUGAUUAUUACUGUUUGUUUCUAAAUUAGUGUUUGCUUAUUUGUUAUGGUAAUUUGGAAAAGUUGUCUCUAGCUACCAAUAUUUGCAUUUCAAUUUAUAAUGCUAAAAGUUCUGUAAUACCAUAGACGUGUAAGAUGAAUGACAUGUGUAAGCUAAAUAAUAUUAUGAUACACUAUAACAAUAUGAUCAUUCACUAUAAGGUCUGAUAUUAAUUCAUAAAAUCUGGUUUUCCCCUAAACGUAACGGAAAUCAUAUUUAUCUAGGCAUGCUUAAUAUUUGAUAAAGAAAAAAACAUUUCUUAAAUAAAUGUCCACUCACACCUCCGGCUAGCUCUCCCUUGAGGAGCCUUGUCUACCAAAUAGGUAAGUUCAAGCAACUUCAAGAGAGAAUUUCCUCCACGUUAAGUCUUAAACAUCCACUGGACAGCAGGCAAUUCAAAACCAAAGUAAGCUGCUGAAUACAACUACAAUAAACAAGGAAUUAGGCUAAGUUAUUGUCUUCAUCAUGACAUGAUUUGGCCCCCAUUUUCUAAUUCCGUACCACAUUUUCACAUUAUUUCCAUAAAAUAAUUUUAUAAUUCCUAUGCAAAAGAGUUCAUUCAUUGCCUAUUUCACAACAAUACAAGGUUCUACAGAGUUCAAUCCCACACCAUGUUAUAGAAAUGCUUCAACUAUCAACCAGGACGGUAAUCGUUAGGGGCUUCAACAACUUCACAGAUACAACAAUUACGAUAAGUCUCAUCUCCGACAUUCAUACAGAAAAUCGAAUAAAAUUCGAAAUCAAGAAUCAAUCCCAAAACUGAAAGUUGAAAAUUUGGAAAAAGAACUUACAUUGGAGAACAGCCCACGAGAAGAGGAUCAUUUCUACCUCUUGGGUCGAGGUCCAAUUCCUGCGAUAUUGGCCGGAAGUUGGCCGGAAAACCCUGGGUCACCGUUUCUUAAAUUAGAAAUUGAGGAAAAUCGCCUACGAAUUUAUAGAAACUAACAGGGAUUGGAUAAAGGACGGCAAGAGCAUUCUGGAUGUGUAGUUUGACAGGCGUUAGUGACCUGUGAACGACGGAGACGUUGUGUCGGCAGUCGUCGGCUCGCUAGGAGAAGAGGGAGAGAGGAUGCAGGAGGGAGGAGAGACAAAAAGAAAAGGAAAAGAAACAAAGAAAUUUAAAAUAGAAAUGAAAAAGAAAGGUAACCGGACUGCAAAGGUAAUCAGCAUACAAAAUUAUCAUACUAUCCUUAAACUUUGUAGCUAUGUGAAAUCUUCAUUUUAAUUCUAAAUUUUCUUAUGCUUGCGCUCACAGGUUCUUAUUAGAGCAGUUCCACCGGAGGUGGAAUAGCCCAGUACCCAGUCAAAAAAUCAGGUUAGCACCCUGUUAAUUCACUCCAGCCCGUGAAAUCGACUAGCACCCAGCCUAAGCCAGUCUACGGGCCGGCCUAAAAUCGACAGACCUUGGGACCGACCUAUCUGACGUCAGCGUGGCGUCGGAGGGCAUAUGACGUCAGAGAAGGAGUUGUUGUGGAGGCUGAGGAGCAGAGCUGGUUGAGGCGGGAGAGGAUGUCGAGAGGGAAGGAACCAUGGAGGGAGAACGACGGAAGGACAAAGCGACAGCGUCGGAGGUGUGGAGAUGCAGGAGGACGAAUCGACGGUGUUGAAGGACAGGAGGUGUGGAGACGCUGUAGAGGAGCUAGUUGUUGAGAUGUGGAGAUGCAGGAGGUGAGGAGAUGCAGGAGAUGUAGGAAGUGCAGGGGUGGAUGGCGUGCAGAAAUGGAAGGGAAAGGAGGUGUGGAAGAUGAGAAAAUAAUAAUAAUUUUUUUUUAUAAAGUUAGAAAUUAAAAAUAAAAAUAUUAUUUUUUAUUAUUUUAUAAUAAAAAAUAAUAAUUUUUUAAUAAAAUUGACUAGGCUAUUUUUUUUAGGGAUAGAGAUGCAUUGGCCUAUUGCUGUUCAUUAUGGUUUAUCACUGUUCACUUGAGUGGAUAAAUGCACUGGAUGCUGGCGUAAAGUCUUUAGGGGUGGACUUGCUCUUAUGCGCACUACGAAAAGAUAUUAUGUGAGUUUUCGUUGAGAAUUUUUUUGAUGGAGGCAUCCAUGAUUUGCAAGGCCCACCAUGGCAAAGCUAGGUAUCGGCCUGACAUGUGAAGACACCAUCGCGGAGAAGAAUCUGGAAAGUUCAAUCCUUGUAUUUUUCUUAUAUAAUGGUGUCGUUUUAGUGAACUGAAUGUUUCGAUUCCAACAUCUAAAAUACUACAAUUGGAAUUUUUACAUACUACAAUUGGAUUGUAUCUUAAAAUUCUGAAGUUUUGGAUUGAAUUACCACUACCAAAAAUGUGAGCAUUGGUCACAAUCAUGCUGCUUUGUGUUGGAUUUCGUUAGAGAUCAUAAUUAAUCAAUCACCCAUAUUGUGUCUCCCUCCAAAAGCUCAAACUGAAACCUAAACUCCCUCGUCGACCAAAAAAAAAAAAACAAUCCUUGAACUCCCUAGCAAAUCAGAGCCCAAUUUGACAACCAAGAUCUUCAUCGUUCGAGCAUCAAUGUUCUCUUAAAUUUGCUGCGAGCAACCUACCAUGAAAUCUCCUUCAUGGACAUCUCAUAAAAUUAGAAUGGUACAAAGAAGAGUAGUGUCACUCCUAAGCUAGGAUUACACGUUUGAAUCGCAAAAUAGUUCCUCCUCCACUCUUUGAUUCUCUCUUUCACCGGCUAACAAUAUUUUACAUUACCAUCUUUUGCUCUAUUUGACUGAAGGACAAAUUUUGAUUGUCUAAAUAUUAUAUUAAACUACAAAUAAUAUUGAUAUUACUUUAGUCUAAAGAAGGCUUUUCAAUUGCAUUGUACCAAUGAAUAGUGUUUUGAACCACAUUUCAGUUUAUUUACAAGACUGCCACUGGGACGCUUUUAGCCAACUUUUGCUUUAUUUACAAAAAUGCCACUCAGGCUUAAGACUCGAUUUUCAGCCGCUGCAUCUCAGGUUUUUACUAGGGGAAAGAGAGGGGAGGGGGACAGAACGAGCAGAGAGAGAGAGCCUGCGGCUUGCAGAAUUACGAUGAUAGAAGAAGAAGCUCAAAAGUUUGAUACGCCAAGUCGAAGGAACCCUAAAAACCAGAGAAGAAGAAGAAGCUCAGAAAUCGGGUGAGGAUGUUGACAAAUCAGCAAGCCCAGUUUUAGGCGACUCUGCAAAACCAACAACCUAACCUCCGACGAACGAUGUUAGAGGGGAUUCGUCAGAUUCGAGUCGAACCGAGGCCGUCGUCGACUAAGAGAACAUUAUCGAUCCCGACUUUUGGAUCGACUCCCUUUACCUGCUCCCUGUCUGUUACUCCUGCUCCGUCUCUCUUCUUGCAAGUUCGCUCGGGUUCUUCUCCCCAGUUAUUUCAAGCACAAAAAAUUCUCCAGUUUCAUUCGUCAGCUCAUACAUACGUAAGCUCUUCGCCUCUUAAUAUUUUGAUUUAGGUUAAUUGUUAAAUUCUUGAAAAAAAUUGAAAGCAUUGUUCAUUUUUGUCCCAAAUUGGUUUGGUUCUGGUUUGGAAACAGAAAUUAAAACAUAUACUCCUUCAUCUACGAUUCACUUAUUCCAUUCCAGAUAUUUCUCCAUUUCUCUCUUAAUUUCUUACUUUUUGAUUCAAGCGUUUAAUUUUUUAUUAAUUAAAUUACAAAUAAGUAUUAUUGACUUUCAUUUGGUACCAAUCAAUCAAGUGAGAGAUGAGUUGUUUGAAUGUUUGAUUUUACUUGAAUCAGAGUCUCCAAGGAGGAGAAAGAGAAGGAUCCGAAUGAUUUAGGGUUUAGGUCUUAGCGUGUGAGCAGGCGUAUUGAUGACUGUAAUCAAGGUAUCACUUAAGCUCUAAUUGUGACUAGUAAAUUUUGAAUGACUGCUGGUUACUGUUAAAACCCCAAAUGUAUGCAAUCCCACGUUCCAAUUUGUUGUGUGAAGAUGCGGACCACAAUUGCUUCCUCUCAGCACAAUUAGUUUCCACGAUUACUCUUAAACCCUAAUUGUCUCUCCUCUAUCUAAAAUCCAUUUUUCGAUUUUUGAAUACGGUAAAUGGAUAUUGUUUCUAUGUGCAGGUGUUACUCGGAGAAGUUUGAAAGGCCCUGGGACAAUGAGGAUUGCAUUUCAGAGUAGCAGAAAUACAAGGCCACCCUCUCUUUGUGUAUCCAAUCUUACCCUUCUCCUAAAUUUUUAUCAAACUAUAGGAUUUAUUUUGCUGAUUUUAUUUUUUGCGAUUUGAGUUUUUAUCUCCUGCUUAUUUUUUAUUUUUUUGCCGAGGUAUUACUUUUCCUUUGACUAGAAAUUUUAGUGUUUUUAAAGUAUAAUGUUAUCAAAUUCUAAUUUUCUAAUUUUCUGAUUUUGGCCUUUUGCAGGGAGUGCUAAGAUACUAAAUUUUUGGGAUUUUUUAUCUUUGCAUGAUUUUUGGUCUUUGAAAUGGGUAUGUGCUGUUUUUAACGUUUUGGUUCUCAAAUGUUUCGUUCUUGAUUUCUGUUUUCUGCCUCCUUCUAGGUUGCUUCGUGAUUUUCAUUUUCCAUUGUUGGCUUAUGGAAUUUAUAAAAAUGGUUGUAGUUUUGUGACCAAAUCCCAAUAAGAGUAUGCCGAAACACAGAUUAGCAUGUAGUGAACAUACGUUGAAUUAGAACAAAAUUUAAUAUAUAAGUGAAGGCAUGUGCAGUGAACAGACAUUGAAUUUAAAAUUGAUAGGGUAGUUAAGCUUCUGCCUUAGUUAUUCUUUGUCACUCACUUUUGGAAUUUAAUUCAUUCAUUUCAAAGUCACUCAUGUACUCUGUCUUACUUUAUUCACUCAUGUUUAGUAUGCACCAUUGAAUUUUUUUGUCAUAUAUUAUUCACUCAUCUACUACACUAAUGUUGAGAUUUGGGUAUCAUUUGUUUUCUCAUAUGUCAUGUUUUUAAGCCAAAUCUAAUAUAUAAAUGGAUCCAAAAACUCCUGAUGUAGCACAUUUAAUUUGUUCAAAUAUUGAUUCUUUUCCCUCUAUUCACUUCAGUUGUCGUGUUCUUCUUCGUUCUUUUUUCAACGGCAAAGCUGGACGAUCCAUGGAGCACAUGUUGUUGAGCCUUUUGCCACUACUGGUCUGGUCCAAUUCGAAGGAGUUGUUGGAGUACAAUCUUUAGGCCCUUUGGAGGAGCUGAAAAACCAGUCUCGACUCUGCUGACCUAGACAUAUUCCGAGAUAUGCUCCAGCUCCAUAACGAAUCGGACAUCAGCCCGGUUCACUACUCUCACUCUUUCCUGCUUUCAUUCUCAAUUUUUUUUUGGAAUUUUGCGCUGAAUUUCAUUUGGGUAAUUUGUGAAGUUUUGUUUUUUUUUCUUCUUUUGUUAGGCAGCUUUUGGUGUGCCUGCGAAUGUUGAUUCGGCGAUGCGUUUACAAUAACGUCAAGAGGGAAAAGAUUCAAAAGAUGUUCCCAGUGUAGCUAUUUUAUAAUUGAUGAGGCUGUUGGUGCUUUUGAUGCGGAAGUUUCAGCGAGAAUGACGGCGAGAUGCACACAAGGAUCAGGUUAGAGAUCUGUGUUGUUUGACAUUUCUGUGUAAACAUUUUUGAGUAUCAAAUAUAUCUCAAAUUUAGGGUGUCGGUUAUGGGCUACUAAAGCGGAAAGUUCUUUUGGCUCAUACAUUAAAGCGGCAUGUGCUUUUGGCUCAUACAUUUAAUUUGUUCAAAUAUUGAUUCUUUUCCCUCUAUUCACUUCAGUUGUCGUGUUCUUCUUCGUUCUUUUUUCAACGGCAAAGCUGGACGAUCCAUGGAGCACAUGUUGUUGAGCCUUUUGCCACUACUGGUCUGGUCCAAUUCGAAGGAGUUGUUGGAGUACAAUCUUUAGGCCCUUUGGAGGAGCUGAAAAACCAGUCUCGACUCUGCUGACCUAGACAUAUUCCGAGAUAUGCUCCAGCUCCAUAACGAAUCGGACAUCAGCCCGGUUCACUACUCUCACUCUUUCCUGCUUUCAUUCUCAAUUUUUUUUUGGAAUUUUGCGCUGAAUUUCAUUUGGGUAAUUUGUGAAGUUUUGUUUUUUUUUUCUUCUUUUGUUAGGCAGCUUUUGGUGUGCCUGCGAAUGUUGAUUCGGCGAUGCGUUUACAAUAACGUCAAGAGGGAAAAGAUUCAAAAGAUGUUCCCAGUGUAGCUAUUUUAUAAUUGAUGAGGCUGUUGGUGCUUUUGAUGCGGAAGUUUCAGCGAGAAUGACGGCGAGAUGCACACAAGGAUCAGGUUAGAGAUCUGUGUUGUUUGACAUUUCUGUGUAAACAUUUUUGAGUAUCAAAUAUAUCUCAAAUUUAGGGUGUCGGUUAUGGGCUACUAAAGCGGAAAGUUCUUUUGGCUCAUACAUUAAAGCGGCAUGUGCUUUUGGCUCAUUUCUUUACAAAAGUUGAAUAUUUGAAUCUGCUUAUUUAUGUUUUGAAAUGAGUGUGUUUGUUAUUCAUGUUUUGGGAAUGUUAAAUCUUUUUAAUUUUUUCGUUCCAGGACGAAAAUAUUUAACGAAAUGAAUUCUGACUAUAAAGUUAAUUGAAGCUCUGAAAAAUUUUGUGGUCGAAAAGGAUGACAGAUUACUAUAGUUUUUUUUCCUUCCUAUCCAAAAACUACCUUUGAUUUUCUUGAUUGUGCGUAUAUUUAAUAUUUGCUAUUAUAAUCGUUCCCAGUAUAAUAGCAGAACCUACUAGACGAGCAGGACCAAGUACCCGACCCUCUACAACAAAAUCAGCCUGCUCAGAAACCCUAGCUUGAAUGCGGUUCCAGAGCUCGACGACUGGGUCUACAAUGGCAACAAAGUCCGAGUCACCGAGCUUCAGCGCAUCAUUCACGACCUCCGAAAGUGGAAACGCUUCUCCCAAGCCCUCCAGGUUUCCAUCUUUCUUUCUUACCUUGCAAUUUGUGUUAUCCCCUGUUUGGUUGCUCAGAAAAUGAAAGAAAAUUGAAAGAAGAAUCAAAGUAAUUAAAUUUUAGUUAAAGAAAGUGAGUGAAUGAGGGAAUUAGGAUUUUUGUUAGUUUAUGUGUUUGUUUGUAUCAUAAGUAAUCGGAAUUUCCUCUGCUUUCAUAAUAAUGUGUUUUAGGUUGCAGAUUUCAGAAUGGAUGAAUCAGAAGGGGAUAUGCAUAUUUUCGCCGGUUGAGCAUGUCGUGCAACUGGAUUUGAUUGGGAAGGUAGAAUUUUGCACGAAUUGCUGUCAAAUAAAGCCAGUUUGAGCCUAUGGGUCGAAUCCUAUUGGACAUUGUUGCAUCAUGGAGCAUGUGAUUGUUGGGAAGUUUAAGCUGGGGAGGAAGAUUGGGAGUGGGUCUUUCAAAGAACUCUAUUUAGGUAUGGUAAUCAGUGCUUGAUAUCCUUUUUUCCUUAGAAAAUUAUUCAUUGUGUUAAUUUAAUGUGUUUUGUAAUGAAAUUGCUCUUCUGGUGUUAGGUGUAAAUGUACAUGGUGGGGAGGAGGUUGCUGUUAAGCUGGUAUGUGAUCGAUCGUCAAAUCUUAUAUUUAGUUCUGAUGUUUGGUUUAUGGCUAAAUGUUUGCAAGCAUUGUAUAGUUUUGUGCCUGAUUGUAAAUGGGCGGCUUCAUUAAUGUACUAGGGUAUGUUGAGUGUGAGCUUCUGGUAAUUCAUUAUGAUUUCAUGUGUGCUUCCAUAUAUAUUGAAAUUGUCCAGUUUGCUCAUGGAUGUUUCUGUAUGAUUUUGCAUGUCUCCCUUGAUAAAAGCUUGAGCAAAAUAUGCUUAUGAAAUCGAUAUGUGGUUUAGCUUUAUAAUUGUGCCUGCAUCUGUACUGCUUAUUUGCUACCCAUCUAAACAUAUAACUUUAUAUGAGAUAGCCCCCCAUUUGAAAAUGAGUGUUUUUAUGCGAUGUUUAUAUUUGUAGGCACUGGAAUUAGUGUCUUUUGUUUUUAUUUUGAUCUCAGUUACUCAAAACUGAAUUUUUUGUUGGUGUGAAUAUAUAUGUCAACAUUUAAUAUCAGCAUUUGGAGUGAAUCAAAUUCAUUUUAAAUUUUCUUAAAUUUAUUGAUUAUCAGAUGACAUAGUUAACAACUUCUGUGAUUUUAAAACACUUGGAGGUGAGAUUUACAUAAUUAAAUAGUCAAUUGAAAAAUUGAAAUGAGAUGUUAGUUUUACCUGACUGAUUUCUUUGUUGGGUUUAUUACUGCUCAAUGUUAAAACCCAAAAAUGGUUUUUUGGGCAAGUGGUGAUUGGCCCGCCUGUGUCAGGAAAGACCACUUACUGCAAUGGCAUGUCUGAGUAUAUCUAGCUCAUCCGAAGGUAAAAAAUUUCACUCUGAAUUCUGGGUUUUCAAGUUUUUCCAUGGCUUCAAUUUUGGUUUUUGAAUACAUCUGAAAUAUUUACAGUGGCAAUUUGUUGUUUUGGUGUGCAGGAAAGUUUUUGUGGUAAAUUUGGAUCAUGCAGCCGAUGCAUUGCCGUAUCCUUUUCGGGGUUUUAUUUUUUUCAUGUUUAUUGUUCGUAAUUUGUAGUGUUGCACUGCAUUCCAAUGUCGAAUAUUGAGGGUAAUAAAGUAGAGCUACUGGUUCAUCUUUCAUUUGAUCUUCUACUAAUUUCGAUUGAAUUCCACAAAUUUUUUUUAUUUGCUUAGUUUAAUUUGUUGUUGUUCAAUUGUUAUGAAGAUCUGUGAAUGUGUAUGAAUUAUUGGUUCUGAUUUUUGUUGAACAAUGUGAAGUUGCUUGGUGUUUUAAGUUCUUGAUCCAAAGAAAGUUGCGUUAUUUCGUAAUGACAUUGCCGUUUGUAGUGGUUGUUUGGAUUACUGUGUCAUUUUAUUUAUGCAACACUUAUAUGAUACCUUUCUUAUUGGCUGUAUGUAAAUCAUCAAUAUCUUAUGGAUUAAUAUGCUUACCAUUUCGUAUACAUAUGUUUUUUAUUCAUGUUAAAACUUUUUGUAUUAUUUUUGUGUUUGUCAUUGGCAGGUGAAUUUGUAAACAUUCAUAGUUAUCCAUAGGACCUUGAGGGAGUAUGCAAUUAGUAUUCAUAUAGAUGGUUAUUUGUGUUAACGAUGAAAGCAUAUGGUUUAGGUUUGUCCUCAAAAUUUAUGCUUAGUUGUAAUAAUGCUUUUGCUUAGUUGUUCAUGUAAAAAUGGAACAAUUUUUUUUUGUACAUAUGUCAUUUUAUAUUCGUUUAAUGUUUGAACUUAUGCUUAUGAACUUGGUUAUUGGUAGGGCUCUUCUAGAGGCAGUGUUGGCGUGUAGAUGAUGUGGAAGUAGGCGAUGAGGAGGAAAUGACAAAGGUGGAGGACCAAAAGGUCUUAUAGAAGAAGAAGAAGCUCAGAAGUCUGAUACACCAAACAACUCCAUCUGAAAGAGGAAGAAUCCAAGGGUAAACCCCUUCAAACUCUUCGAUUAUGGUGUUCUUUAGUCGAUUGCAAGACUAGAACUUGAAAAACUAACACAUGCAUAUAAUUUUUUUAUGAAGGAACUGCAGUCCAGUGGUUGUAUAAAACAAAAGGACAACGCAUGCUCUCUCUCUCAUAGUAGCUCUGUGUUCCUCUCCCCCCAAACCUAAUGGCUUCAUCCCAAUUCGGAGCCUGCUCGAAUCGGGACUUCUUGGAGAUUCGGAUCUCCAGGUGAGAUAAUUUUCCCCAAAUUGUAUUCAAUCUAUGUUGCUUCAUUUCAUUUUCCAUUUUAAUUUGGAAUUGUUGAUAUUUUAGGCGGGUAUUGCAUGUAUAACCACAACAAUUUUUGUGUUGGAUUGGGGUCAAAUUGUCCAGCUUUAUUAGCUAUUUGGUCGCCUUUGUAUUUGUAAUCUGAAUAAUAUGAAUUAGGGUUUUUCUGUUAGUGUCCAAUUGGUCAAGAAAGGAUGCUUCUUUUUUGUUAUCAUGCAUAUUUAAGCUGUAAACAUCUGAAAAACUGCUUAAUUGAAGUGAUAUUUCCAGUUUUUUAGCUCAGUUUCAGGUUUUGACCUUUGAAUUUGUUUACAUGUAUCCCAGCUGAAGCUAUGUACAUCGUAGUUUAAGGGGAUUUUGCUCAAAAUCUGGAGAGCUCUCUCGCUUUGCUCUCUAUGUAAACCCGAGAGAAAUUCCAUGGAAACAUCACGCCUGCAAACGAAGUUGCAGGCCUACACACAAGCAAACUCCAUCUGAAAGCCAAAGAAUCCAAAGGUAAAUCUCUUCAGCUUUCUUAGCUAUUUGGUCCUGUGUAUUUGUAAUCCGAAUAAUAUGAAUUAGGGUUUUUCUGUUAGUGUCCAAUUAGUGAAGAAAUGAUGCUUCUUUUUGUUAUCAUGCAUAUUUAAGCUGUAAACAUCUGAAAAAGCUGCUUAAUUGAAGUGAGAUUUCCAGUUUUUGAGCUCAAUUUCAUUUCUUAUAGACAAUUUUUUUUCAAGAUUUCUGGGUUUCUUUUUGCUGCUUCUUUGUUAAAUUACUCAUCUGGAAGUUAAAUUUUGUUCAAAUACCAAGUAUUGUUCUUCAAUUAAAGAUUUAUGGGUUUUUUUAUUGCUUCUUUUCUGUUAAAUUACUCAUCUAGAAGUUAAUUUUGUUCAAAAACUUACUGUUCUUCAAUUAAUCUUACAAGAAAGCAUAUGAGAAUGUGGCACAUUAGGUGUUCGAUGAAAUGUGUCUGAGAAUCUGUCAGUAUGAUAUAUUAUAAUUCUGAAUCUCCUCUUCAGCUCUGGCCACAGGUGCGCGAAGGCGACAUGAUCCUGGUCGACAGUUCGGAGCUCUGGCGAUUCUGACUAAGAAAGAGGUCAAUAACAACAAGGUAAUGGAAUUCAAUGUUUUGUGUUUGUUAUAGAGGCAUAUUUGCAACAGUAUAUCAGAUAAUAAUUCUAGAUAGUAUGUCCAGAUGGCAUAGAUUGUGUUUCAUGAUGCAUAUGGCUGAAGCGGUUUUGGCUACUUUUUUUAUUGCUCAUUAAAUUUUUUGCUGCCUUUGGCUGGUACAAAUAUAUAUAAGAAGUACUAUCCUUUUAUCAACUUUUACCAAGUCAAAUUUAGGAUCCAUUUGUACUCAUGCGCCAUUGGGGUAAAGUGCAUGUGCUUUUUUUUUCUGUUGUAUAUUUUCAUCUAGGGGAUAACGUUUUGUUGUUUGUUGGAAGGAAUAUUAAAACACAUCCACACCCUAUUUUGUCAUUGUUCUAAAGUAUCUCAUGCUGGUUUUAGAAUUCUCCCGACUUUCUAACUCAAAUAUGUGCCAAGAGAACCCAACUAAAGUGGUUCGCCGCUCCAUGUAUGAAGUAUUAGUGAAUUAUUUGUAAUUUUACAUAACCAAAAGAAAAUUUUUGCGUUGUAUGCAUACAUAUUGAAAUUUAUGUUAUAAAUUUUUUGAAAAGAAACAGAUGUAAAUUAGAAUCAUACUAAUAUAGGUAUGCUGUAUACAUAACUUUGAUAAUACCAUAAGUUCAGAAUUAAUCUUUAGUGUCAUUAAAAAAUUUAUGUAAAUUUAUAUACAUAAAUUUGAUAGCACCAUAAACUUGGGGUAUUGUUAUAUUUAGUACAGGCAAUAUGAUGCCGUUCAGGUGUUUUUAACUAAUAUCUGCAGUUUUUCAAUUCAUCUGGGGUAUUUGUGAUUUGAACGACACUAAAAAAUUUUAUGGGUUAUAGGAACUGCAGGUUAAAAAAAUGGGUCAAAUUCAGAGCUGCAUUCGUCUUCCCUCAAAAUAAGAAGAAAAUGCUUCCUCAACUACAUAUUUUGCAACCUCAGGUAUAUUUGUGUUCUAAAGGCUUUUACUUCCUCCGGUUUCUUCAGAGCUAUUAUUUUACCCAUAUAUGAUUUGUAAAGUGGAAGAUUGGAUUUCAUAUGUCUGAGUAUUUAGGGUUUUGCACAAUGCAAACUUGAGCUUUUGAUCCAAAUGGCUAGAACAGUGUACUCGACCAAUUUCAUAUCCUCUUGGGCUAAUGAGAGUAUAUUACUUGCCACUGGGGAAUUCACUUCAUAUAAGCCAUAGAGAGAGAGAGAGAGAGAGAGAGUCACAUUUUUGUUUUUUUUUUUUUGGAUUUGGUAACUGAAAUUUUAUAUGUGUGAACUACAUGUUUCUUCUGUUUCUUAAGGAAACAGAAAUUUUUUGGAAACCAUCUCUUUCUAAUCAAAGACAUUGUGCAAUGUGUUUAUAUGCCAACUCACUUGAAUGUAUAUAAAAGCAAAACAGCUUCACUUAUUGACCUCAAUUCACUCAUGUAUCCCUCUGUUUGUUCACGAUUGUGUUGAAUUUAUUCAAUUUAAAUAUAUUUUAUUCAUUUGAUUAUACCUGAAACAACAGGUUCCCGCAACAACGUGCGGGCAUAUUUUCUCGUUAUAUAUAUUACAAUGUGACUGGAAUUGUAGUACCCAACAUUUUGUUGUCCAUGAAGUGGCCAACUCGCCCUCUCUGAUAUUCUUUAGUCCGGUCCAUUUUGAGUUUAACCAAACUCAUUCUUUUAUAAGCAAUGUAUUGUGGGCAUCGUUGGAGCACGAGACAUUAUUUUAUAAUUCCUCUUUGGUUGAGCUAUUAAUGUCAUUGUUUAACAAUUUAGUGAUAUUUAUCUUUACUUGUAGAUGAGAGGUUUCAGGUUCGAAUCUCGGGAGUGAUGAUUUGUUGUAAAUAUACCAUAAAAGAAGAAGAAAAAAAAAAGCAAAUCAUCAUUUACCACAGUAGUAGAAAGGUGUUGAGCCCUUGUAUAUGAUGGCGUGAGUUUGAACGUAGUUGGUAACUAAUCUAACAUGUAAUCUAACAAAAUUUAUCAUUUGAUAAAAAAAAAUAUAAUACAAAAACACGAAAAUGCCCUUAAAGUCCAAAGUGCCCCCCUCUGCCCUGCCGCUUCCUGCAAGUUCUUUCCUCGCCCCUAUUUCCCUCACUUUCUCCCUAUCAGACGUUCGAAGACUCAAAACUGUUUUUAACUCUCUCCCUCUCUCUCACUCUCUCCUUCUCACUCUUAAAUGUCGCCCUUUCUCACUCAUACGCACGCUCAAUGAUCUCUGAAGCACCAAUUGCUCUUCGCUUUGGCUCUCUGCAUCUCACCAGAGGUAAAAUGCCCCAAAUUUAUUUAUUUAUUUUUUUACUUUUUCCUCUAAAUUUAAUUCAAUGAAUUUUUUGUGUACCCUUGCAGUAAUACAGGAAGAUUUUUGUAGUAUUUCUACUUGCUGGAUGAUACUGAAAUAAUUAUUGGGAGUUUGAAGAAUUUCUGGUUUGUAUGAUAUAUUUGCUAAAAGACCCAAAAUUUUGAAGCAGAGCGGCGGUAUUUGAUAAGAAAAUCAUCUGAUGAGUCAAUGGAGUCGUCAUCGCCUCCAAAGGAGAACGAAAAAAGCUCGAAACAAGCUUGCGUAGAAAUCAACUUGGAAGAUCUUGCUGUUGAUCCCGGGCUGCGCACUCGAAUUUGGGAUUAGCAUCCCAGUUCAAGUUCGAGAGUAAGUUCGAAGAGCAUAUAUACAAAAGGGUCCUUUUCAGAGUCGAGACCAUGACUUCCCCAGCAAGAAUACUAGUGAGGGACCGAGAAAGUUUAUAUCUGCUUGGUUUAUGAUUUUCCGACUUGGUUGGUAUUGUCUAUGUUGUUAUCUGUUUAAGCUAAAUACAGGAGAGCAAGCCGGCGGUGAUUGCUUGGUUAGUAAAGGGUUUUCGAAUUGGAAGAAGGAAAGGUUGCAGGGUCAUGUUGGAGGACGGAAUAGCGGCCUCAACCAAGCUUGGAGAACCUGUGAUGCUUUAUUAAAGCAACACCAAGCAUGAAUAUGAAGGUUCAAACAACGAAGGAGUUUUUCUUGGACUCUGGAACUUCCACUGUGGUCGUCAUGAGGAGUUAAAAGUUAUCACAUUGAGAAAUUCUCCCUUAAGUCUGAAGUUGACUUCACCUGAUACUCAGAAGGACAUCAUAACUACUUUUUCAGUGAAAUUAUCAAUGCAAUCGUUAAAGAUAUUGGUAGUUCGUACUUUUCCAUUCUUAUCGAUGAGCUUCAUGACAUGUCUUCAAUGAAGCAAUUGGCUAUUGUAAUACGUUUUGUGGAUAAAGGUCAACUGAUCGAGCCUUUUUUUUAUGUGUUGUACAAGCCACUGAUAAUACUGCUGACUCACUUAAGGUGGCUAUUGAUGAUUUCUUUUCUACCCAUGGAUUAAGCAUGUCAAAGCUAGGGGCAAGGUUAUGGUGGGACUAGUAAUAUGAUUGGUGAGUUGAAUAGUAUUAAGACACUUAUAAUGAAGGAGAAUGAGUGCAUUUUACGUUCGUUACUUUGCUCACGGCAGCGAGAGACACGAAAUGCCCACGCCCUCACGAAAGUACUGUCGGCGUUCUCCAACAAGGACGUAGUCGUCUUGCUUGAGGACGAGCGAGUGCUCCAGAUAACUGUUCGCCAUCCGAACCACCCACAAGAAAGGCUGCUUGCUGUUGGCCAGACCCCAUGCCAUUGCAGCUAGUUUUUUACUGUCCAUGAAUGCUGUGCUUCCUAGGCUUACAUAGAUGACAGAGUUGUGUGCUUGUUUAACGAGCCAUGACGUACAACUCUGGUCCUCUUUCAACAAGCUUGUAGACGGGGAUGGAACAGUUUUGUGCAGAGGACCGGUAGGAAAUAACGGAAUUUGGUACUCUUUUUGAAGCCGUGCCAGCGAUGAUUGUUCAAGGCCGUCCCGGUGUUCCAAAUGACGGCUGAAGAUGACCUUUGAAUCGUGUGCUUUCACUAGUAGUUGCAGUAAGCCGUCCAAAACUCUGCCAUCUUAAUGGUUGGAGUCCUGGUGCCAGUUCCAGCAUUAUAGAAUCUGUACACAGAAUGGUCAAGCAUCAGAGAUCUUAAGGUUAGUGCAGACAGUUGCAAAAGUUAUAAAAAUCAUAGAGUCAUCGAGUCUUUUUCCCUUAAAAAGGUUAAAAUCAAUCAAUUAAUUGAUCAAUUUGAUGCAUUUACAUCUCAUAGUUAUUGUGUCAAGACGGAAUUCGAAAAAUUUGAGAUGUCUGAUUGUUACCUUGAAUUGAAAAGUAACCAUCUUAUAGGAAUUACUUGGUAAGUCAUCGUGUUUGCUGCACUGCUAGUAGUCAAUAUAAUGCUAGGCAACCCUAGAUGAUUAGCCACCUCUACUGUACUCAUCAUAGAUGAUGCAUGAAAUCUUGGAGUGGGGACUUGCAGUUAGACAUUAAAGCCUAAUAUUGCAGCAAUAAAAUUGUGGGACGAGAUAUUUUUCUCUCAUAAGCCAUCGGAUAUCUCUAAGAAAUCGAAAUCAGGGUAGUUCGAAGGAAAGUUGAAGUUGGUGUGAGGGACUGUGAUGUAGAAGCCCUCGGAGUGAAAGAUAGCGCCCAGUUGAAGUAUUGGAGUUAUGUUCCCUUGGAAUGGGCAUGGAGCCAGCACUAAUCUGUGGCUUGUACGUUGUGUUUCCAUUGCCCUUAAGAUUUGUGUAGCUAAAAGGAGUACUUCACAUGGUGGACAUUAUGAAGGCUUAUGAUAUUCUGGAUUGGGAAUUUCUUUUAGACACUCUUUCAGAUUUCCAACUUCUAUGAUUAAUUGAAUUUGUUGUUGUGUGAAUAGUACUAAGUUUUUAGUUUCAGUUAACGGCAAGCUAGCGAGUUUUUUCUCCUAGUAAAAGGGGGCAAAGGCAAGGGGACGCUCUAGUUGCUACAACAUCCUAGUUUGCAAAUCGUUUGAAACAGAAAUCAAAACCGUUUGAAACCAAAUUGAACCGCAAUCAAAUGGUUUGGUUUUAUCUUGAUUGGUUUAAGCUUCAAAUUCACACCGAACCGAACUGGCAAAAAAUUCAGUUUCACUUUAAAACCGCACAGAACCAAACCGUGUCCAUCCCUGGUCUGCAUUGGAGGAAAACUGGGGAAAACCUCCCGGUAACCUCAACUCUGAUGGAGAAAAUGUAUUGGAGAUUGAAGAUUGUGAAUUUUUGUUUUUGUUGUUCUCCAUAAGAUUUCCAUUCAAAAUUUCUAUACGAUUUUUUGCCUUCUCUUGUAAUUUCACUAUGAUUACAUACCAUAAUUGAAUAGUACAAAUUAGUCCCGCCUGUUGCCUUGUGGGCUUCAAGUCCUUGGUGACCCUCCGACAGCCAAGGAAACGACAACCCACUUCUGAGAUCGGAAGCUAGCGUAUGGAGACGGCGUGUCGGAGAUUGUCUUGACGGUGGAUUCGAGCUGUGGCAUCUGAAUCUUCUUGAAACCGGUACCUGGCUGACUUGCAGAGCCACCAUCGCAAAGAAGAAGAAUCCGAAAAGCCCAAACCUUAUCUUUUUCUCCUAUAACGAUGUCGUUUUAGUGAAUUGCUUUUACGUUCUCAAACGUCCAUGUCAAAAUUCAAUUAAACCCAACAAUAUUCAUCACAAUUUACAUCAUUUCAUGGUAGAAACGUUGCAAUUAAAAUUGUGCAUAUUAUUGUAUAAAAAUAUCUCGAAAAAAAUUUAUUCUUUUGUUUUUGGUCAAAGAACUAAUUUCAUUAAAGAUAAAACAAAUUAAAGUAUCGUUUGCUAAAAACACACUAAAGUAAAAGUGCAGUCUUUUACAAAAGUAAAGUAAGGAAACAAGCCCCAAAAGUAAGGUAAAAUUUAUUCAUUUUGAUGUCGUUUAGUCAUGCAAAUUAAAUGAAUAUUUUUAAAAUAGUGGUGUUAUCAACACUUUUUUUUUUAGAAAAAUUAAUGAAAAAUGUUUGAAAACUUGAGUUUUUACGAAAAUGACAAAAUAAAGGGUAAAGUAAAUAGUACCAGAAUUGACUUUUUAGUGUAAAAAUAUAAUUUUUCGUUAAAGUGAAUAGUAUCAUGAGUUUUUGUUAAAGUUUUUUUUUUUUUACUUUAACACAUCUUUACUAAUUUCUAUCCUUUAAAAUAAUGUUUUUUUUUUGGGGGAAAACUUAAAAUAGUGUUUUUUAGCCAAAUUAGAACUGCAUAAGUAAACCUAAUACAUCAAAUUAACAAUGCAAUUGCUAUAACUUUACUUUUUGCAUAUCUCAAAACAUUCAACGCACACAUUAAAAUCCCACGUGACUCACUCAUAAGGCGAGGUUGAGAAGACUCGCUAGACACGUAGCUUGCCACUUCAAGAGUAAUUGCAAUGUUUGAGUCCCACUAAAAUAAAAUAAACAAUAAAACUCGAAAUUAAAAUUAAAUUUCUCCCUAUUCCAACCUUCUCUCUCCGAUAAAAUGCAAAUGCCUUUAACUUAUCAUUCUAAUUGCACAAUGUAAAAGAUAAUAUCGAAUGUAAAGAUUUACAUUUUUUUACAGUGCGAUAUUAUACACUAGUUUAAUUAUAUAGAGCAUCCAAUUCGACAUUACAUGUGAUAUUAAGUCUGAUUCUACAGAAGAAAAAUCUCACAGCGGGACAAAUUUUUAAAAGCCACAGAUACUUUAAAUAAACAAUGAAGUCUUUAUGUAUUGUGUGAUGUAUUAGUGGUGGUUUUUAUCAUUCAAGCAAUAAUGAUCCACUAGCCUCCAUGCGCGCUCAUGCACGUGCAUAAAGUAUCACGGUAUGCUAUAUGAGAUUUACACGUUUUAAAUGUAUUUAUAUGCGUAAAUUGAUAAAAAGAAAGUCAAAUAUUUGAGAUAAAUGAAUAAUUUUAAAUCAUGCUAGAAGAAACCCCUCAUAAACCAAUUAAAGCUGAAUCUACAUAAUAUUUAAUAAAUAACUUAUUGAAUCACAUUAUUGCUAGCUCAUUGUGAGGCUAAGCACACCCUCUCCCUUUCAUUUAGAUAAUCUUGUUUGUUUAAAAAAAUCAUUUUACAACUAAUUUGAUCACAUUAUUAUUCACGUGUGAAAGACUUUUUUUAUAACUGGCAUUACACGCCUCUUUAGAUGUUUUGAACGUGUUUAAAAAUAUAGAAAAGAAUAUUGAAUGAACAACUGAUUGAAUCACAUUAUUGCUAGCCUAUUGUGAGGUACUUAUUAAAAAAAACAGUACAAAAAAUUAAUUAUUAAAAAAACACUACUAAAAUGAUGAAAAUACCAUGCCACAUUUGAUGUCUUAUUUUGGGUUGCUUUUGAAGUUUUUUGUUUGAGGGGCAUUUUUGUCCAAUUAUUUUUUGUUGAAGCUUGUGACACCAAAAAAACAGUAUUCACUUUAUUGUUGGCUUUUUAUGUAGAUACUUUUAAGUUUUAUACGUAGUAUACUCACGUGAGCUGGUUAGAUUAGUCAUAAAUGGGUGAUUAGCCACUAACAGAUUUGGACCUACGUCGUCAUGCAAUGCUUAACACCUUUCUACCAUUAUGAGAAAGUGGCUAAUCACACCGAUGAGUCAUUAGCCACCGACGGGUUCAGACUCACGACGUCAUGUAAGAGCUUAAUACCUUUUUGUUAUUAUGGUAAAGGACCACUACCACGCGAGCUGGUUGGAUAUAUACAGAAGGGUCCUUUCAGCCUUGAGACCAUGAAUUUCCCCAUUAGGCUUGGCGCCAGACAAAGGAAAAAUGGAAAGUAAAGAAGAGAGAAAAAUAAGAAAAGGAAAAGAAGGUGAUGGUGGAAUUGCCGGACAAAGAAAAAAUGGAAAGUAAAGAAGAGAGAAUAAAAAAGAAAAGGAAAAGAAGGUGAUGGUGGAAUUGCAGAAAGAAAUAAAGGAAAAGGAAAGAGGGAGUCCAUGUGAAGAAAAGGCAGAAGAAGAAAGAAAACAAAGAGAAAAAAAAAAAGAUGAAUGAGGAUCAUAGCCGUUAUUAGGAUUCUGGAAAUCCUUCAAUCACAUCUAUUCAAUUUAUAUUGUAUGGUCAGAACUUAUUGUAAAUUUUUUAUUUAAAAUUAAUAUAAAUAAUGUCUGACAAAAGCUAAUUGCAUAAUGUAUGAUAAACAAAUGUGAUUAGAGAAUUUAUAGAAUCCUUACAAAUAUGAUCCGACGGGGACCUCCUCUAAAAAAAGAUGGUGAAAGUUGAGACAGGAAAGAAAAAGAAAGAGGUAAAAGAAAGGGAAAAAAACAAUGGUGGUGUCUGGCAUGCAAAUACAGAAGUAGAAAAGUGAUGAGAUUGUGUAGAAAAAGUGGAAGAAAGAAAAAAAAAAGGAGUGGAAUGAAAGUGGGGAGUGUGGCUCUUUACCACAAUGAUGAAAAAGUUAUGCGUCUUUGUAUUUCUACGUGAAUUCAAAUCUAGUUGGCUCCUCCAAGGUUGUGUGUCCUUGCAUUUCGGCGUGAGUUUGAAACAUCAACCAAAUUAUGAAAUGAAUGAAAACAAGUAUGUAUUCCAUUAGAACCAACCUCUGGGUGAUCUUCCUUGUCAAAAUUCCAACACGCCAUUAACAGUCAUUAACUUAGUCAGCAUAUGUAAUGAAGAGCUGAAAAAGUGGUUGGGAUUCUUUACUAAAUCAGGUUUUUGUGACAAACAUAAGAUUGAAGUUCCUAACAUGAAUGACAUGUUUCAAACUGUAGGGAUAAAAUAACUUCGGCGGGGACAUAUAUGCAUCAUUAUCAUGUUGAGAUGUUUUGUAAUGUUAUUGAUAUGCAACUCCAAGAGCUAAAUAUUCAUUUCACUGAGACGAAUAUUGAGUUGCUUUUUUGUGCGACAUGUAUGAAUCCAAGCUAUAUUUAUUCUCUACUUUUGACAAACAAAAGUUGAUUCGUGGCUUGCUCAGUAUACUUGAAUGACUUUUCGGCACUUGACUUGAUGAUACUGUUUUUUUUUUAAGGGACUUUUUGGCACUUGAUGAUACUUGAAAAUCAGCUUAAGAUGCACAUUAUGGACAUGAGCUCUAACAUUGAGUUUUCAGGAUUGAAUGGGAUUGCGGAUCUUGCACAAAAAAUGGUUGAGACAAAAUAAGAAACUGUUUACCCAUUAGUUUACUUGUUGUUGACAUUGUCACUCAUGUUACCAGUUGCAUCUCUCAGUGUAGAGGGCGUUUUGUGCUAUGAGGAUUGUAAACAAUUGGUUACUCAAUCAAAUGGAAGAUCAAAGGACAUAUGAUUGUUGGAUUGCCUAUAUUGAGAAAGACAUUCUCGAAGGUAUCAAACAUGAUGUAACUAAGCAACGAUUUCAUAAUAUAAAAACUCGUCCAUGGCAAAUAUCAUUGUAACUAAUGGAUAUUAUCAAUCAAUGCUGAUUUGUUGUCCUAGAAUGGGCUUCAGUUUUAUUUUUCCUUAUAUAGUUAAAAUAUUGUUAGUAUAGAUAUGUGUCUUUGCAGGUUCGAGGAUGACCCCUUUAAUUUUAACAGGUUCGAGGAUGAUCGCUUGCUCAAGAAACAAUGACUGCAGAACAUUGGAGUUACAGGUGAGUGUUGAGAAGUAAUGUACUUGAAUGGAUGACCAUAGGCUGCAUUUUGCAGUUAGUAUUUGGCAUGAUAUGUCGUUUUGUAUCGGAAAAUUAUAGAGCUAUACAGUUGAACUGAAUUUCAAUUGAAUUUGUGCGUUUUACGUUGAUUAGUUUGCUCACGAUCUUCAUUCAACACUUGUAGAGAUGGCAAAGGAUCAUUCUGAAAUCUUUUGUCUCUUUAUUUCAGUUGCUAAUUUGGCAAAAUGAUGCACCAAGCCAAGGUUUGAACGAACUGAAUCCUUUGGUUAUCUAAUUUAUAUGCUGAAAUGAUGUACCAAACCAAACUGUAUAUUCUAAUUGGUGAGGUAACAUAAUAUGUCCUCCUUGUCAAUGAUAGCAUUCAACAUUCAAAUUCUCUAACAAGUUUGUGACAACCCAUUCUGACUUUAUCAAAUUUUAAUUUCGAAAGGUGAGAAUUGACUAAAAUGCCCCUGUUGGGUUCAGCUUAUACACGGACUUUUGAGCCAGUGCUUAAUUUGUCUCAUUUCUUAGUAUAUCGGGAUAGUAAUCGACGUUAUAAAUGCAUGAGUGCAAACUAGAUCCAAAUUGGAUUUGUAACAAAGAAACUACACUCGUUUAAUAAACGGGUAAAUAUGUACACAAAAUUGUAUGAAAUUCAUAUUUCUAGGUAAUCAAAACCUAAUAAUUUCACAAACCAAGUUUGGAAUAAAAAAAAAAAUUCUAAGGAAAAGAGAUUAAAAAUGGAAACUUUGAAUAUUAUUAAAAAAAAUGACAACUAACGAAAAGUUCAAAAAAAAUUCUCACUUAAUGAAAAACUCUUUUUAAAGGUAUAGUGAAUAGUGUCAAUUAAAUGUAAAAAUGUAAUUUUUCGUAAAAAAUAAACAGUACCUGAGUGUUUUGUUAAAACUCCCUUAAAAAAAACCCAACAAUUUUGUUCAAGAAAAAUAGAAAGAUAGGAAAAAAUCUUUACCUUCCAGAACAUUGAAGUGUGUUUGGAUCAAAUGAGAGAAUCAAAUUGUUAAAUUCAAAUAUCUAAGCGGAUCUGUGUGAAUUUUGUAAGUUAUUUACAAGUUGAGGUCGGUGCCGUUUCUUAUUGUUGGCGAAGUGAAUUUUGUAAGGGGAGGAGUCGCAGAAGGUGGGAUAGAGACGACGGAGGGGGACCUGGGUUCUCUGUGGAGGGAGGUAUGGAGCCGUUGCUGAUCUCGGUCUUCUUGGAUUCGGGUUCGUUGGGGAGUUUGGGUGUGGUGGGUGGGUGAAAAUGGAGGGUUUGAUUUCUGUGAAGACGUUGGUUCUGGAUGUGGUGGGUGGGUGAAAAUGGCGGUUUGGGGAGUUUGGGAGUGGGUUGUCGGGAGGAGAAGUGGGUGUGGGAUAUAGUUGGCCGGAGAAGAUAGAGGCGACAAGGUGGGUACUUUGAAGAAGAUGGAGGUGGGUGGGACGCGGAGGAGAGAAGAGGGGGAGAUCGAACUCUUCUUAUCGGAGGAAGACGAUUGGGCCCAGAUUUCUAAAUUUUUUAUUAUUUUUAUUAUUAUUCUAAUUUUUUUAAAUAUCCAUGUGGACAUAUUGACUCGUAGCCUUAUGUCAUUGUUCAUGCAGGUGUCAUGUCAUAAAUUAACGGUUAAUUUAACAGUAAUCCUAACGGAUAUAUGAAAAUAUUCUACAAUUAUGACUUCAUGUAUCACUUUGGGAUAAAAAAAAUUUGAUGUACUAAAUGUUGAAAACUAAGAAACGUAAAUUGAGAUUAACCCUUAAAUUAAUGUAAAAUAUCGUUUUAUGAGUGAGUCACGAGAGCAAAUCCCUCGUGAGAAUGUGUGCGUUGAAUGUAUUGAGAUAUGCAAAAAGUAAAAUUAUAGCAGUUGCAUUGUUAAUUUGAUGCAUUGAGUUUACUUAUGCAGUUUUAGUUUGGCUAAAAAAUAUUAUUUUGAAGGAUAAAAAUUAGCAAAAAUGUGUUAAAAGUAAAUAAAAAAAAUUGUUGAUAUCACCACUAUUUUAAAAUCAUUCAUUCAAUUUGCAUGACUAAACGAUCUCAAAAUAAAUAAAUUUUACUUUACUUAGACUUGUUUCCUUACUUUACUUUUGGAAAAGACCGCACUUUCACUUUAGUGUGCUUUUGGCAAACGAUACUUUAACGUGUUUUGUCUUUAAUGAGACUAGUUGUUUGAUCGAAAACAAAAGAAUAAAUUUUAGAGAUAUUUUUACACAAUAAUAAAAAAAAUGCGCAACUCUAAUUGCGAUGCUUCUACCGUGAAAUGAAGUUGUAAUGCCGUGUGAGAGUGAGGAUGGCUCGAGCCAUGUAUUGUCAUUUGAAAAUUUGGAGUUCGUAAGCAAUGCAUCUAUUACUUUUUCACUUUAUCUGUGACAUCCCACAUCGCUUAAAUAUAUAUUUUCAUCUCUACCUAGUACGAGGCAUUUUGGGAACUCACUCGGAAUCCGAAGUUAAGCGAGUAGCACACGAGAGCAUUCCCAUGAUGGGUGACCCAUUGGGAAGUUGCUCGUGAGGUCCCAAAAACAAAACCGUGAGGGAAUGGUAAGCCCAAAGCGGACAAUAUCGUGCUACGGUGGUGGAGCGGGGCCAGGAAGUGAUCCGUCCCGAGCCGGAAUGUGACAAAUGGUAUCAGAGCCAAUCCCUACCCAGAAGUGUGCCGACGAGGACGUCGGGCCCCUAAGGGGGUGGAUUGUGACAUCCCAUCGCUCAGGAGAGUGAUCCUUAAAUGUAUAUUCUCAUACCUAAUAGCAUGAGGCAUUUUGGAAGCUUACUGGUUUUAGGUUCUAUCGGAACUUCGAAGUUAAGCGAGUAGCGCGCGAGAGCAAUCACAUGAUGGGUGACCCACUGAGAAAUUGCUCGUGAGUUUCCAAAAACAAAACCGUGAGGGAAUGGUAAGCCCAAAAUUGACAAUAUCGUGCUACGAUGGUAGAGCGGACUUGAGAAGUGAUUCACCCUGGACCGGGAUGUGACAUUAUCUAUUUCUUAUUAAAGAGAAUACAAAAUGACAAAACUGAUCUUGUUGGGUUUAAUGAAAUUUUACAUAGAAGUUUGAGCCAGUACUUAAUUCGUCUCAUUUUUUUAUUGUAUUUAGAUAUUAUUUGUCAUUGUAUGAACGCAUAAACACAAACUAGAUCCAAAUCAAACUUGUAACGAUUUAAAGUAUUGGCUUUUAAAAAUUUGUCCCGUAGUGAGAUUUUUCUUCCGUUAGAUCAGGCUUUUGCUUUACGGAAAGUCACCCCACCUAUCAAUUGCACUAUGCUUUUUCUCUCUUUCUCUCAGUGUUCUCCUCCCACUCUGUAACAUCUCUCUCACUCACUCAACCCUCUCUUUCUCCCUCUCAAACUCUCCCGUCCUCUCUUCUCUCUGUAACGCAGCGAAAGUCACCAAACCUCGACGAAUCAACGCUCAAACCACCACCACGUCCACCCUCUUGACCUCGCGAGCUCGAACCCGAACUCCGUUUCGUAGGAAACAGAGCCUAGAGGCUCUAGCUCGAAGCUCCGACGAGAAAGAAACUUCCCGACGAAGUUCCCGACACUUUUCCGACCACUCCAUACCGUUUUCGAAGAGUUGGAAGCCACCACACAACUCCCUAACAUCCAUGGGUCAAGUUUGAGGUAAUCCCCAACUCAAAAACCCACGGUUUCGAAGCUUUGGGUUUUUGGGCGAGACUUUCAGGCCAAUUUCAGUACAUUUACGUCUGCUUUUUGGAGUUCCAAGAGGUAUAAACUUGUUCCUUGUGCUUCAUUUCCAUAUAAAGAACGUAAAAAAUGGUUGAGAAAUGAGCAAGUUAUGGCCCUUUGAAAUUGUCCACAGUUUCCGUCGAUUUCAGGGACCUUCCGGCCUGUUUCUGGCUAAAUGACGGCGAGUUAGCCGUUGCUAUGGGUACCAAUCUGUUCGUCUCAUUCCGAGGCAUCAUUUCCAUUCUGAAUCACUCAAUUUGGUUGAGAUAUGUGGAAGUUAUGAUGAUUUAAAAAUGUCCCAGAAAACCGACGUGAAACUGCAUAAUCCGGUGACCCGCGACCGGAACCUGGUAAAAAGUAAAUGCAAAAAACGCAGUUCUAAAACAACUAAACACAUAAUUGCAUAUCAUUCCUAAAACACAGAGAAAUUUGUGAGAGUGGCCUAAAUAGAAAGAAAUGGAUAUGAAAUGAAGUUCCUUUUGAAACAUUGGUCCUGUGGGGUUUAAAAAGAACACGGGUGUUCUUUCGUCGAGUGCUACCACUCUCAUCAUUAACAUUGUCACUCUAGACAUUAUCACAAUUCUCAACGCAAAGUAAAGCCUUGUAGAAUUCCUUGGAUGUCGUACAUGGUGUAGAUGCUGCCAAGAAACAAAACUGCUUGCGGAUAUGUUAUUUGAACUGGUGGAGCCUUCUUGAAUAGUUGGUAUCGAUUGUUGGACAAUAGCAGGACAAUUCGUUGAACUUCCGAUGGUACUUAGCUACUGAUAUUUUGCCUUGUGUAGGUCCAUGAACUCGUCUUUUUUUUCUUUCCCGGGUCUUAUACUCCGCAUGUGUAAGAUUAUCUUACAUUGCCGGCCCCAAGCCCGGAUAAAGAAGGAGGGGGAGGGCGUUAGGUAGUUGAUAGCCGGUACUCCUAUUUUACGUCGAACCUUAUGAUAAUGAAUCCUGAAUGAAAUUGCUCUAAAGCUAGGUCGUCACUCGUAAGUGGUGCGUUGUGUCCCGAGCACAGUGAUAAGUGAGCAAGGGUCGCUGUAUCUCCACUGGUGCCCGGAUGCAGUGUUAAAUGAGCAAUAGAGCCAUAAUAACUCCUUUUUGAACGACUCCACUCAAAGUUGUUUGGAAGCAUCUGCUUCUAUCAACUUUGACCUUAUUAGACGGGGGAUGGUGAAGAAGCUAGGACAAGAGGGUAGAGUUCAAGCGAGUAGAAUGCGUUUAGGAACGUGGAACAUAGGAACCUUAACGGGAAAAUCUAUGGAAAUAGUGAAAGUUAUGGUGAGGAGAAGGAUAAGUAUUAUGUGCCUACAAGAAACUAUGUGGGUUGGUCUUAAGGCAAAGGAUCUUGAAAACUCAGGUUUUAAACUUUGGUCUUCGGGCAAAUAGAACAAGAAAUGAUGUUAGCAUUAUCGUGGGGUAGGAAAUAGAAUUAUGGCAAUCAAGAUUGUAAUAGGACAAGAACUCAUCAAUGUGAUUAGUGUGUACACACCUCAAGUAAGGUUGGAACGAGUUUGAAGGAGAAAUUUUGGGAAGAUCUUAGAAACUUGGUGCAAUGAAUCACUUAGACGGAGAAUGUAUUUAUAGGAGGAGAUUUAAAUGGACACGUGGGUAAGAGGAUAGGCCAUGGUUUUGGGAAGAGAAAUGAGGAUGAGGAAGUCAUCUUGGAUUUUGCAGUGGCAUACAAUCUCUUCUUAGCCAACACUUUCUUUAAGAAGAGAGAAGAACAUGUGGUAACCUACAAGAAUGAGUUAUCAAAAACACAAAUAGAUUUUCUUCUAACGAGGAAGGGGGAUCAUAUAACUUGUAGAAUUGCAAAGUUAUACCGGGAGAGUGUUUGGCUAAUCAACAUCGCUUGUUGGUGAUGGAUGUACAUAUCAAAAGAGAGAGUAAAAAGAACAAGACCUUGAAGUGUCCAAGGACUAGAAGGUGGAAUCUAAAAAGAGAAAGACAAGUCAUUUUCAAAGAGGAAAUAAUCACCCAAUGCGUGUGGAUAGAGAGGGGGAAUAUGGGCCCACAUAGAUAUUAAAAAUUACAUGUCCUUAGUUCACCCAAAUUGCAUAUCCCACAAACCAGAAGAUCCAAAACUUCAAACAUCAAGAAGCCGAAUUUCAUAUGUUAAUAUAGAAUAAAAUAAAGGAAAUUCUUACCUUCGAAUUAUCAGAGACAGAGGACUGCCACUACUGUUAUUGUGAGACAAAGGAGUGAAAUCAAUCAAUGAUUCAGUGGAACUUCUUCAGGGCAAAUUUUGUAAUUUUUAUUUUUUGGGAAAACAAAUAGUACAAGGAGUGAAAGGAAAAAGAACCUCAAAGGAGGAAGCAUCAAUGAAGCACAUAUGGAUUAAAAAAUUGGUUUUUCCUCCAAAACCCAGAUGGAAAUUCAAUAUUCAGAAGAGAAAAUCACCAAAAGGGAGAAAAAAUGAGGGUUUUUCUUAAUCCCCAAAUGGAGAAAAAGUUUUUUCUAAUAUUUUCUUAGUACCAAGAAUUUCGAGCCCGACCGGCGAGCGAGCAGUGUAAGCCCCCCCGAACCGUACUGCAUUGAAUUGGAGUGGCUGUGACUCGGCGUCAUGGAUCGGACCCACGUCCACCUCCCGAGUUGUAAAACGAGGAGGCCGAGAGCCAGCAGGAGCGCGGAAUGAUCCGACCGUUGAUCAACGAAGAAGAAGAAGAGGUUGAGGAAUAGGUCCACUAGUCGGGCUCGGCGGGGACGGAGUUGAGGAGGAGGGAGCACUGGGAGGCAGGGGUGGAAGGCAGGCCAGGUGAGGAGGAUGAGGGGCUUGGAUUUGGAGGGUUUGAAUUUGGGCGAUGGUGGUGAGGAAGGCGACUAUGAGGAAGACAAUAGGGUUUGGGAUUUUUCUUUUUUAUAAAUUUUUAUUAGCAUUUUUAUAUUUCUAUAUUUUAUUAAUAUUCAUGUCGGCCUAUAUUAACAUGUGGCGUCUAGUUAUUGUUCACAUAAGCGGCAUGUCAUCAGUUAAAAUAGAUUCUAAUGGAAAUCUAAACAGAUAUAUGAAAGUGUAACUUUAAGUACCAGAUUGGAACGAAAAAAACUUAAUGUAUGAAAUGUUGAAAACCAAGAAACUUCUAGAUAGUAAAUUGAGUUUAACCCUUUAAGCACACAAUUUUUUUUUUUUCAUAAAAUAAAAAUACAACCUAGAUUUAAACAGGACAAAAAUAUAUGAUUAUUAAUGUUGUGUUGGGGUGCUUCUUUGGUUUAGGCAUCAGAGCACUGAGCGCGGGACUUACAAAAGCCACCAACAAAGAGAAGCAUUCCAGCCGUAGUCCUUGAUUUCAGAAGGAAAUGGAAAUUAUAAUUGCAAUUGCCUCAAAAGUUGGAGAGUGCUUGGUCACACCAAUAGGAACAGAGUUUGGCUAUUUGAUUAAUUACCAUUCCAACCUGGAAAAUCUUAAGGGUGAGAUAAAAAAGCUUUUUGACAAGAAAGAUGGAGUGCAAGGAUUGGUAGAUGCUGCCCAAAGGAACAGUGAAAGUAUCAAACCUGAUGUUCAGAGUUGGCUAAAGAAUGUGAACAACAUGAUCCAGAAAGUGUUACAUUUUGAGGAUGAAAUUAACAAGAAAAGGCGAUGUAUGAAUCGAUGGAGCUUGAGUCGGAAAGCCUAUAAGAUUACACAACAUGUUCUUCAGCUCCAAAACGAAGGAACAUUUGAAAAUGUGGCCCAUCCUGCACCUCCACGAGGGAUAUGGUCAAAAUUCAAGAAAGGUUUCAAGGACUUUAAGUCCAGAACGGCAUACAUGAAUGAGGUGAUAGAGGGUUUGAAGAGGGAACAAGUACGAAUGAUCGGGAUUUGUGGAAUGGGGGGUGUGGGUAAAACGACAAUGGCGAAAGAAAUCAUCACAAGAUUGGCAAAACUGAACCUGUUUGAUAAUAUUGUAAUGGCAACUGUGUCUCAAAGUCCAAGUAUUAGCAAGAUCCAGUCGGAAAUUGCAGACCAAAUAGGUUUGGAAUUGAAGGAGGAAUCCGAGUCCGGAAGAGCAAUAAAGCUGCAUGGGAAACUCAUGGAAAUAAAGAUCCUGAUUGUAUUAGAUGAUGUCUGGACAUAGCUUGAUUUUGAGGCUAUAGGACUCCCUUCUGGAGAUGCUCACAAGGGGUGCAAAGUUUUGUUGACAUCACGAGAUUGGGAAGUCUGCAACAGGAUGGGAAGUCAACCAAUUAUUGAAGUCCCGACUUUAACAACAGAAGAAUCACAUGACCUCUUUAAAGAAAUGGUAGGUGAAUCCUUCGAUGAGCCUGAUUUACGUUCCAUUGCAAAAGAGGUCGUUUAUGAAUGUGGAGGUUUACCUAUAGUCAGAAUCACAGAGGAAAAUGAAGAAGAGGCGACAAAAUACAUGAUUUUGUUUCUAAAACUGAACACAUUUGAACUAGAAAACCUGCCUCGUCUCACAAGUCUUUGUCCAGAGGGAUUUACAUUUCUAUGGUCAUCCACAAAAAAUAUGUACGUACGAAAAUGUGGAUCAUUGAAGACAUUGGGUGCUGUAAUUCCACAAAGAAAGAAGUUGGAGAAUAACUUGAAGAAGGAUUCAACAAGUCAUGAUUUCAGCACUUCUCCAACACGUUCAUCAAAUUGGUGCCCUGCUGGAUGUGGAUGCGCACCAUAUUCAAGACCAAACGCCCACCGCCCCAUUGAAAUAUUGCCAUGUCCAAUUAACCUGGAGGUAAGCUUUUAAAUCAGGUUCAAUUAACCUCUAUAAGUACAACUUUUAAUUAGUAUUGUAUCAUCUUGUUGAUCGUGUUUAAUUUCCUAGGUUACACCAACUAAUCUUGAGGACUCAAAUGAUGAUGAUAAUCUCGCAAAUCUUCGUGUCCAUGACUGUGCAUCAUUGGAAGUGAUUUUCCAACUAAAGGGGCCGAAGCAUGAAGAAAGUAGUCACUCCGUUGAAGCAUUCAAUAAAUUGAGGUCCUUGCGGUUAGAUAUUUUGCCAAGUUUAACGCGUGUUUGGGAGACGGGUAGUUCACAACCGAUGUUGACAGGAAGCAGCUUCGGAAACUUGAAAUCGCUGCGGGUCUUUGAUUGCGACCAGUUGAAAUACUUGUUUUCAUCGUCCAUUGUCAAACUUCUCGUGAGUAUGGAGGACAUAAAAGUUCAGAAGUGUGAGCAGAUGGAAGAAAUCGUUGCCGCAGAAGAAGAAACUGAUGAAACAAUUACAUUACCUAAAGUGAAGUCCAUCAAGCUUGAAAGUCUGCCAAAACUCAAGUAUUUUUGUGGUGAAGCUUAUACUUUGAAGUUGCCGUCUUUGGAGUUAUUGGAGGUUGAUGACGUGCAAAACUUAAGCCUAUUAGCUCCAAAGCUUAUUGCCACACAUCCCUGAUUGCAAGUAAACACCGCGUUGGGACUGGCUGAAUGGAAGGGGGACCUAAACGCCACUCUUACGGAAUAUUUACAUCACAAGGUAUGCUUUAAUAUAAGGUUUCUAAUUUUCAAUCGCUUAUGCGUGCAUGUUUAAAGAUGUUUUUUUUUUUCAACAUCUCUCUUUUAAAUCUUGAUGUAUACGUGGAAUUUCUGAAGUUUUUACAAAAGACUAUAUAAUAGCAUUAUAUUAAUGUAUAUGUGUGUGUGUAUGCGAGUAUGUGCACACUAAAGUGUAUUUAAAUAUAUAUAUAUAUAUAUAUAUAUAUAUAUAUAUAUAUAUAUAUAUAUAUAAUUUUAGAAAACUCAAUUAUAUCUCAAGAAAACAUCGUCUUUUAUUUCUAAUACAGUACGGAUGAAGAUAACGAAAUCGAUGGCAAGGAUGACGAUGACAAAAUCGACGGCAAGGAUGAAGAUGACGAAACCAACAGGGAGGACGAACACAGUUGAUUGAUCAAGCACAAAGGUUAGCAUGUUUCCAUCUCCAACUUCUUCUAGGUUUAGUAAAAACUUAUGAAAAUUAUAUAUAUAGUACUCAAAAAAGUAUUCUACCAUGUUUUAUAAUAUAUACAUACAUGUAUAGCACUUGAAAAAUUGAACAGUUUGGAUCUAAAACCACAAUCUGCUACCUGAUUCAUUUUUUCGAGGUACCUAAUAGCAGUUAAGGUGUGAGGAAGAAGCUUUUUAGAUUACCAACUGCCUCAAGAGAAACCUUUAUCAGAAACACAUAUACAAUAAACAUAACCGUAGUGCUAAGUGGCCUAAAAAUUAAUUUAUCCUUAAACCGCUAUUUUUGGAAACACAUAUACAAUAAGCAUAACCGUUUGAUUUCUAAUAUUCUCCAAUGCAUGCAGGAAAAGAGUUUAAAGAACGUUGUGGCUCCAGCAAUUCGUUUACCAUAUCAUAUGCACAAACCAAUAAAAGGACAUUUGUUGCACCAGAAUUUCAUUCCAAAAAUACUAUUUAUGUUGCUUAUUUUAUGUACCAUAAAUUUCGAUUGCGAUUAUUACUGUUUGUUUCUAAAUUCGCAUCAUUAGUAUUUGCUUAUUUGUGCUCGAGGUUGAUUAUACACGUGUAAGCUGAAUCACAUGUUUGUAGAAUGGACAAGCUGAAUAAAAUCUGUUUGCCCCCUAAAUGUAAUGGAAAUCAUAUGUAUCUAGGCAUGCUUAAUAUUUGAUAAAGAAAAACAUUUCUCAAAUAAAUGUCCACUCACACCUCCGGCAAGCUCGCCCUUGAGGAGCCUUGUCUACCAAAUAGGUAAACAUCUACUGGACAGCAGGCGAUUCAAAACCAUAGCAAACUGCUGAAUACAACUAGAGUAAACAAGGAAUCAGGCUAUGCAAUUGCCAUCAUCAUAACAUGAUUUUGGCCCCCAUCUUCUAAUUUCCUACCACAUUUUCACAUUCUUUCCAUGAAUUUUAUGAUUCCUAUGCAACAGAGUUCAUUCAUCGCCUAUUCACAACAAUACAAGGUUCUACAGAGUUCAAUCCCACACCAUGUUAUAGACAUGCUUCAACUAUCAACCGGGAACGUAAUCGUUAGGGGUUUCAACAAUUUCACAGAUACAACAAUUACUAUAAGUCUCAUCUCCAACAUUCAUACAGAAAAUCGAAUAAAAUUCGAAAUCAAGAAUCAAACCCAAAACUGAAAGUUGAAAAUUUGGAAAAAGAACUUACAUUGGAGAACAGCCCACGAGAAGAGUAUCAUUUCUACCUCUUGGGUCGAGGUCCAAUUCCCGCGAUAUUGGCCGGAAACCCCUGGGUCACCGUUUCUUAGAUUUGAAGUUGAGGAAAAUCGCCUACGAAAUUAUAGAAACUAACUUGGGGGAUUGGAUAAGGGACGGCAAGAGCAUUCUGGAUGUGUAGUUUGAGAGCUUUUGGUGACCAGUGGACGACAGAGCUGUUGCGUCGGCACUCGGCAGUCUUCGGCUUGCUGUUAAAUGGGGCUCCAGGAGUCGCAGCGCAAAAGAGAAGGAGGAGAGAGGAUACGGGAGGAGGAGAGAAAAUGGGUUUCUCCCACCUUUUACAUUAAUUCUUUUCCACAUUUUUUAAUGUAAUAAACGAUAAUAUAUAUCAUCAAAAGCGUGUUUGGUACGUGAGAUGAGAAUGAACGUGUUUUAAUGAUAAUAAUGACUAGAAGUAAUAUAGUUAAAAUUCGUUUUUGGUGAUAAUCGAAUAUCAGAUUUCUUAUCUACAAGUUACAAAUAAAAAUGAAUAUCAUUAUUUUUUUUUCACUUUUAAUACACACGUAAAUAAAAAGAAACAAAAUGAAAAUGAAAAGAAAUAAAAUAAUUUGAAAUAGAAAUGAAAAAUAAAGGUAAAUUGACAACAUAAGGUAAUCAGCCAUGGUAAUACAAAAUUAUUAUACUAUCCUUAAACAUUGUAGUGCCAUGGAAUCUUCAUUUUAGCUCUGAAUUUCCUUCUGCAUACGCUCACGCGUUCAUAUUGAUGAGCACUACGAGAAAAUAUUAAGAUGAUAGGUCAUACUCAUACGUUCGUUUUUGUUGAGAAUUUUUUUGAAGGAUUUUGCAAUAUGGCAGCCAUGAUUUGCAAAGCCCACCAUCGUAGAACUCGAUAUCGGCCUGACUUGUGGAGCCACCAUCGCAAAGAAGAACCUGGAAAGCUCAAUCCUUGUCUUUUUCUUAUAUAAGUGUCAUUUUGGUGAACCAAAUGUUCCGAUUCCAACAUCCAAAAUACCACAAUGUGAUUUUUUUCAUACUACAAUUGGAUUGCAUCUUAAAAUUAUGAAGUCUUGGAGCAUUGGUCAUGCCAUCAUGCUGAUUUGUGUUGGAUUUCGUUAGAGAUCGUAAUUAAUCAAUCACCCUUUUUGUGUCUCCCUUCAAAAGCUCAAAUUGAAAUCUGAACUCCCUAGCAAAUAAGAGCCCAAUUUGACAACCAAAAUCUUCAUCGUUCGAGCAUCAAUGUUCUCUUAAAUUCACUACGAGCAAACCGCCAUGAAAUCUCCUUCAUGGACAUCUCAUAAAAUUAGAACGAUACAAAGAAGAUUAGUGUGACUCCUAAGCUAGGAUUACACGUAUGAAUCGUAAAAUAGUUCCUCCUCCGCUCUUUGAUUCUCUCUUUCACUGGCUAACAAUAUUUUGCUCUACCUUUUCACCCUAAGUAAGAAAUGAGCAUUUUGUUAGCAUCUUUUUGAAAAUUCAAAUUUGAUCCUAAUAUAUCUCUUUUGCACUAUUUGACUGAACAACAAAUUUUGAUUGUCUAAAUAUUUAUAUCAAACUACAAAUAAUAUUGAUAUUAUAUAUUUAUAAUGUGACUGAAAUUGUAGUACCCAACAUAUCUAUCUUGAAAUAAAUUUUGUUGUCUAUGAAGUGGCCAACUCGACCCUCUCCUAUACUCUUUGAGUUUGUAUAAAUAUAUCAUUGUUUAACAAUUGACAUUCAGUACUGUGAUUUAGUGAUAUUCAUUAUCAUGUUCGAAUCUUAGGAGUAACGAGUUUGUGUAAAUAUAUCAUUGUAUUAAAGAAAAACAAAAAAAUAAAAAAUAAAACAAAAUAUUUUUUUUUUUGGUCGGACAAAAACACGAAAAUGCCCUUAAAGCCCAAAGUGACCCCACUACCCUGCCGCUGCCUGCAAGUUCCUUCCUCGCCCCUGUUUCUACGUCCAAUUAAUUAAUUUGGAGGUAAGCUUUUAAAUCAGGUUCAAUUAACCUCUAUAAGUACAUCUUUUAAUUAGUAUUGUAUCAUCUUGUUGAUCGUGUUUAAUUUUCUAGGUUGCACAACCUAAUCUUGAGGACUCAAAUGAUGAUGAUAAUCUCGAAAAUCUUACUCUAAUUAACUGUAAUUCGAUGGAAGUGAUUUUUCAACUAAAGGGACCGGAGCAUGAAGAAAGUAGUCAAUCCGUUGAAGCAUUCAAUAAAUUGAGGUCCUUGCGGUUAGAUAUAUUGCCAAGUUUAACGCGUGUUUGGGAGACGGGUAGUUCACAACCGAUGUUCACAGGAAGCAGCUUCGGAAACUUGAAAUCGCUGCGGCUCGUUGCACCGAUGAAAUAAUUACAUUACCUAAAGUGAAGUCCAUCAAUCUUAAAUGUCGGCCAAAACUCAAGUAUUUUUAUGGUGAAACUUAUACUUUCAAGUUGCCGUCUUUGGAGUUAUUGGCGGUUACUGACGUGCAAAACUUAAGCCUAUUAGCUCCAAAGCUUAUUGCCACACAUCCCCGAUUGCAAGUACGCACCGCGUUGGGAGUGGCUGAAUGGAUGGGGGACCUCAAUGCCACUCUAGGGAAUAUUUACGUAAUCACUUAUGCGUGCAUAUGCGCACACUAAAAUAUGUUUUUUUUCUUUUUCCUUUUUGGAAACUCGAAUUAUAUCUCAAGAAAACAUCUCUCUUUUAUUUCUAAUACCGAGAAGAAUGAAGCUGACGGAAUUCUACUAGACACCAUAUAACGAGGAUGUUAACAAUCACAAAAGGUUGUGGCUUCGGCUAUUCGCUUACUUUCAUAUGUACAAACCAAUAAGAUGUCAGUUCGCCAAAAAAAAAAAAAACCAAUAAGAUGUCAUUUGUUGCACCAGAAUUUCAUUCUAAAGAUUCUGUUUCCGUUGCUUACUAUAUGUAUAAUUAAUUUCGAGUGCGAUUAUUACUGUUUGAAUUCAUCUCUCGACUGCCUAUGGGGACGUCAAGGUGGACACCAAAAUGGAGGUGUGAUGACCUGCAUCUGGAAAGUGACGUAACCAUAACGUGCAUGCAAAUAUAAUUUAAUAAAAUAACUUCAAAUGAUCUACUGAAAAAUCGGCACAGUUUCCUUUGGAAUUAGGUUUUGGCACCCAAAUUUAAAACCUGCUGAAAAGUUAUAAUUAUUUCAAAACCACAUCCCCGACACCUAAUGGGUUAUCAACCCUCCACUACAUGCACGUAUACUCCAAUAUACUUACUGGUGGUAUAGCAUACAAUUUCAUACACUAGUCAUAGUUAGUGUAAGGUUACACACACAUGAUACAUGCUAGUGUAAACUGAAGAUAAAACCAUACAUUAGAUGUAGCUAGUGUAAGCUGAAAAAUAUAAUCAUACACUAGCCGUAGCCAGUGUAAGCUGAAUGGGCAUGCUCACAGUAGGGACAAGAUGACUAUACUGUAGUAUAAAUCAUACACGUGUAAGCUGAAUAACAUGUCCGUAGCAUGGACAAGUUGAAUAUUCUUUAAUAUUAACCAUACACAUGCGGAAUGACAUGUUUGUAGUAUGGACAAGCUGAAUAUACUGUAAUAUUGACUAUACACGUGUAAGCUAAAUAAUAUUAUCAAACACUGGUUAUGGCUAGCUAGUGUAAGCUGAAUAUGUUCAUACACUGUAAGGUCUGGUAUUAAUUCAUAAAAUCUAUUCUUCCCCUAAACGUAAUGGAAAUCAUAUGUAUCUAGGCAUGCUUAAUAUUUGAUAAAGAAAAACAUUUCUGAAAUAAAUGUCCACUGACAGCUCCGGCUAGCUCUCCCCCUUGAGGAGCCUUGUCUACCAAAAAGGCAAUUUCAAGCAACUUCAAGAGAUAAUUUGACCACGUUGCGGAAGUAUGACACCAAACGGUUGAGACCCAGAAGACAUCCAAGAGUUUUUGGAGAAACAGAACGCUCACUGAAGAUAUGUGUUCUAUUUCUAUAGCACGCUUACCCCAAACAAAACACAGGUUAUGGAAAGGAAAAUAACAUUAAGAAAUGCAAAAGAUUGGGGAGAUGCUAAAGAACUCAUCUCCGGUCCUGGAAAUAAUGCAUACAAUAUUGCUCUACCAAUUAAACCAAAUCUUAUGACUCUAGUGACAAGCUAGAAAGCCACAAAAACCCCAAGCCUUGCAGGGAACCCAAAACCAAAGCAAACUACCGAAAUGAACCCGAUUCGAGCCAAGAAAUGACAAUUGCUUAUGUAAAAAUAAAUUAAUCAAAUUAAACAAGGAAAACUUUACACUACUCAAACAAGAAAUGACAAACCCGAUUCUAGUUGAAUACAACUAGAAUAAACAAGGAAUCAGGCUAUGCAAUUUCCUACCACAUUUUCACAUCAACGUGAUUGUUAGGGGUUUCAACAACUUCACAGAAUUACCACAAAUCUCAUCUCCGGCAUUCAGACAGAAAAAUCGAAUAAAAGUUCGAAAUCAAGAAUCGAUCCCAAAACUGAAAGUUGAAAUUUUGGAAAAAGAACUUACAUCAGAGGACAUUCCACGGUGAGCCUGCAUAAAUGAACCAAUUAAACAAAGAAAUGAAAACCGAAUAACUCGGAAGCUAAAGUAUCACAGAUAGAAAAUUGCAUAUACCUAACUAAAAAUGCACAACCUAAUGAGAUGUGGUAGUUUAAGUGUAUAACACAAGGGUGAGAAGUACUCUAGUGCUCACACACUGAAGCCACAAGACUACCAAAUAAUGUAGCUUUAGAAAUAUCAUUCGUUGUUUUGCACACAAUCAUACAUGCUCAUCAGAACAUAGUAUGAUCUCCAACGGAAAUAGAAGUGACACAGGUGAAAGUCAAAAUAAACAAACAAAUAAUAGUGUACGAGAAGGCCCUAAAGAAUUGCUCUAACUAAGAGACAAGCUUAAAUUAGAGUAAAUUGUAGCUAUGGUCCCUUAACUUUAACUCAAUUGGAGCAAUGGUCCCUCAACUCAUCAAAACAUGCAGCUAUGGUCCCUUAACUAAAAAUCCAUUACCAUUGGUCCCUCAACUCAUCAAAGCGUGCAGUUAUGGUCCCUCAACUAAAAAUUCAUUACCAUUGGUCUCUCAACUUUAAUUCAAUUGGAGAAAUGGUCCCUUAGCUUUAACCCAAUUGUAGCAAUGGUCCUUCCAACCAAGGUCUAAAAUAUCGAUGAUAUCCUGAUAUUUCCAUCGAAAUUUUCGUGUUUUUGGACUACCGAUAUUUCCGAUAUCAUCGAUAUUUUAGACCUUGAUAAGAACUCUAUGUGGUACUAAAUUACUCAUAUAUCUUACCAUGCAAUGUAUAAAGUGUAAAAUAUUGUACUAAUUCAUUAUAUAUAAAUGAUUAUGGUGUGUUUAAACUUGUUUCAUUAAUUACUACAUAUUUUCUACACUCACAAUGUUUGCCAGCUCGCUAUAUAAUCAACUUAAAUCAAUUAAAUCCAUCAUGCAAUGCAUUUCCUUCCAAUUUUUUGUGAUAAACUAAUAGAUAAUUGACUAAAUAAACAUCCUGCAAAGUUUCAAUAAAAAUUUCCAAGUUUUUCUUACAAUUUCCGUGGUUUUUAUUCAAUUUUUAUCGAUAUCGAUAAUAUCUCGAUAUUUCCAUCGAAAUUUCCGUUUUUUACUGCCGAUAUUUCCGAUAUCAUCGAUAUUUUAGACCUUGCUUCCAACAUAACUCGUUUUGACAAAAUUUUUGACGUGAUUGACGAAAAGAACCAUAAUUACACUUUGAUAAGUUGAGGGACCCUAAUUAUAUAAAUGGUUAUUCCAACAUAACUUAUUUUGACAAAAUUUUGACGAAAUUAAUUAAAAGGACUAUAGCUACAUAUUUUGAUAAGUUGAGGGACCAAUGGUAAUGGAUUUUUAGUUGAGGGACCAUUGCUCCAAUUUGAUUACAGUUGAGGGACCAUUACUACAAUUUACUCCUUAAAUUAUAUAAUAAGCUUUGCACACACCCCACUUUCAAAAACUAGAUUAGUAUGCCGUGAUAUUUAACAAUGCCGUCAUAAACUUACUUGUUGAAUAACUCAACCCUGUAUUCCAUCUCCUUCUCUGCCAUACCAAAGAUUUGCACAAUUGUUUAAAACCAAAUUCAAGUCUUUCCAGAACACGCAGGAGAUUAUUUGAAAAACAAGAAUUUAGAACAAUAAUUCAAAACCAAAGAAAAGAAAGUCCAUCACUCAGAGUAAAAAUUAACCAUCUUGUUGCUUCCUAACUGUCUGGAAAUACCCACGUUUCAAUUUUACUAAUGUCGAAACACCACCAUCAUUGACCAAUUAGACAAAUAAGACCCAAUUCGAUUACGCCCAACUCACAGAAUACCCAGAUUCCCAACACCCAUUGAACAAUCUAACCAUGAAUUUCCAAAACUUUCCCCAAAAUCCAAUCUUGGGCAUGCAUUAAAUCCAAUCUAAAACUUGAAUUCGUUUUUGCAGAACAAAAGGUAAAAACUUUGGAACAAUGAAGCAAAAGGGUACUUACCUGUUCCUUGUCCAAAACCGUCGGCGCAUUGUGGGGGGCAGCCAUUAGAACCUGAACAAUUCGCAAAAUUAAUUUACAGACUUCUUCGAAACCGAAACAGUAUGAAGUAGCAGAGAGGGUUUAAGUAAUCUUACUCGGCGGAUGGAAUCGAACGCGCUGAGAGUGGUAGCUGUAAAUGCAGAGGGGUUUUAGGUGUCCGAUUUGAAGCCAAAGCAGGAGAAAAUGGAAAUCCCACUGAACUAUAAUGUACGAAUUAGGGUUUUAGGAGUUUGUAUAGCGUGUAUGUGCGAUGGACGGUUUUGUUUUGGGGGACUUUCAACCCGAAAAGUAGUGGAUUAUUGCCCCUUCUUUUCUCCUUCCACCACAAGUAGCGGAUAAUUUCACAAAGUCCUUACAUGGUGGACAGCCGUAUAUAUAUGUCCCUUUCUUUCUUAUUUUUUGGAUUCUUUUAUUUCUUUGCUUACUCAUAUUUCAUCGGUUGGCUCAAGUUCGGUUCACUAAAGUAGCGUGUUUCUUUGUUAUGUUAGAGUUUGAAUAUCCAUUCAAAUGAUUUAGAUUUCUUCGUGCAGACUAUCGUUUAAUUAAAAGAAAAACUCGUAUUAUGUUUACUUAUAGGAAAUGAAUAUUAGUCUCAUUGUAUAUUUGCUAACAACUAUGAAUUUGAGAGGAAAAAAAGUGAAUCCACAUUGAUUUUACAUUCUAAUACGUUCUCAUACAUGAAAAAUCAUAAGAUUAUUAUGGGGGUUGUUUAAACUCGUGGAAACGUGUUUUGAUGUUCACCCAAUAACAAUUGUUUGUUCUCGAUCCAUUUCAAGUUUUAACAAAUAGUUCGUUUAAGCAGUUAAGAGUUUUUUCUCGUGCUCUCAAAACUCGGCGUUACCUAGUGAACCAUAUAAUAUUCAAUAAUGACUUACCAUUUGAAUGGAUCGAAAAUUUCAAAUUGACGACAUUUGUGCCGGUAACCUGUGUAUUACAAGGAUCAUUGAGAAAAUACAUACUUUCACAUUGUGCCGGUAGCUUUCAUUAGCAAUGCUUCACAAUUUACAGGUACGAGGGCUUGACCAGCAUCUCCUCCGGAUCUUUCCACACUGGGGAGUCCUUAAGGGUGCGUUUGGUACGUGGGACGGGACGGGACGGAACGGGACGAGGCGUUCCGUCCCGCGUUUGGUACGCCAAAAAUGGGUGGAACGGGCUGUUCCACGGGACAGAUUUUGGGUGUUUUUGCGUUCCACGUCUGUGGAACACAAUGUUUUACCAUUUUAAGACAAAUAUACCCCAUGUCUUUUUCAAAAAUUACACCUUCGUUCCGUCCCGUCCCGUCCCGUUCCGUCCCGUCUCGUCCCAUCCCGUUCCGUCCCGUCUGCGUACCAAACGCACCCUUACUGUACAAAUAAGAUUCACAUGCGCAAAAUAUGUGCUAGACUACGCGCUGCAAAUGGAAACAAGUUGUCACCCCCAUUUAUCCAAAAAUAAUAUACUUGUUAUAGAUAUCCGUGUAGAAUAUUAUAUUACGAAGGGCGGAGAGCGUGUGUACGGCAAAGUAGGAACGGGUACAGCAACGUAGCAGCACAAGCAAGACGAUGAUUGGAACUGCAACUUACCCCCACACAUUCACAGAAGCCUUUUUCUUUCCCCUGCUGGUGUUCAUGAAAGCGCUUUGAAGUGAAAAAGCCAAGAAAUUACGAAGGCAAGGAUCAUGCAGGCAAGAAGGAAAGCCGCAUCAGUACUGCUAUUUGCCUCGUUUAUCUGGCCACUGGAAAUGUUGAAUGCAGUUACUCCACAGAUCUCGCAGGUUCUGCAAAUCAAAUAAAUAAAAUUAUGGAUAGGCAGAAAAUAACAUAUCAGUCAGACAAGACAAGUAAUUACAACCAUAACGCAACAUAAUGAAGAAACGUACCAUGAGGAUUUUGAACAAACAUAAUGAAGUGUAACCAACAGCAUACAAAUAUAAAAAAAUAUAGAAGAAAAUGCUAUACAAUCACUGUAAGUGAUUUCAAAGGCCAUCAAUCUUCUAUUUCUGUUUCUAGAAAUAAGUCACGUCGUCAAGAUGUCGUUCCAUUUGCUUACCAUGAUGAGUAAAAUGAAAUUUGAACUAGCUUGCUGUUCUUGCAUAUCUUCUCCUCAUCCUGGUUACCAAGCAAGUCAGUCUUGACCAAUCCAUCUAUGAUGUAUUGUAUUCUCAUGUGAUGCAGCUUAUCUAGAUUAUAUUUCCUGUAGCCUAAGUUUGGAUAUUUCCUUUGCAGAGGGUAUAGCGUGCAAGGUCCUAAGAACUUCACCAAAUUAUCAUCCUUCGAGUAUAGAAAAUCUCCCAAAUAUAUAAGCGAAAUAAACUUGUGACGGAAUCAAAGAAUGCAAAUGCUCAUCAUCAUUUACUAAUCCAUAUGCAUAAUGUAAACAUUUACAUCUUUAUUAGAAGCAUACAUAAAAAAUACAUGGCACACAAGAUAUCCACUUUUCAACAUAGGAGCUCAAUUCUUACAUACAGACACACUUCCUUUAGCUUGCAUUGGACCUCGCACUUUCCACUAAUGUAAAUGCCAUAGAAAGUGUGACUGUAAAAACUAUAAACGUAGAACGAUCGAUAUGUUUGAGUUCAGAUGGACUGUAAUAGUGGUGACUACAAGAUUUGUUCUUUUACUAGAUUUUCUCGUAUUUCAUAUGAGCAUACACAUUCUACUAUAUACGUGAUCUGCCUCAUUCAGCAUUCCAGUAAGAAGCAAAAUGAUAAGAACAAUUGUGACAAUUACAUCAAAAGAAAGAAGCUAAUUAGCAAGUAAUCAUUCGAAUAAGCUGAACUCACGGAAGCAGGAACCUAAACACUAUCAAGAUGGUCUCUGUUGUAGCAUGCCCAUAGUAAGAUCAUAGUUUGAAGUAUGUUAGGAUGCCACUUGUCAUCAUCUCAAUAUGACAAAUGUAAGGUUGAGAUGCUCUAGUAGUAGAUAAGAUGGUUAUAAGUUGUCGGAUGAUAGCUUACAGAGGAAGCUAAGUAGUUUACAUAUAAGGAAGUCGGUUGUAAUUGGGAGGGGGUCAUUGGAAUAAUCUCUGUGUAAUACAAGAAAGUACUAUGCAAUUGUGAAGAAGCCGAGCAAGGUUUUAACAUUGGUAUCAGCCAGUGUCGAUUCCUCUCAAUCCUUCAUUGUUGUAUGCCUCGCCGACCCCGGAACACCAUGGAAUCGCGAGUGUCGACUUUGGAAACCAUGCUCGCCGAUCUCAAAGAUGAGUUCAAGAACAGCCAAGAGAUGAUCAUGAUGCAGCUGCAAUCAUGAUGCAGAUGGAUGCAUUAUUUGUGGCUUUUAUCGUUAUUGAAAUCUUGUUGGAAUUUCGACAUUUAUUGAUCAUAAUGCAUCCAUCUGCAUCUCCGUUGUAUCAUUACCCUGUACAAAGAAAGUGGCUCGAAGUCUUGAGAAGCACAUAACCAACAAUCAAACCGCGGCAUUUGGGUGCUCCAUUAGAAAUGGUGGGACUACGACCAGGAAUCCCAGGUACAUUACGUCUUGCUACAGUUAAAAGGGACAAAUGCUCAAAAUCAAAUACAUAUUCGUGAUAUAACUUUGGCACUCUUAUUUCUGAUACAUAUUUGUGACUGAGCAGAUAAUCAUAGAUAAAAUCUUAAAAAAAAAAAUAUAUAUAUAUAUAUAUAUAUAUCACAAUUUCAACCAGAAAUUUCAAUGGCUCUGACGUCAACGUUCUUCAACUCCGCCUUCGGAACAGUGACACUCAGAACUCCAUUCUCCAUGGCAGCCUUAAUCUGAUCAACCUUUGCGUUCUCCGGAAGCUGAAACCUCCUCAAGAACUUGCCGCUGUUCCUCUCCACUCUGUGCCACUUGUCGUUUAUAUCCUCCUUCUCCACGUUCCUCUCUCCGCUGAUCUUAAGCACCCUGUCGUCUUCCACCUCCACCUUCACCUCCUCUUUUUUCAGCCCCGGAACGUCCGCCUUGAACACAUGGGCUUCGGGGGUCUCCUUCCAGUCGACCCUAGUGUUCACAAAAGCCGAAUUCUCCCGAGAAAAUUCAGGAAAUGCGGAGAGUGAUGAGGAGGAAGGGAACGGGAAAUCCUUGAAAGGGUCCCACAGAUUGAGGGAGAAUGGGUCGAAGACGCUGCUGCUUCCUCGUCGGGAGUUGGGAAUUAGCGACAUUCUGAAAAACCGAUGGGGUUGGUUUGGAUGCAGAGAAAUUUGAGAAUUAUUACAGAAUUAUUGCUUUUGCUGGACUGAUUGGAAAAGUAGCGGAUUUGAUAUAUUUAUAAGGAACCGAAGAAUUUUCUAGAACAGACUUGAGGAUGAGGCUGGAAAAGUAUGUGUGAGUUUCUCGAACUUUCUAGGAUGCUUGAGAAUAAUUGGAACUUUCUUAGGACGCUUAAGAAUAAUCCGACGUUUGUGUGAGUUACUCACACAACACGGUUGACUUCAUGAUGAUGAAUGGUGGACCCAAAAGCCUAAGUGUGGGGGUUGUAUGGGCCAUUCGAUUUAAUCGGACGGUUAAAACUGAAGAUACUGUGCAAGUUAUAAGCGGGGCGUUUGAAUCUUUGAUAUGUAUUAUUUGGACUUAUUGAUAAAUAAUAAUAUUUACAUUAAAUUAACAAUAUCAACUAAAUAUCAAUAACAUUUAACAUCUCAUGAAGUAGCUUAUCUAAAGGUAAAGGGAGUUAUAGCCCAAACAAGCAAAUUACCAGUUAAGUAAUAUGAUGGUCACUUAGUGCUACCUUUAAUGAUAUUUUUCUUUAUUUGAGAGUGAGAGGUCUUAGAUUCGAUUCUCGUCAAAAGCGAAUUCGAAUCAUAUUAUUGUUUAGGGUAAAUUGCCAAUUUAGUCCCUGAAUUAUUACCUUAGUGAAAAUUAGAUUCCUAAACUAUUUUUUUCAGAAAAAUUAGUCCCUGAAAUAUAAAAAUCUGCCAAUUACAUCCCUAAUGUUAUAUUCGAAGCUACUAUAUUCAAAUUUUCGUCAAUUUAAGUUAUAUUACUUGCAUGCGAUACACAUUGGAGGGUAGAUUGGUAGUUUUUCAUAAAGAAAUAGUGUAUGGAGUUAACUUUGGAUGAGAAAUUAAUAGUGUACAAAAUAAUACAUAAAAUAUUGUAAAACACACAUAAAAGGAUCUAAGCCUAAAAAGAAAAAUCAUCCACAGAGCCCAGUCAGUAAGGUUCUAUACGCCAUAAGAAUGAAAUAAAGCAUUUUAUUGUGCACCAUAAGAUUGGAAGAAUCAAUCUUAUACCUAGCCAAUUACCAAUGGCUGAUCAAAGUUCUAGCUCAUAAAUAUUAAGUACAAAUGUGAAAAACAAACUGAAAUCUAUAGGCCAAAUUGAUAAUAAAUAAAUAAAUAAAAAAAGAACAUCUGCACGCCCGCACCGACAGUAAAGCUAGUUUAGUCUUUAGCGGAAUUCUUUUCUCUCUUCUAUCCCCCUUUUUUUUUUUUGGUCGAAGCCCAAUUCUUUUUCAUUCACGAAGUUUCUAGCAACUUCUGUUUUGCCUUCAUUGAGCUGUUGGGUUUCAUGCUCUUUCUAGUUUUACGGUACCUGAAAUUUUCCAGAAACGUCUUUGACUCCUCAUAAAUACGUCACUAACCCCACGCCCUUCACCAACCAGUGAAGCCAAGCAAGAACUCUCCCUACUGACUCCAAUUUGAUUCCCAAGGCAGCCAAACAAAACCACAUCAAGUUUUUUGUUUUUUAGGUUUUUUUAAUAAAUUAUAAAAAAUUAUCUCAAUUAUGAAUCCAACUACAAUCUUAUAUAUCAUGUUCAAACAUUACAAUGUUAUAUGAAUUCCUUUAAAUAUUCUAUUAAUUUUAAUUGUUAAAUGAUGAGAUGCCAGGAAUGGAGCUCACUCUUUUGAUAAUUGGAAUAAAAAAUUAAUCAAUUAAUAAUAAAUUAAUAAUUUUUUAUUUACAAUUAAAAUCAAUUAAAAAAAAAACUCUCUCAGCCGCAUCCCUCCGUUACCCCCCCCCCCCCCACAUUUUCCGAGCAACCAAACAAACCAAAGCAUAUAAUUUUUUCCAGAAAAAAAUUCAAAACCCAAGUCGAAAAAUCACAAGAGAGUGCAGACCUGAUUUUUUAUCCCAAAAACAUGCAUUGAAUGUGGAUCCGGCAAUUACAAGCAGGACGCGAUUCCCAAACCUCACAAAUCAAAAUUUACAAACCCUUAAAAUCCCAAUAGAUUUACGAGUUCCCGGAGUGGGAUUCAAAUCCCACGAAACCUUCAUAGCCAUUGGACCAAAACACUAGACUAUUUCUCUACUAGAGAAAAUUAAGAUUUAAUUUUUAAUUUAAACCCAUGAUGUUAUGGGUACAAUGAUUUUUGGGCAUCGGUGGAGACUACGCGCAGACGAAGGAGAUAAGGGAAUAGAGAAGACUCGCAGACUACCUCACCGAAAAGAUCUCAUCUCCCCUCCCCAGAACAACACCUUCCACUACUCCAAAAUUCCUAGGUACUCGAUUCCACUAGCAGAGACAACCACAUCAGCAAUGGCGAUGGCGAUUAUGCAGCUUCAAAUUCUCAUGAUGCACUCGAGAGCUCCCUUGCCGAUCUUUAGAACAUUGACGAUGGAUAGACGAGGAUUGGAAAAGUCUCGAUCAUCGUCAGGUCCAGGAAUCGCGGGCGGGAAGCUCAUACGGUAGCCGGAUCUCGAGGUGGUUUCGAUGACAGAAGACUCGCUGCAGACAACCAUCAAGAAGCAACAAGAGAGACAGAAGGAGAGAUGGGGUUUUUA